This 101986-nucleotide long non-coding RNA is filed under the name Malus domestica (apple). The record is from RNAcentral. Lineage: Eukaryota; Viridiplantae; Streptophyta; Magnoliopsida; Rosales; Rosaceae.
UAAAAAUUCAGGUUUUAAAAAAAAAUUAAAAAUUAUUAUUUUUGCCACGUGGCAGACAUUUGGCAGCCACGUGACAUAUAUGUGGCAGCCACGUCAACAUUAUUUAACAGAAGAGCAUAAAUCCUAAUAGACUUAGAUCACAGGGCUUUAAAUCCUAACAGACUUAGACCACAGAGGUUUAAAUCCGAAUUUUUUUACCACAGGAGCUAUCAUCCGAAUACCUUAUGACCAGGGGAACCAUUUAUCCGAUUAGGCCGUAAUUUUAUGCUUAUCUACACUCUUAUUUUUUUAAUGAUUUUAAUAGUCACCUCGCAGCACUGAAGGCAAUUAUAUUACUUUAUUUUAAAGUAGGGGUGGUGCUGUGCAAUUUUGGGGCAGAUUUUAGUUUAUUUAUGAAAUUACCACUGAGUCUAUCUGCCCCCUGAUUUAACGUUAUUUGCAAAAUUGCCACUGGGCUUCAGAAUGGGUUUUGGGUCUUUGGGCAGAAUUUUCGGUUUUGCGAUCCACGCGUUGAUGAUCGCUGUGUAAGAUCGCCGAUUUGGUGAGGGGAUGGGACAAAAACGGAAAGCCAAACCUCCGCCACAAACGAAGUCACGAACGCCACUCUCACUCACCCUCCACCGUUGCACACGAACCCAAUCAUAAUUCUGAAAUCCAAACACGACCUAGAUGGUAAUCCUUCAGAGAAUGGCAAUGGCCACUUCUUCUUCCUUCCUCUCAGUCCCUCUCCUAAAGGCCUCUUCUUUGCUUUCCCCAGUUAAACACUGCGCUUCGCCACUGAGCUCCGAGUUCAGGGCUCUGUCCCUCUACGGCGGUAGAGAUGGAGUCUCUGUUGGAAUAUGAGUAUAAAAACAUGAUUGUGGAUUAGCUAUUAUAUUGAAUGAAUUUUGAAUGGAAAAGUCUUGAUAAAGUGUUUGUGUAAAUCCUAUUUCUUGUAGGAUUAUGAGUGGUUUUAGUGUUCCUUUGGGAAAAGGUUUUGGAUCCUUCUCGGAUUGAUCUUGUGCACUCAUUGUGCAAAAGGGUUUCUGUUUUAGAGUCCAACACUAAUUCUAAUAGGAGAAUGUGUUGGAUUAAUGCUGUAUAUAACCACAAUCACUGCUCUUGCAAAGAUACGGCUCAUAUUGUGUUGAAUACCUAUUGUUCAAAGAGCUCUCUAGUUUUGCUAAAGAGGAGAAGAUUGUCUGGUGGUGAAGCUGCUAUGGCUUCUUCGAGUUCAAGUUCUGCAGGUAUGUUUUGAUUGGUUUAAUGCUGAGAUUUAUGGUUAUGUUGUUCACAUUGUUUGUUGGUAGUAUUGGUGAUUUAUUGGCAUAUCUAUGAUCUGGCAUGUUAUUCUUACAUGUGGUAUCAGAGCCUGGACAGAUUAUUGCCAUUAAGUUCGAAAUUUUGUACAACAAUUUGGACAAGAAACCAUAAUCUUAAAACCCAGAAACGCAUAACCUGUUUUUGAGCAUAACAGUAAAAAACGACACCGUUUAAAAAAAAAAAAAAAAUUUAAAUUUAUACCGUUAUGAUCGCCGGGUUUGCGUCUUUUGCUUUGCCUUGCAUCUUUUCUUUUCAUGGUCUCUGGGUAUAUGGCGAUUCAAUGAAUGAUUCUUCUGAUUCUCUCUGAUUCUUCUCGUGUCAAUUUCAUUCAUUGAUUUCUCCAAACAGGUAUGUCUGCAAUCUUGAAACUUGAAUUUAGGUUAAAAAGCUUAUUUGAACUAGAGAACACCGUAUAUAUGCAAAUUUGUUAGCAUCUCGCCAAUUUGAAUCAAAAUUAUCUAAAUGGAUAAACUGAAGAAUUAUUUUAAUGUUUCCGCUGCUAAUUUGUUUGGGUUUAUUGAAUUUUUUGAUUUUCAAUGCAUGUGGUGUGAUAUUUGAAUAUCAUCCCUUUCGAGCAUGAUUCUUGAAUACAAUCUUCUGUGAGUUGUUUACUCUAUACAUGGUUGUCUUUAUUAAAGUUUGAGACCAUGUGUAUGACAAAAUUGACUCAUUAUGAGGAUUACAUAGUGAAAUAGAUGGAAAUCAUGAAUCCCGAAAAGAUUCAAUGUGAUGAUUUCAUUGUUAUCUUCUGCAGUUUCACUAAAAACAAUGAAUUUGGCUGCUGUACCUAUACUCACUGGUGGGAGCAAUUACAAAAAAUGGAGAAGGGAAAUGGAAUUGCUCUUGACAUUAAAUGAGUAUGAUAUAGCACUUGAUACACCACAACCUGCGCCUCUUACUGAUAAGAGUUCAAAGGCUGAGAAGGUUGAGUUCGAAAGAUGGACAAGAGCUAAUAAAGUGGCAUUAUCCAUUUUGGAGAGCGGGAUGACGGACACUGUUCGUGGAGGUAUCAAAAGGUGUGAUCUAGCAAAAGAUUAUUUCAAAGCUAUUGAGAGCAAAUUCAAGGAAUCACAAAAGGCUGAGAUUGCUCAGUAUAUGACCCUUCUCACAACUUACAAAUUUGAAGGUGGUGGUUCAGUCAGAGAUCACAUUAUGAGGAUGACCGAUGCGGCUGAGAAGCUUAAUUCAUUAGACAUGAACAUUUGUGAAAAGCAGCUAGUGUUCAUGAUUCUGCAAGCGCUUCCUUUGAAGUUCAGUCAAUUAAAAGUCUCUUACAACACUCAAGAUAAGUCAUGGACAGUGGAUGAACUGAUAUCUCAAUGUGUUCAAGAGGAAAAUCGACAGAAGCAAGACAAAGGAAAGGAAGCUGAGACCAUCAAUUUUGUGCAGACUUCUAAAAGGAGGGAUCUCAAUGCAAAUUCUGGUAAAUCUCCUCAAUUCAAACAUCCUGAUAAAUCUUUUGUGUCUGCUAAGAAUUCCCAUUCCUCUAAAUCUAAUAAUCUUAAAGUUAAAACUAAAAACAUUGAAAAGGUUAGGUGUCAUCAUUGCAAAACUAAAGGUCAUUAUAGAAAAGAUUGUGAAAUAUUCAAAGAAUGGCUUAGGGCUAAAGGUAGAGAACUAAUGUAUAUGUCUGUGAGGAAUCAAAUCUCAUUGAAAUUCCGGCAAAUUCCUGGUGGUUUGAUACUGGUGCAUCUGUGCAUAUAACCAAUUCACUGCAUGGUUUUGAAAAACAAAAACAAACAAAUGAUUAUAACGUUUUUGUUGGUGAAGGAACCAGAGUUGUAGUUGAAUCGAUAGGGAAAGUGAAACUAAAAUUGGCUUCUGAAUUUGUGUUGGAACUGUCCAAUGUUUUAUAUGUGCCUGCAAUGAGAAGAAGUUUAAUCUCUGCAUCUAAGUUAGUAGCUGAAGGUGUUAUUUUCAUAGGUGAUAAAGAAUGCAUCAAAUUUUUUUGUAGGGGAGCCUUGAUAGGAAAAGCAGUUUUGCAUGAUCAGUUAUGGAAAAUGCAGUGCACAUUGUUGGACAAUGAGUUAAGUGUUUUAAAUACGACUGCCAAAAGAAUGCAAAAUUUUGACAACUCUUAUAUGUUGUGGCAUAAAAGACUAGGACAUAUUUCGAAGGACAGGAUCAUGCAAUUAUCAAAAUUAAAUUUCAUACCUGCUUUAGAUUUUCAUAAUGCAUCUGAAUGCAUUGACUGUAUGAAGGGUAAAACCACCAACUUUAGGAAAAUGGAUGCCAAUAGAAGUAAAAAUUUGCUUGAGAUUAUACACACCGAUGUUUGUGGACCUUUUCCUAUCAAAACUAUUUGUGGAAAUUCAUACUUUGUGAGUUUUAUAGAUGAUUUCUCCAGACAUGGUUACAUAUUUCUAAUAAAAGAAAAGUCAGCAGUUCUUGAGUGUUUCAAAAUUUUUAAAUGUGAGGUAGAAAAACAACUAAACCUAGUGAUUAAGAUUGUUAGAUCAGAUAGAGGAGGGGAAUACUUUGGCAGGCACACAGAAGCAGGACAACAAAAGGGUCAUUUUGCACGGUUUCUUGAGCAGCAAGGUAUUGUGGCCCAGUAUACUACUCCGGGAACACCCCAACAGAAUGGAGUGGCUGAGAGAAGAAACCGAACCUUGAUGGGAAUGGUUAGAAGUCUCAUUUCAAGAUCUAAGCUGCCUGGUUUUCUGUGGGGAGAAGCAUUGAGGACAUCAAACUAUGUGUUGAACCGAGUGCCUACAAAAUCAGUGCCAAAAACACCUUUUGAGCUAUGGACUGGCAGAACACCAAGUUUUCAUCAUUUUCAUGUGUGGGGUUGCAAAGCAGAAGCUAGGUUUUACAACCCAAAUGAAAGGAAGCUCGAUUCUAGAACCAAUUCAUGCUACUUUGUGGGAUAUUCAGAGAAAUCGAAGGGUUUCAAGUUUUAUUGUCCUCGAGCACAGACAAGAAUUCAAGAGACUCACAAUGCAGUUUUCUUAGAAGACCAAGAUGUAUCAGACUUAGUGCAUGACACUUUUGAGUUUGAAGAAUCAGAACAACUCGUUGGCUCGGUUCCAAUGGCCUACAACCAUAUUUCAGUAUUGCCUAGAAAUCAGACAGAGGAAGAAGAUCUUGAUGAAGAGAUGACACAUGAAAUAGUUGCUGAAAUACAAAAUGAACAUGGAGAUACCUUUUCUACACGAAAUAUACCCCUAAGUGCUCCAAGUUCUCCCAUUGAGAAAGAUACAUGUCCAGUAAAUGAUCAAUUGAAUCUGAGGAAAUCAAGUAGAGCCAAGAAACCUGCAAUUUCAGCCGAUUAUGUCUAUCUCCAGGAGGCAGAAUUUGACAUAGGUGAUAUAGAUGAUCCAGCCACUUAUCAACAAGCAAUUCAAUGUUCUCAAGCUGCAUUAUGGAAGAAAGCAAUGAUGGAAGAGCUAGAUUCCAUGGCCAAGAACAAAGUAUGGACCCUUGUGAACUCCAAUUCAAAUGCUAAAACCAAUAGGUUGCAAGUGGGUCUACAAAACUAAAAGGGAUGCUGCUGCAGGGAGCAUAGAGAGAUACAAGGCUCGGUUAGUAGCCAAAGGCUUUACUCAGAGAGAAGGGAUUGAUUACAAUGACACGUUUUCACCUGUUUCUUCCAAAGAUUCUAUGAGGAUCAUCAUGGCUUUGACAUCUCAUUUUGAUCUGGAGCUACACCAGAUGGAUGUUAAAACCGCCUUUUUGAAUGGUGAUUUAGAGGAAGACAUAUACAUGGUCCAACCUCCUGGAUUUUCUGAAAGGGGGAAAGAUAAUAUGGUCUGCAAGCUAAACAAGUCAAUUUAUGGACUUAAACAAGCAUCUAGGCAGUGGUUCCUCAAAUUUGAUCAGGUAGUUACNCAAGUGUUCUGCUACACUUAAACCAUCCUUGUAUUCACAUGAUGAGCUCUUUGAUCAAGAAUGCUUUUUAGCUGGAGUUUUCUUCUCGAACAAGGACAAGCUUGCCAAAACUCGCGCAUUGGCAUUGACACAUGGUGAAACACUAUCGUCCACCCAUUGUCUAAUUGUACCAAUAGCCUUACGAUUCAUUUUCCACCGGCACGAACAUGCUCUCGGGCUGGCGGCAUCUCCUUCAAUUGGCUCAUGCAGAUCCUUGCAAUAAAGAGGCCUUCAUCCUUGGCUUUCAUGUUACCCAAUUGGAGUUGGUGAGUUUGAUCAUAGUGCCACUUCCUUCCAUCCGAGUACGAGCCAACUUGGCUCUGAUACCACUUGUAGGAAUGUCAUACUACAAGAUAGAGAAUGCACAAGGUAAAGUAGAAAAUGGACACCAAAAUUUAUGUGGUCGGCAAUUUAGCCUACGUCCAUAAGACAAGGAUCAAUCUACUAUAUGAAAAAGUGAGUACAACAAGAUAUCACCAAGCCAAAGACAAGGCUUGAUGGACAAGAAAGUAUGACACACACUUUCUAUUACUCUAAACUUCACUCACAAUGUGUAGUGGAACACUCUCACUCUCACUCUUGGAGUGGAACUCUAGCUUUGGACUUGAUCCUUUGCUACUCACACUUGGUUCUUAAUUGGUUACAUCACACCCAUAUUUAUAGGUGAGAGCUUGACAUUCUACUAGUUUCUAUUUCCUUCUUCAAACCUCUAGUAUAGAAAAUUCUAGACUAGCCACAUAAUUGUAGCUUCUAGAUCUUUCCAUUUGCAACCAAGGAAGCUAGUACUCUCUAACUUCUUCCAUCAACUUAAUAACAUGCAAGAAUUGUCUAACAUGCUCCCGCCUCCUCUCUUGCUUACUAGAAUAAUCUAGAACAUUGAUCAUAGGCUGGACCAUAUACCAACAAGGAGUUCUCUCAAUAGGUUCUGAUGGAAACCUAGUGCUGCAAGCCAAUACUAGCCAAGGCCUUAUUCCUCUGUGGUCAACAAAUGUUUGAUAUCAUCAGAGGCAACGUAAUAUUUUUGCGCAUUCUUGAUUCAGGAACCUUGGCGCCAGCUUGGCAGAGCACUGAUCACCGCGAAAUUCUUCUUCCGAAUAUGAAAGCCGUGGACAGAAGAAGUGGCAUAAACCGGUUCCUCACGUGUGGAACUGGACAAUGAUCCUGGACGGGGAAUGUUUCGUUGAGAAUGGACCGAAUGGAUCGCCUCAGUUGAUCUUGUACAAGGAUGACGCUAAGUAGUCAGGCAGUGGAACGGGAUUCAAUGGCGGCAUACCUGCCAUGCAUCGGAGCGUUGUGUUUAAGAUCAAUUUCUGAACAACAAAGAAAUUUCUGUGCAGUGGACUGUUCCGACUUUUAUUUACUCGGUGAUCACAAUGACGGGUCGGGACUCAACCAGCAUCAUGGCAGGACCAGCACACCAGUGGGUUUCGCUUUGGUCCGCACCUUGGAUGCCUGUGACAGCUAUGCAAGUGUGGUCAAUUUGGCAAUUGCAAUCCUUACACCAACAGUGGUUCAACUGCACAUGCUACCCGGAUAUGAACCAACCUCACCGCAGGAUUGGGAUUUAAGAGAUGGGACAGAUGGGUGCAAGAGGCCGCAGGGUUCGCCGUCCAUGUGCAGGAACGGCAAGGAUUUUGUGAAGAUGGAAAAUGUAAAGGUUCCAGACACGUCCUCUAUAAAAUUGGAGAAUAAUUUGAGCUUAGAAGCGUGUGAGGAGGAGUGCUUGAAGAACUGCUCGUGCUUGGCAUAUGCGAGUGCAGAUGUGAGGAAUGGAGGGACUGGAUGCAUGACAUGGUAUAGAGAUUUGAUGGAUACUAAGCAGUUCACAGAAGGCGGGCAAGAUUUGUACAUUCGCGUUGAUGCAGUAGUUUUAGGUACCUUAUUUUCCUACAGAUUGCGUCAAUUACAUGUUUCAAAUUCAUACCAUUCAUAGCACUGGUGAAUUGAUCUUUUUUUCAUUUUUUCAGCUCAGUAUAAAAACAAGUCAGGAGGAGGGUAUUUUUCCGGGAGAAGGCGACUUGCUAUUAUAUUGGUAGUGUCAAUUUCUGUCGCCUCAUUGCUCAUCCUCGCAGUUCUAUAUUGGUUCAGGAAAAGGAGAAGGAAAGGUAUGCGAAAAGGAAAAGUUUCCCCUUCUAUCGUCUUGUAAAUUUGUUUGCAGCUUUAUUUCAGCUCAAAUUUCAUUUUCUUUGUGAAAUUUUUUAUACCCUGAAAUUUCAAUGGAAUUGAAACAGGGAGAGGAGGAGAACCCAGAUUUCUGAACGAUCCCGCUGCUUCUCGUGUACGAAGCUAUGAAGAUUUGCCAACAAAAAAUGAGGUUGAUGAACACAGAGGAGACACAGAUUUACCUUUUUUCGAUUUAACCACUGUGGUUGCAGCCACAGAAAACUUCUCUUCUGCUAACAAGCUUGGACAUGGCGGCUUCGGCACGGUAUACAAGGUACUUUCCCUAGAUCAUUUUGAGUGUCUCAGCGUUGUGUGGCUUCAAAUAAAAUAUGAAAUACGCUUCCGUGUACUUUGUUUACUCUGCUGCAAAUAUACCAAUACAUAAGCUCUGUGACAUUGAGGCAGAUAAGACAGAAUUGGAUGUAAACAUUAUAUCGAUCUGAAGUUGCCAUUAAGAUUGUCGAGUCUUCACUGUGAUUUCAGGGAUGUCUAGCUGAUGGACAGGAUAUAGCUGUCAAAAGAUUAUCGAGAAAUUCAGGACAAGGCGUAGAUGAAUUCAAGAACGAAGUAAUGCUUAUAGCAAAGCUUCAGCAUAGAAAUCUUGUUAGGCUUUUGGGUUGCAGCAUAUAUAAAGAAGAGAGGAUGCUAAUCUAUGAAUACAUGCCGAAUCGCAGCUUGGACUUAUGCAUUUUCGGUAUGCAAUCUAUGAAUACAUGCUGAAAUUAAGAAAUCCUAAACUUGUAGCUAAUAGAAGUUUUUAUGUGUUGUGUUCAGAUAAAGACAGAAAGUCGUUGUUAGAUUGGAGAAAGCGGUUUCAAAUUAUCAUUGGGAUUGCUCGAGGCGUCCUAUAUCUUCAUCAAGAUUCGAGACUAAAAAUAUUCCACAGGGAUUUGAAAGCAAGCAAUGUUUUACUGGAUGGUUCAAUGAAUCCAAAAAUAUCACAUUUUGGCAUGGCAAGAAUGUUUGGGGAUGACCAAAUUGAAGCAAACACGAAUAGAGUUGUUGGCACCUAGUAAUUCUCUCCUCUCACUUGAAAUAAAACUCUGGAGUUGAUAUUUUUUUUAGUACUGAUAAUGUGUGAUUGCAGUGGUUACAGGUCACCAGAGUAUGCUAUGGAUGGGCUAUAUUCUACAAAAUCCGAUGUGUUUAGCUUCGGAGUCUUGGCACUAGAGAUCAUUAGCGGCAGAAAGAACAAUUUCCAAUUCGAAAACACCUUUCUGAAUUUGGUUGGACUUGUAAGUAGACAAAUAAUUUUUUAGACAUUGAAUCUAACUCUUGCAUAGUCCAAUGAUCUAAACAUUGUGCUCACACUUGUUUCAGAUAUGGGACUUGUGGACAGAAGGAAAAGUCUUGGACAUAAUUGAUUCAUCACUGAACCAGUCGUAUUCGACUCAUGAAGUUAUGAGAUGCAUUUAGAUUGGGCUCUUGUGCGUGCAAGAAAACGCAACGGACCGGCCAGCCAUGCUAGAUGUUGUAUUCAUGCUGGGGAAUGAAACGAAUCUUCCACAUCCAAAAAGGCAGCGUCUAGCUUCAAAACCGGCGGUCCAGAUUCUUCAACGUCUAGAGGAGCUUCCUCUGUAAAUGAUAUAACAGUAACAGUUAUUGAAGCUCGUUGAGUUUGCACUUUUUAGGCCCUUGUAGAGAUUUUGCUUUACUUCUUAAAGUAUUUGUACUCAAAUCGAGAUUUCUUUGUAUGUGAGGAUUUUAAAUUCAAAUUCAAAUCCUAGAAUCCAAACGAGGCCCAAAUGUUUAACAUGAAGACAUGUGAGUAACAAAUUGAAAUUCUCAGUUGUAAACAAAAAUCUUGGGCGUGACAGGUAGCGUGCGAAUUCCCCUUCUUAACAAAACAAGUUUGAGUUUUUAACUUUUUUUUAUUACAAAAAUAAGCUUGGAAUUUUGACAAAAGUUAGAACUUAUAAAUUAAUAUGCACCAAUUCAUUUAUUUUGGAUUCAUAAACAUAGAAAUUUUGAAUUUUCGCGUGAAAAAAAAUUGGAAUUUGGGACUCCAAGUGUUUUAAAUUCUAUGUAAAUGAAUGUCAUUUCUAAAUUUUUAUGAGUGGAAGUUUAAAAAUAAAAAAUUCCUGUUCAGAUUCGAUCGUUCUUGUAGGUUAACCAAACAAAAAAAAAAUCAAAUUUUUUACAAAUUCUAAAAAAUAAAAUUCCAUCAUUUUGAAAUUCCUUAAUAAUUUUAAAUUUCUUUGUUCAGUGUAAAGCUAAAUUGAAAUUCUCAGUUUUCGAUAACUACGCUGGUAACACGCUAAUGACUUUUUUGUUAAAUUAUUAUUAAUACUAAAUUAUUGGACCACAUGCUAAAGACUUAGGUUAUAAAACAUUUCUUCUUCUUUCAAGGACGUCUUCUUAUGUGGACCCAAAAAAUGAUGCCCUCAUAUAUUAUAACACUUCAGACAUACUAUAAUUUUAUGCUUAUCUACACUCUUUUUUUUUUUUAAUGAUUUUAAUAGUCACCUCGCGGCACUGAAGGCAAUUAUAUUACUUUAUGAAAUUACUACUGAGUCUAUCUGCCCCCUGAUUUAACGUUAUUUGCAAAAUUGCCACUGGGCUUCGGAAUGGGUUUUGGGUCUUUGGGCGGAAUUUUCGGUUUUGCGAUCCACGCGUUGAUGAUCGCUGUGUAAGAUCGCCGGCUGUGUGGGAUUUGGUGAGGGGAUGGGACAAAAACGGAAAGCCAAACCUCCGCCACAAACGAAGUCACGAACGCCACUCUCACUCACCCUCCACCGUUGCACACGAACCCAAUCAUAAUUCUGAAAUCCAAACACGACCCAGAUGGCAAUGGCCACUUCUUCUUCCUUCCUCUCAGUCCCUCUCCUAAAGACCUCUUCUUUGCUUUCCCCAGUUAAACACUGCACUUCGCCGCUGGUCCAUCUUUGGGUCAGACGUAUCCUGGUCACGAGGUUUCAAGAUGCAUCCACAUCGGGCAACUUUGCGUGCAAGAAAGUGCAUCAGAUAGGCCAACCAUGUCCGAAGUUUUCUUCUGUUGGGUAAUAAAACAACUCUUCCCUCUCCCAAGAAACUUGCUUUUAUAUUACAAUCCAACAAUCCAAACUCAGCAGUGUCAAACAGAGGAGCUUCCUCUCUAAACAACGGGACGAUAACUACGUUUGUAGCACGGUAAUGGUUAGGUUAUACAACAUUUCUUCUUCUUUCAAUUAUGCGUUCAUGUGUUAUUACACUUCAGACAAUGUACUGUACUUCUAUGCAUGGUACAUACUGUUAAUUUUCUUUUAAUGAUUGCAAUAGUCUCCUCGCGGCACUGAAGGUAAUUAUAUUUUCUUUGAACAACGAUGGAAAGCAACAUAAAGAUUUGUCGACAUAUUCAAAGAUAACAAAACUCUUGGUAGAAAAAAAUGCAUCGGAUAUAUGGAGAGGAGAAGGGAUUAGGUAUAGUCGAUCCAUCUUUGGGUCGGACGUACUUUGCGUGCAAGAAAGGGCAUCAGAUAGGCCAACCAUGGCGGAAGUUACUUUCACAAGGCAUUACGUGGUGUUGAAUUUUAUGACAAAAAUGAAACGUAAAAUCAUUCAUUACGGGUCGUACUCGUACAGACUUGGCCCCAUUCAGAGCCAAUUUGUCUUAUCUAUCUACUGAAUACAACUGGAAGUCGAGCGUAUGAGAAAGAAGCAACCAUUGUAGCACUUAAACUCCUCCAUGAGAAAGCUAACAAUGAAUUCUACUGAAUUCUUUUUUGUCAGUACUGUAUUGCUCGUCUUCCUUGUGAUUCUUCCCUCUUCCAUUUCGGUUACCCUAGACGCCAUUACAUCAAGCCAACCCCUAAGAGAGGACGACGUUCUUCUCUCCACCACUAAAAUCUUUGCACUAGGGUUUUUUAAGCCAGGCAGUUCUCGUAACCGUUACAUCGGAGUUUGGUACAACAAAAUUCCAAUCAAAACCAUUGUCUGGAUUGCAAACAGAGAAAACCCCAUAGUUCCUACUGCUGGAAAUGGACUUCUAGCCAUUCAUGGAGAUCAUGGUGGCCUUGUUAUUUAUGGGGAGGACCAAAACACCCCUAUCUGGUCCGCUAAUCUCACCGUCUCUUCUCCAAACAAUUCCGUGAUAGCCAAGCUUUCGAAUAAGGGAAAUCUUGUUGUUGAAAUUAAUGGUGAAAAGGUGUGGCAAGGUUUUGAUUAUCCCACAAAUACGAUGCUUCCCUUUAUGAAAAUUGGGCUGGACAGGCGGUCCAGAUUGAACCGUUUCCUCACAUCUUGGAAGUCCCAAGAUGAUCCGGGAAUGGGCAACUGUUCGUUCCGGAUGGAGCCAAGUGAGAGUCCACAGGAGUUCUUAUACAAGGGUCAGACUCGAUUGUGGCGGACUGGACCUUGGACCGGUGAAAGAUGGUCCGGGGUGCCUGCAAUGGUAAAACUAUUCUUCACCAACGUUACUUUUGUGAACAAUCAAGAUGAGGUAUCCAUCAUGGAUCUAGUUCCUGAAUCAAGCUUCGUAAAAUUGGUGAUCGAUGAAUCAGGAAACAUUGAACGGUCCGCAUGGGACGAUGAAGUGCAUAAAUGGGUCCCGCAUUGGUCGCCGGAUUGGCAGUGUGAUUCUUACGGGGUGUGUGGUCCGAAUAGCAUUUGUUACCCAUACCCAAACUUUGAAGAUAAAUUUGAGUGCAAAUGCCUACCUGGAUUCGAACCCAAGUUGCAACAUGAGUGGUAUUUGAGAGAUUGGUCAGGCGGGUGCGUGAGGCAAAAGGGUCCAUCCGUUUGCCAAAACGGGGAAGGGUUCGUGAAGUUGGAACGUGUGAAGGUGCCGGACACUUCUACGGCACGUGUGAACAUGAGUAGGAGUCGGGAAGCAUGUAAAGAAGAAUGCCUGAGAAAUUGUUCUUGCACGGCAUACGCAAAUGCAGAUGAAAGGCAGGGAGGGAGUGGCUGUAUAACAUGGCAUGGGGACUUGAUGGACGCAAGGACUUAUUUGGAUACGGGUCAAGAUUUAUAUGUGCGAGUUGAUGCAAAUGUUUCAGGUAUAUUUCCAUUAUCAAUUUAUCUUCUUUCUUAUAUUUUCCUUAUCAAUAAUUCCCCUCGUAACACCGAGGUUCCAUGAAAAAAAAAAAAUCUUCUUUCUUUAUUUCAUUAAAAAAUUUAAGGAAUUAUUCUUUAGUUUGGUAGUUGUACGUUUGUUGUCAUUCUAAAAAAAUCAUUUGGCACUGGUCUCUUGCCGAAUAAUAAAUGUGAAAUUAUUCAGUCAAGCGUGUAAGAUGACUUUUUUAGAGGACUAAUUUUUUUUAUAAAAAAUUCUGAAAUUUCUAUAAAUUAAUACUAAAAAUUUAGUUCUUAUGUUGAUUGGAGCUUUUUACAAGGUUUUUUUUUUCCCGAAUUUUUACAAGGUUUUUUAAACAUGGAAAUAAAUGCUUGUAUAUCUACAGCUCAAUACGCAAAGAAGUCAAACAGUUUUUUUGGCAAGAAGAGGAAGCUGGAAGUUUCAGUAGCAUUUGGUCUAUUGUUCUUCCUCUUGUUUUCCCUUGCAUGUUGGUUGGUAAAGAGGAAGAGAAAAGGUAAACAAAUUUCGUUUUACUAGGUUGCCCUCUAAUCAUUCACAAUUAUGUAACUGGAUAUUGGUUUUAAUUAAUUAAGAACACAAUAUUAUCUGUUUAUGUACUUUUAUCACAGGUCAGAGAAGUCAGGAUAAAUUUUUCAAUGCGACCAUAGCAUCAACCUCCUGGGAAGAUUCUUCUACUAGAACAAAUAUUGAUGAAAGUGGAAUAAACUCCGAAUUACCAUUCUUUGAACUAAGUGCCAUAGUUAAGGCCACAAAUAAUUUUGCUUCCAACAACAAGCUUGGAACAGGUGGUUUCGGCUCCGUUUAUAAGGUACGUAGUUGCCCUCAGAUAAUGUCUCAAAUCACAAAUCAAACUUUGAAUAGACAUUUUUUAGAUAUAUUUUUUAGCCAUCUGCACUCCAAAUCAAAUUUUUUAUUACUUUUUCCUCUACUCACCCUUGUACUUUAAACAUAAGAACAUACCCUUGUAGUUUAAACAGAAGAACAUAAUGAAGAAAUCUUGCAGAGAAAGAAAGAGAAUCAAGAAGAGAGAGGGAGCAAGAUUUAGAGAGAGAGAGAGAGAGAGAGAGAGAGAGAGAUUUUAGACAAAAAGUGAAUCUUUGUUAAUGGUUUCAGAAAAAUACAAGGUAGUGUUCCAUAAGGAUAUAUAUCCAAACUAUAUUGCUCAAGCUAAGCUAACAUUUAGCUCACAGGUAAUUGACACUUGCAAACAAUAGGAUUACAAGACCAUUACAGUUAACAAAAAUCAAGAGACCCGUCCAAUAAAGACUGGAAAGGCUGACUCAAAAAUAUAUUUCAUUAAAAUUCAAACUCAAUCAAUAAUCGAUAAGUGAUGGGAACUAUCUUAUUUCUACUUUUCACAAUUAUCCCACACGGUGAUGUGGAUUUUGAAACUGUAUAAAACACGUAGAAAGUUUUAAAUCUAUAUAUGGUAAGCCAUACUAAUAUAUAUGUAGUAUAUAUAAAUUCCCACAUCCCAAGAACCCUAAUUUAUAAACUCCCAAUCAAACGCAAAAAGGAUAGAGGAAACCCAAAUAAAGGGAAAUUCGAGAAAUUCAACAUACCGUAAAACGCUUUCUAACAUCGAGAGAUACGGGAAUCGGAGAGAAAAAAAGAGCAGAGGCAGAUGAAACAUUGUGGGUUUUCCAAUAGAGAGAUGAGGGAUGAGAUAUGGCAGGAAAGCGCACGCGUAGGAGAGAAAGAGGAAAAGAGGUGAGAGGAGAGCGCGUCUAACCUGAUUCCCAAUCCCGUCCCAAACCCUCUGUACAAAAUUGUGGGCAUUUUGGUCAACAAACAAAAUAGUGGCAGAGUUGUAAAUACAACAAAAUAAUGCAAUUGAAAACCUUACUUUAGAUUAAAGUAAUAAUUCACAAUACUGCGAUCUUUUGUUAUUUCAAUCGCGUUUCUCCUUCACUUGAUGUAGUCAAAGCAUUUUUAUGCAUAUGCAUUGAGUUUUACUCCUUUGUUAAUGUAUAAAUGCAAUUUCAAGGAGAGGAUAUAUAUAUAUAGAGCUAUGAUUAUGUUGACAAUUUUCAUGAAAGGUAAGUGCACUAUAAGUUGAAUUUGGAUUAUAAAUUCAGGGUGUGCUUGAUAAUGGAAAGGAGAUAGCAGUGAAAAGACUAGCCAAGAAUUCUGGCCAAGGAAUUGGAGAGUUUAAGAAUGAAGUUCUGCUGCUUUCAAAGCUCCAACACAGGAACCUUGUGAGGAUCAUGGGUUGCUGCGUUCAAGAUGAAGAGAAGAUGUUGAUCUAUGAAUACUUGCCAAACAAAAGUCUUGACUUUUUCAUUUUCGGUAUGUCUUUCUUUUACUUUUGUUAUUCUUUUUAUACAAGCAAUAUUGUGGAGGGGAAAUCAAGCUCAGGACCUCAGGUGUAGGAUUGAAUGCUCUUAACUCAACUUAGUUACAAGCACUUUUCUUUUCCCUUGUGUAUCUAAAAUUGUCGGUUAGAAACCUUGAACCAAGCAAGAAUACAAUCUAAUUUACUUUGCUUAUUUUGUUCCCAUAUGAAGCAAAAGGGGAGUUCUUGGAUUGGACAAGAUGCUUUGAGAUAAUCUGUGGGAUUGCUAGAGGGAUCUUAUAUCUUCAUCAGGAUUCAAGAUUAAGAAUCAUCCAUAGAGAUCUAAAGGCCAGCAAUGUUCUGUUGGAUUCUGCUAUGAACCCCAAGAUUUCAGAUUUUGGUAUGGCUAGGAUAUUUGGAGCUGAACAAAUUGAAGCAAAUACAAACCGUGUGGUUGGGACAUAGUAAGUUUCAUUCAAAACUGAAAGUACACCUGUUUUUUUUUUUAAGUUUCAUCCCUACGAGUUAUACAAUUAACUUUUGUUGAAUAAUACAGAAAGAAGCUGUGAUAAUUAAUCAAUUUUAUUUUGUUGUUUCAGCGGUUAUAUGUCACCAGAGUACGCAAUGGAAGGACUUUUUUCAGUAAAGUCUGACGUAUAUAGCUUCGGUGUUUUACUACUAGAAAUUGUUACUGGCAGAAAGAACAUCGGCUACCACCACGAUAGUCCUUACUCAAAUUUAGUUGGACAUGUAAGCAUAACAUUAAAACAUUACCAAACUUCUCUCCAUCUGCUUUUAUAACUUGAUGAUUAAUUUGUAAAUGGUUUUUAGGUUUGGGACUUGUGGAAGGAAAAUAGAGCCUUGGAAAUCAUUGAUUCAUCUUUAGGAGAAUCAUACCCUGUCAACAAAGUUCUAAGAUGUAUUCACAUUGCCCUCUUGUGCGUGCAAGAGCAAGCGAAGGAUCGUCCACUCAUGUCAGCAGUGGUUUCCAUGUUGGGUAAUGAUGCUGCAAUUCCUUCACCAAAGCAACCUGGAUUUUUGUUGAAGAGUGGUUAUCAUAGUAGUGGAGACCCAUCAACCAAUACUGAUGGAGCUUGCUCUGUAAAUGACAUGACCUAUACAGAAGCAGAAGGUCGCUAAGGGGAGAACCAGACGUAUAAUCAGACCGACUUAUAUUAUUCAAUUGAGAAUCACAUGAUGAGUGAGAUAAGAAGAGAGGAUAUACCCCGAUUUCACUCAAUAAUUUUCCUUAUAACUAGGGAUCUAAGUUCUAUAUUAAUAUGCAACACUCAUCAUCUGUCUUAUUGUAAAUACACGUUAUAAAAUAUAUGCCCUAUAAUUGGGGAUCUAAGUUCUAUAGCUGUUAUACUCAUCAUCUGUCUUGUUGUAAAUACAAGCUAUAAAUUAUUUGCAACAUUCAGCAUCAGUCCAACCAAGCUUGUGAAAUCCCGUUCCUGGAUUUCACUGUUAUAAUCUACAUGUUUGUAGUAUUGAGAUUUUAUAUUAUUUUUCAAGAAUUUAUAUUAAUUUAUUUGAAUUUAGAUUUCAAUUAAACUAGUUACGAAGAGUGAAGUUUGGAAAGUUAUUAUAUACUUGUUGACCUUUUGAGGUCAUAAGUAACGUUUUCGAAUAAAGCUUGAUCCCACGAAUGCAUAGGCGAAAGGCGUUUGCAAGUCUGGAUUAUAACGGUAUAGUUAAAGACGUUUGAAGUUGUGAUACUAUAAAUUUUAGGAAUUGAUUAUCUCCCACUUUGUGGGUAAGGGCCCAGAUAGAUAUGGGGUUAAGUGGACCAUCAGAAUUGAAAAAAAAAGGGGGGGGGGGGAAGCAACCAAUCAGGAAAGAGGAGGAAAGAAAUGAGAAAGAAAAAGGAAAAAGGAAGGAGGGGAAAAUGCCCCUUUCCCGUCGACCCACCCAACUAGGUUUGACCCGGUUCUAAUUCCGGCGGUUUCCGCUAUUUUUUCCGUCGAACCACCACCAACCAACAACUGCAACCUCUUCUACAACAUCUCAUCUACCAUUCCCACCCAAAAUCAUAGGAAAUUUAGUUGUAGUUUGGUGAAAAACACACCAUGGGUACCGUGGGAAACCUCGUCAUGAUUCAUCAUUUGUGAAACGAUUUCAUUCAAUUACCACCACCAUUAGACUCUCCUUGAACCCAGGAAUAAAGCCCAAACAACCUUGGAGACGUCGGAGCAAGUAUGGAGUUCGUAUUGAAGCACACCUAAUUCUAGGGUUCUGGAUGUUCGUGGGUGAUUUCAGGAGUUUCCAGGCCAAAUUGGCCUUAGCCAUAGGUAUAAAAAUUACUCCCCUCAUUGAGAUCUACAUGCCUGUAAAAUUUGGUAAUUUUUGGAAUUAGUUGAAUUUUCCGACAAGUCGGGGCGGCCGACUGCCAUGUGCGGCGGCGCAUAGGCCGAAGUAACCCCUGACCUUCCUAGGAUAAAUUUGAUACCCCAAUUCCAUAUGUGAAGUCUGAUUGACGAAAUCUCGUCAUAUGGUUAUAGAUUUGAUGGAGACCGCCACUUAGACAUUAUAUGAAUCGAUGAUUAGAUUGUUGGAUCGUCACCAAAAUUUAAUAUGUUAUAGUAUGUAAUAUUUGAGGAUAACAGGAACUUACGGAUUGGGAAUAGAUGUACGGAUCUUCCCGAAUUGGAUUUACAAGUUUGUAAAAUAAAACGUCGACAACCAUUUAAAUUCGUGAUUGGCGGAGAUCCGACCGUUUGAUCAUAAUGAAAUUUUAGUAUGUUAUUCUAGAAGCAUAAUGUGGACUUUGGGAAGUUAUGGAUCAGAAAUCUAAUGUGCGGAUCUUUAGGAUCGAAUUACGUAGAGUUGUGGACCCUAUCGUUGACAGAGAGUUGAUUUGUGGUCAACAUGUCUCGAAACGUUCUAAAUAAUAAAAUUAGUACUACGAGACUAAUUGAAGUCUAGUGGGCCUAUAUUGGUUAGAUAGUGACUUGAAUAUAUGAGAUAUGAUUAUUAUCUUGAUUUCUUAUGUUGGUAUCAUUUGUGAAUAUGAUUUGGUCUUAUAAAUAUGAUUUCUAUUGAAAUGUGAUUUUUAUAUAUUUAGCCAUAGGCCUAUGCUUAUUACAUAUGAUUUGGCUUGUGUACUGAUGAUGUUUGUGAUAUAUAUGUGUUUAAUUAUCUUUUUAAUAAUAUGAAUGAUAAUUAUGAUGAAUGUUAUGACAAGUAUGGGAUCUAAUUAUUGCUUGAUAAUUAUUUGGAUAUGAUUGCCAACUGAAUACCUAUUUGAACUUGGCAUUACUACCUAGUAUGUGAUAGGGAUGAAAGUCUGGAGAUGAGUUAGGUACUUUAUUAGAUUUUUUUAGUAGAAAUAGUAAUUAGGGGAAUUCCUUAUGAUGUGCUCCAUAUGACUAGAUGCUGGUUGAUAUGUGGAAUCGAUAGCGUGUAUACGUAUAAUUGGGUAUAAUGUAUGAGGCUAGAUAAGCCUUUUGUGUAGAGUAGGAAAAGAUAUGGUGAAAUGGGGUCGCCCUGUUGAAUCCCACGAGAGGGGAGGAGGUAGCCACAAAGACGACUGUUGAUGACAAAAGAGUACGAUACUGAGCAUACGAAUUCCAUCACCAGAUUGGUCUAAUUCAAUGAGAACCCCAUACGAACUAAAAUACUCUUGAGAUAAUCCCACUCAAUUCUGUCAUAUGCUUUGUUAAUGUCCAAUUUUAAGGAUAAAAACUCUUUUUUUCCUCGAUGGCGCUUCAUGAGGGAAUGGGAGAUUUCUGAAGCCAGAAUCAAAUUGUCUGAUAUCAUUCUUCCCGGAACAAAUGCGUUCUGAGCAGGAGAUAUGAUGUGGUUUAGAAUUCCUUUCAACCUAUUUGCCAUAACUUGGAAGCAAUCUUAAACAGGACGUUACAAAAGCUUAUGGGCCUGUAUUGAGAGAUAUCAUUAGGGUCAUUUACUUUGGGGAUGAGGCAAACAUGGGUGAAUUUUUUUUUUUAGUAACCUGUCCGAUUGGAAAAUGCAUUGGAUGGCGUUCGUCACAUUCGCUCCAACAAUGGCCUAAUAUCGUUAGAAGAAAAAAGGGGACAUUCCAUCGAGCCCCAGCACUGUUGAAGGUUGCAUAUUAAAGAUAGCAUCCCGAACCUCUUCAGCAGAUACAUGCAAAUCCAAUCUGAGAUUCAUCUCCGAAGUCACCCGACGAUCGAUGGUUUGGAGCACCUCCUCACCACCCCCCGUCGGACCAGCUUUAAAUAAGUCUUCAAAAUAGUUUAAGAUCGAGGACUCGAUACCCUUUUCAUCAGAAAUCCAAUUGCCAUUGCUACCAUAUAACCCUUUGAUAAGAUUUUUGGACUUGCGGUUUUUAGCCCGUUUGUGAAAGAAGCGAGUGUUCCUAUCGCCUUGGCUGAGCCAUAGAGAUCGAGAUUGUUGGUGCCAGUAAGUUUCUUCUUGACCCAAUAAGACAUCGAGACACUCCAUUGGAAGCUUCCUUUCAGCUAAGGCCGCCUCUGACAGUGGUUAAGCAAGAAUAAAACCAAGUUUCAAACGUAUUUCGUUUAUAUCCUCAAUACGUCCUUUGAAGACCAUAUGUUGCCACUUAAGAAGGGCAAUCCUGGUGGCCUUAAUUUUGUGGACCACUUGGAUGUGUACCCUGGUUACAGGACGACUUAAUGCCUCCUCUAUAACAUUCUCGCAGUUUUCGUGGGAGGCCCAAAACUUCUUGAAUUAGAAUCCAUGUCGACAUUUCCUCCUGGGAACAAGUUUCCCGUCUAUGAAGAGAAUAAUAGGAACAUGAUCAAGUUUUGUGGGAUCCAUAUGGUGAACUUUGGCAUUACAGAAUAAGAAUCUCCAUAGAGGGAAUGCCAAGACCACCCGGUCCAAACGUUCUUUUAUGCCUCCCGACUGCGUGGUGAUCCAGGUGAAUUAGUUUCCAGAGAAACCAAGGUCCAGGAGAUUGCAAUUAGACACCGCCAACCUGAAGUCGAGAAUCUGCUUGAUAGGCCUAGAUGGGCCGCCCUCAUUCUUGUUAGCGCUGAGAAGCUCAUUGAAGUCCCAUCUCAUAAUUCAGGGAGGGAACUAGCUGAUGCUAAAGAGCGAAGGAGGUUCCAGGUGGUUGCCUUUUCGGUUGUAAUCGGGUUGCCAUAAAAGCUAGUAAAUCUCCAGUGUAGAGGGUCGGUGUUGCAUCCAAUCUCUCAAUUGAUGUGAUUAUCAGAAGCAGAGAGAAUCCUUAAGUCAAUGCUGGAGUGCCAUAGCAAAUAGAGGCCUCACGCACUUCCUCGAGACUUGACACAAAAUGACCUGUCAAAACUUAACUUGAAUUUCAGAGACAAAAUACUAUGACGCGAAGAUUUGGUUUCACACAAGAAAACUAGGAUGGGAUCUUGCUACUUGAUGAUGUCUUGCAGUGCCUGAACUUUCCAGGGGUUCCUAAGCCCCCAGCAGUUCCAGAAUAAGAAUUUCAUGGUUUAUGAUGCGGUUGCACCCUGUUAACCGUCGCCAAUGAUGUCGAAGGUAGGUGAAUGUUCCUGCCCAGCUAGCCCCUAUUCUCAGCCUAUUCCAGCUCUUUAGAAGGGCUAAUAGCGAUGUCGCAAAGAUGAUCAGAAUCUAAAACCUCAUCGUCAUGUGCUGACCUGAGACAGGGGGAUUCAGCAUCCAUACGACUACCAGACCUGGAUUUGGAGCUACGAAGGUUCAGAUUUAAGAGAUAGAGGGGACGACCCUUUUUUAAGUUGAGGGAAAGUCGAGGUUUUUUGGUCAAGGGAGAGACCAAAAUUGACUUCACGCUUUUACCGUUGGAUUGCUCAGCCAGAUGAGAUGUAUGCUUGAGCUCAAGAUUGCUGAUGUGUAAUAAGUUGGUGCCAGGUGGAAAACAACCUUGGGCUAAGAACUUAGAGGGGCUGGUUUGAACAUGAUCUGAGGCUCGUAAAAACUCAUCCACAUCUUUUAAGGCCCAUAGAGGAAGCUUGUUGGGGUCACACUAGUUUUUUUUCCAAGGAAAGCCCAUUAACAGCUAUGGACAUGGUGUCGUUAGAGAAAGGGUUCUGUGAUUAAAAUGUGGCUGCCGAUCAGUACUGAUGAUAAGAGGGGACACGUACUUCUUUCUGAUGCAACAAUUGGAUCGUAGGGGGACAACGAGUUAGCAGUCGCAGUGAUGGCAGGUCUGACGGUCAGAGAAUUAUCGGUGUACUCUGCCAGUCUGGAUUGAUCAAGUUUGGCCUGUCUAGCCAGGAAUACGGUAGUCGGAAUGUCUGAAUCUUCGUCCAGCAGGUCGUAGAAACCAUAAUCGUCGAUUUCCCAUUUGCAUCUCCAAUGGUGCUUAUUAGCCCCAUCUCUGCUAAACAGCCUCGAAAUUGGGAAUAGUAGAAAACUCGCCCUAAACAGACUUUCGAUGCAAAAUGAUUGGUUGAAUCGGCUUUCACCAGACGGCAGAAUGGGAGUCGGACGAGGGCAGCCGCUUGAAUGACCUAGGCGACCAUACUUAUAGUAGAAAAUUCUGAAACCUUCAUAGCGUAGCCGAAUAGUAUAUGAACACAGCUUUGGGCAUGACACCGAGAAGCUGGUGAGCAAUGGUUUCGAGGUAUCAAAAUCGACUCGCAUGCGGAGAAAGCCUCUAAACCCCAUUUCCAGAGGAUCCUCAACCUCUAGAAUUUCCCCCAUCUUAAAACCCAGGCAUCUCACAUUCUUCAAGGUGCAUUAGUUCCUAGGGAUACCGUGCUCCUAGAUCCCAAUAAAUGGCCCUGUUAGGGAUUAUAUCAUCGAGAAAGUGAAAUGACGGCCAUAGUUUCACUGAGAAGGUAUAGUCCCUGAUGAACCAGGGAUUUCCUUCCAAAAGCCUCAUGGCGACAGCUUCUUCCCCAACUGUGAUAACAUACAAGUUUGCUUUUGCACAAAGAACGCGAAUAACCGCCAUCUUGUUCCAAGUAGAGCGAAUAACCUCCUUCACCACAGUCUGGGAAAAUUCAUGGUCAACGAUGAGUGCACAACGAUGAGUCUGCGAAUAACAUACAAGUGCCUUCGCCCAUGAGCGGUAGGUCUCGGGUUCGAGACUUGGGAGCAGCCUCUCCAUAAAUGGGGGUAAGGCUAGCCGACAUUCACCUCUCCCAGACCCUGCGUAAAGCAUUCUUACUAAAAUCACACUCAGUUAUUUUAAAUACUUCUAAACAAGCCCUAAAACACACCAAAAAAUAAAAACAAAACUGCAUAAUAAGAUGAGCAUUUCGGUUAACACGUACACCAAACAAUUGUAUUCAAAUGGCGGCACAUUUCCAGUACUAACAUAAUUUAGUCUAUCCACUUUGGUAACGUAAAGAAGAGGUAAACCAUGAAUUUAAACUUGGAGGCAGAUUGUCUGCCCUUUCUUUCCCAUGCCCUUCUCAUCCCUUUCUAUUUGUGCGGUCAUGGUUAAGCCACGUCAACAUUUUAUAUUCAUAUUGCUUUUUGUUUUAUUAUCUCUAUUAAAAAAUUAAUAUAAAAUAUUGACGUGGCUUAACCGUGAUCCUACAAAUAGAAGAAGAUGAGAAGGAUAUGGGAAAAAAAUGGCAGACAAUCUGCUCUUUUAAACUUUGGUACUUUGGCAGAAGAAAGCAAAAGAGUUAAAUAAAUUAUUGAACCAUGAAGGAGGUUGAGAUUUGUUUUUAUCUACACGAGCAAUUGAAAAGUCAAAAAGCAUGAGCUAACAAAAAUGGGUCGUCAUCACCAAGUUAGUUGGGUGACUUUUUCUUAUUAAUUUUGGAAGAUGGUACUAAAUUCAUAUUUUCUAUCUUGUUGAUCAAAAGGAAAAACUUAUAUGCCUCGGUUGAAAGUACAUUUAAAAUUGUUGAAAACAUUUUUAGUAAAAAUAUUUUUAAAAUCAAUUUUUUGUAAGAAAAAUUUCAAAUAAUUUUAGGCCCAAAAGUAUUUUUUUUACAAGUGUUUUCUAUUAUUUCAAAAAUACUUCCAAACGAGCUCAUAGUUAAUUAUAAACAUAAAUAGUUUUUUAAAAUAAUGUAUGAUCAUUAUCAUCUAUUCAUACAAAACACACAGAGUAAGGUAGCCAACCAAGAUAUACACAGUUGAAUGAUCCAUUUCUUGUGGGAAAGAAUCAUUUUCACACCAUUCUUAGUUCCAUGGUUCGAUUUCAGUCGUUACUCUUUGAUGGAUAUUUACAUAUACAAUCAAACUAUUUAGACACAAAAUUAAUUUACUUGAUAAGAUACUCUCUUAAAUAAGACAUGUAAUGUGUCCAAUUCUUGAUCAAAAUUAGGCUUUUAAUAUUCAAAGGCCGAGUGGCGUCACAAGAUUUAAUUAUGCAUGCAUGUCAUUUUCCUCAUGAAUUUUUCUUUUAACAAGAAAUGAUAGUAAUUUUCUAUUAACGAACGAUAGCAAAUAUUUAGGUUGUCGCAUGGAUACAAUUUCUAGUCACAAGACUCACAAAUAUAUGAUUUGGAGGUAGUUCACACAAACGAGCAAUAAUGCUAAUCCUUUAUUGGAUACCACAAGCGUGUGAACUAGCACAAGCACAAUCAGUACAAAUCUGCCACAAAGACGGCAGGUGCAACAUACUUAAUUAUACCAGUGCACCCAUAAUGUCACUGUCAUAUAAACGAGACCACAUUAAAUUAUCACUAACAAACUAGGCCACAUCAAAACCACCGCUACCAAAGUUUAUAAUCUUAUCAAUUAAAUGUCUUUAUUAAAUCUUUUGACAACAGAAAAGAAAGCGUCAUAAUUAAGAAAUUGAUUUAAUAACAGUGAGAUAUUAACGAGGCAGACCUUGCGUAGUUGCAUUAUAAAUAUGGAAGAAAACAUUCGACGGUAAUCCUAUCGACUAAAAAAAUUAAGCACGGAAUAUCUCAACAAAAAAUAAAAAAAAUAAAAAAAAGCACGGACUGCGUUUUAUUCAACCUAGAAAAUAAUAAACUGUGUUCUUUUGUCAACCGUGAAGUCGUAACCAAGUUAUUAAUCACGCUUGGAUCAGAGGGUUCACAUUUCAUGAUGCUUGUGUUGAUAUCGUUUGUGUUUCCUAAACAAAUUUGGACGGAGAACUUAAGGUCCGUCGAAACACGUUUACUUGGAAUGAUUUGAUCAAAGUUUAGCAGAGCGAGAAAUUUUUUAACUACGUGAUCAGUUAGUCUUACGAUGUUUUAUCUCUAAUAAGUAUAAAAUUUCUUAAAUUGACUUGGACGUUAUAGAAAGAUGAAAGUGAUAUAUUUAUACACUCAUAACUCAAUUUUACUUUACACAGAACUUUGUUAAUUGUUUGUUAUUGAUCUUCUUCGAUUCAUUUGAUUCGAAACUGAAAAUUAAAAGAGGUGUACAAAAAAUAAAAAUAAGUGCAUGAAUAGCACUAUCUUACUUAUAUUACUAGGUCGAGGAUCAUUGUGUCCCAAACUUGAUUAGAGGACUUGUCAAACUUAGCCUUAGUUUAGUACUAAGGUGAUUCUGAAAAAAAGUGGCUAUUAAAAAAAACUGGGAGUUUUUUUAUGUUUGGUAAACAUUCAGCUUUAGUUUUUUUUCACAGUUUUUGGUGAAAAAAACCCAAAAACACAAAGCUGCAAAACCCAGCUUUGAAAAACCAGUUUUUUUUUUACAUCUGUUUUACAUAAAAGUUUAUCAAACACUAUAAUAUUGUUUUUUUUUCAAAAGCACAUUUACAAAAAAGUUUAUCAAACACUCUGCUGCUUUAUUUCACAGCUGCUUAUUCUCAUAGCACAGCAGAAACAAUUUUUUUUUUAAAGUACAACAAUAUCAAACCAGCCCUAAUGUGAGAUUAGUGCUUUUGAAAUAUUUAGUGUAAUCAAAACACAAAGUGGUACUUUACAUGUCAUUAUCUAAUUAAAGAUUUUUUUUUAAUUAUCUCCUUAAUUGAAUAAUAAUAUAUGAUAUUUCACUCAUGUGCCACAUAUCUUGAAAAAUCUGUCGGGCCUUAUUGUAUGAAAGGGGGGGCGUGUAUAAUUGGUCACGUGACAAUAGGGGAAGAAACACGUGUAUUCUGAGUCGGCAAAUGUUUAUAGCUGGCAAUGUUGACUCUAAUAGGGGCAUUUAAGUAAAUUCCAUAGCAGAAGUAUAGUCGCGAAUCGCGAUUGAUUCCAUGCUUCAACUGUAGGGUAACUGUUGAGGUUAGAAACCAAAGGAAAAAAACAAAGUUACGAAAACACCCCCCCUGAAGUUUUAGCCAAAGACGGGACCUUUUUGUGUCGUUAAGUUGAAAAGCAGAUAAAUGAUGACUUUCUCCAAUAAAUACAGAGAUGCUAACUGGAUAGAUAAUUUCAGUGACCAAGCAAUUAACUUGGAUAGAGUUUGCACAAAAACACAAGAAGAGUAAAAUCCUUAAAGCAAAUAUGUCACAAAGUAUUAUAUACGCAACAAAUCCGAAUCGAUGUUUAGGGCAUCUAUACUCUAAUGAGAAAAUAAAAAUUUGUGAUAGAAAAAUCUUAUUUAUGUUUCUGAUAGAUGUAAAUGAAGCUAUACUCCAAUGAGAAUAAUGGAAAUUUGAGAUCCCAUUUAAUUUUGUCUCUUUGAUUAGCGGGACUCAUCACCAAAAUAUGUAAAAAAAGAAAUAAAUUUAAGUUUAUAUUUACAUUUUUCGACGAAGAUGAUAAUUUAUAUUUCACCAUUGGAUAAUUUUCCAGCAAAGAAAAAAAUUAUAAAAUGUCCAUUUCAAAGUACUUUUGAGAGAUGCCCUUGAGAAGAAAACUUACUUACCGUUAUAAUUGUUUAGUAAUCUGAAAUAAUUGUAUACCGUUAUGCAUUUUAGAAUCCAAUUAUGUAAAUAAUCAUUCAAUAUUAUGUGCUAAAAUCUAGUUAUGUAAAGAUAUGUGAUUAACUCGAGAUACAAUAGUUAUAACAUUCCAAAUUGCGAAUAAUCUGGUAGUUCUCGAAACAAAGAAAGAAAAAAGAAAAUAAAAACUAACGAAAAGUUCUCAAAAACUUUAGUUUUUAAUCAAAAGGACAAUAUAAAUUGUAAGUGAAUAGUACCAGAAGUGACUUUUCAAGGUAAAAAAUGUCAUUCACGUUAAAAGUGAACAGUACUAGGAGUGUUUGAUUAAGAUUCCAAAAAAAAAAACACUUUUGAAAACAAAAUGUGAGAAGGGUGUAAUAGUAAUUUCAUCAGGUGUAUUACAAUUGUUAUUUUUCUUUUUUGGCAUGAAAAUGCGUAUUAAUGUGUUGUGAGUGUAGGAUUUGGUGGUGAAAGUCUCUCUCUCUCUCUCUCUCUCUCUCUCUCUCUCUCUUCGCUCGAAGUCUUGAAGUCUUGAAUUCUCAAAGACACUCCACCAGUUGAGCACCCAAAAACCUCGUAAACCCUUUUUCUUCCAUUUCAUUUCUUUACCGAGUGACGCGAGCGAGUUAAGAAAUGGCGACUCAGUUACCGGACGAUUUCAAGUGCCCAAUUUCCCUCGAAAUAAUGUCCGACCCGGUUAUACUCUCCUUACGUCACACCUUAGAUAGGCACUCCAUCUAAUCUAAGUGUUGGACAAAAGAAUUUUUCCUGCACGAAAGUAUAUGCUCUUUUGUUUUAUUAGAAAUUGAAUUAGUUAAUUACUUGAAAUAUAGUUUUUUUAUUUUAUUUUAUAAUAUUUUCCGAGUUUCUGGAGGCAUCGACAAAGUCAAAUAUCCCUAACGGGGAUGUGGAUACCUCAUCGUUUGGCCAUAACCCAUAAGCACCUGACUUUUCCUGCAAUUAUGUUUAAGCACAUUGCACUCUAUCUUUAAAAUAAUAACAAUAAUAAUACAUCACUGUAUAUUUUUAAGUUAAGGGUGGAGCUAUCCACCUACCUUUUUUUUAUCUUUGACGUAUAUUUCUUAAUUUUUAAUCGUCGGAUUAUAUGAAUUAAAAAUGAUGAAAAUACAUAAGGUAAUAAAAGAUGUGUAAAAAGUAAAAAUAAAAAAUGUGUGGAUAGCAAAUUAACAACAUCCUAAAUUAAUAUCAACCUUACUUAGUUAUUACACCCAAUAAUCAAGUAUAGGAUGGAUUUGUGCUAGAAUUCUUGAUAUUGUCAAGGUCAAGCCAUGUAUUUGGAUCAAUAUGUUUUCAAUCUAGAAAAAAAUUAUGUUGAAAAUGAAAAUUUUGAGUGAAAUAUAUUGAUUUUUCCUAUAGUAUAAAUACGUGUUAAGUACGAUGACCUAUGAAUGACAUAUGACUUACAUUAUGAGGAUUGUAUUUCCACAUGAGUGUGUUAGGUAUCUAUUUAUAUAUACAUAUAUUUAAUAUUUCUAAUAAUACAAAUCAAAAAAAUUAUAUAUAUACAUAUAUUAAAUAAAAACAUAACUGCUCCAACAUGUAUGCCUGGAAGUUGCGGGUAAGUUCACGUUGCAUCGACUGGAAAUCGAGGGCGCGUUUGCCGUUGCAUCGACAACUGGAAGUCAAGCGUAUGCCCUUAAAUUAGCGUUACUGAAACUCAAUCAAAGAAAAAGAAAAUCCAACCUUUCCGGCUUUUUGUUUCUGCAUGUCGAAAGAAGCAGCCAUUUUAGCACUUAAACUCCUCCAUGAGAAAGCUAACAAUGAAUUCUACUAAAUUCUUUUUUGUCAGUACUGUAUUGUUCCUCUUCCUUGUGAUUCUUCCCUCUUCCAUUUCGGUUACCCUAGACGCCAUUACACCAAACCAACCCCUAAGAGAGGGCGACGUUCUUCUCUCCACCACUGAAUUCUUUGCACUAGGGUUUUUUAAGCCAGGCAAUUCUCAUAACCGUUACAUCGGAGUUUGGUACAACAAAAUUCCAAUCAAAACCAUUGUCUGGAUUGCAAACAGAGAAAACCCCAUAGUUCCUACUGCUGGAACUGGACUUCUAGCCAUUCAUGCAGAUCAUGGUGGCCUUGUUAUGUAUGGGGAGGACCAAAAUACCCCUUUCUGGUCCACUAAUCUCACCGUCUCUUCUCCAAACAAUUCCGUGAUAGCCAAGCUUUGGGAUACGGGAAAUCUUGUUGUAGUUGAAAUUAAUGGCGGUAGUAGUGAAAAGGUGUUGUGGCAAGGUUUUGAUUAUCCCACAAAUACGAUGCUUCCUUUUAUGAAACUUGGGCUGGACAGGCGAUCCGGGUUGAACUGGUUCCUCACAUCUUGGAAGUCCCAAGAUGACCCGGGAAUGGGCAACUGCUCGUACCGGAUAGAGACAAGUGAGAGUCCACAGGGGUUCUUAUACAUGGGUCAGACUCCAUUGUGGCGGACUGGACCUUGGAUCGGUGAAAGAUGGUCCGGGGUGCCUCAAAUUAAAAAAACUUUCUACUCCAACGUUACUUUUGUGAACACUCAAGAUGAGGUAUCCAUCAUGGAUGGUACUGUUUAUGAAUCAAUCUUCUUUAAAAUGGUGAUCAAUGAAUCAGGAAACAUUGAACGGUCCGCAUGGCAUGAUAAUAAAUGGGUCCCGUAUUGGUCGCCGGAUCGGCAGUGUGAUUUUUACGGGAAGUGUGGUCCGAAUAGCAUUUGUUACCCAAACCCAAACUUUGCGGAUAAAUUUGAGUGCAAAUGCCUACCUGGAUUCGAACCCAAGUUGCAACAUGAGUGGUAUUUGGGAGAUUGGUCAGGCGGGUGCGUGAGGCAAAAAGGAUCAUCCGUUUGCCAAAACGGGGAAGGGUUCUUGAAGUUGGAAAGUGUGAAGGUGCCGGACACUUCUACGGCACGUGUGAACAUGAGUAGGAGUGGGGAAGCAUGUAAAGAAGAAUGCCUGAGAAAUUGUUCUUGCACGGCAUACGCAAAUGCAGAUGAAAGGCAGGGAGGGAGUGGCUGUAUAACAUGGCAUGGCGACUUGAUUGACACGAGGACCUUUUUGUAUACGGGUCAAGAUUUGUAUGUGCGAGUUGAUGCAAAUGUUUCAGGUAUAUUUCCAUUAUCAAUUUAUCUUCUUUCUUCUCUUUUCCUUAUCAAUAAUUCCUCUUAUAACGCCGAGGUUCCAUGAAAAAAAAGAUCUUCUUUCUUUAUGUCAUUAACAAAUUUGAGGAAUUAUUAUUUAGUUUGGUAGUUGUACGUUUGUUAUCAUUCUAAAAAAAAUCAUUUGGCACUGGUCUCUUGCCAAAUAAUAAAAGUGAAAUUGUUUCGUCAAGAGUGUAAGAUGACUUUUUUAGAGUACUAAUUUUUUUUAUAAAAAAUUCAGAAAUAUCUAUAAAUUAAUACUAAAAAUUUAGUUCUUAUGUUCAUUGGAGCUUUUUACAGGGUUUUUUUUUUCCCGAAUUUUUACAAGGUUUUUUAAACAUGGAAAUAAAUGCGUGUAUAUCUGCAGCUCAAUACGCAAAGAAGUCAAACAGUUCUUUUGGCAAGAAGAGGAAGCUGGAAGUUUCAGUAGCAUGUGGUCUAUUGUUCUUCCUUUUGUUUUCCCUUGCAUGUUGGUUGGUAAAGAGGAAGAGAAAAGGUAAACAAAUUUCCUUUUACUAGGUUGCCCUCUAAUCAUUCACAAUUAUGUAACUGGAUAUUGGUUUUAAUUAUUUAAGAACACAAUAUUAUUUAUUUAUGUACUUUUAUCACAGGUAAGAGAAGUCAGGAUAAACUUUUCAAUGUGACCAUAGCAUCAACCUCCUGGGAAGAUUCUUCUGCUAGAACAAAUAUUGAUGAAAGUGGAAUAAACUCUGAAUUACCAUUCUUUGAACUAAGUACCAUAGUUAAAGCCACACAUAAUUUCGCUUCCAACAACAAGCUUGGAACAGGUGGUUUCGGCUCCGUUUAUAAGGUGCGUAGUUGCCCUGAGAUAAUGUCUCAAAUCAUAAAUCAGACUUUGAAUAGACAUUUUUUAGAUUUAUUUUUUAGCCAUCUGCACUCCAAAUCAAUUAUUUUAUUAUUUUUUCCUCUACUCACCCUUGUAGUUAGGCCUGGCAAACGGGUCGUGUCUGUCGUGUUCUUGUCGUUUUCGUGUAGCACCUGUUAUCUUAACGGGUCGUGUUGUGUCAUACAUGUUAUCUUAACAGGUCCUUAACAAGUCGGGUCGGGUAAAGUGACCCGACCCGUUAAGAAAAAUAUAUUUUUUUUCUUAAAUUUGCACAUACCACACUUUGCCACAUAAAUAUUACUUCAAAACAUUAAAACACAUAAUUUAAUAUAUAUAUAUAUAAUUAUUUUAGUUUUUAGGGGUAUAAAAUUGUUAAAUUAAUAUAUAUAUAUAUAUAUAUAUACAUAUAAUUAUUAUAGUUUAUUCAUACUUUCAUUAAGUAUAACAUAAGAUUUUGUGGUAUCCACUAAUGUAAUUUUUUAAAUUGAAGAUCGAAUUCAUUCAUUGUAUUCAUAUAGAGUCAAGGAGUGUAACUGUAAAAAAUCAUCAAAAUCGGAGUUAAAAUAACCGUUAAAUAGUGAUUUUUCGUUUUAUAAUCGUCGAAAAGUUUUGUCUCGUUACUUGAUCUCUGAAUGUUUGUUCUUUGCAAUUUUUGGCGUAUGCGAUCUCGAAGUAUAUACAAACAUGUAUGACAGUUGGAUUGUUGAAACUAGUUUCGUAUAAUGCGUAUCCUAUCAAAACAAUAGAUUCACUAACACUUAGUUUAUUCUUACUUUCAUUAAGUAUAACAUAAGAUUUUGUGGUAUCCACUAGUAUAAAUAUUUUAAAUUGAAGAUUGAAUUCAUUCAUUAUAUUCAUAUAGGGUCAAGGAGUGUAGCUGUAAAAAAUCAUCAAAAUCGGAGUUAAAAUAACCGUUAAAUCGUGAUUUUUCUUUUUAUAACCGUUGAAAGGUUUUGUCCCAUUACUUGAUCUCUAUAUGUUUGUUUUUUGUAAUUUUUGGUGUAUACGAUCUCGAAGUAUAUACAAAUAUGUUUGACGGUUGGAUCGUUGAAACUAGUUUCGUAGAAUGCAUAUCCCAUCAAAACAAUAGAUUCACUAACACUUAAGAGUUUAUUCAUACUUUCAUUAAGUAUAACAUAAGAUUUUGUGGUAUCCACUAGUGUAAAUAUUUUAAAUUGAAGAUCAAAUUCAUUCAUUGUAUUCAUAUAGGGUCAAGGAGUGUAGCUGUAAAAAAUCAUCAAAAAUGUGAUUUUUCUUUUUAUAACCGUUGAAAGGUUUUGUCCCGUUACUUGAUCUUUAUAUGUUUGUUUUUUGCAAUUUUUGGCAUAUGCGAUCUCGAAGUAUAUACAAACAAGUUUGACGGUUGGAUCGUUGAAACUAGUUUUGUAGAAUGUGUAUCCCAUCAAAACAAUAGAUUCACUAACACUUAAGAGUUUAUUCAUACUUUCAUUAAAUAUAACAUAAGAUUUUGUGGUAUCCACUAGUGUAAAUAUUUUAAAUUGAAGAUCGAAUUCAUUCAUUGUAUUCAUAUAGGGUCAAGGAGUGUAGCUGUAAAAAAAUCAUCAAAAUCGGAGUUAAAAUAACCGUUAAAUAAUGAUUUUUCGUUUUAUAACUGUUGAAAAGUUUUGUUCUGUUACUUAAUCUCUGAAUGUUUGUUUUUUGCAAUUUUUGGCGUAUGCGAUCUUGAAGUAUAUACAAACAUGUUUGACGGUUUGAUCGUUGAAACUAGUUUCGUAGGAUGCGUAUCCCUUCAAAACAAUAGAUUCACUAACACUUAAGAGUUUAUUCAUACUUUCAUUAAGUAUAACAUAAGAUUUUGUGGUAUCCACUAUUGUAAAUAUUUUAAAUUGAAGAUCGAAUUCAUUCAUUAUAUUCAUAUAGGGUCAAGGAGUGUAGCUGUAAAAAAUCAUCAAAAUCGGAAUUAAAAUAACCGUUAAAUUGUGAUUUUUAGUUUUAUAACUAUCGAAAAGUUUUGUUCAGUUACUUGAUAUCUGAAUGUUUGUUUUUUGCGAUUUUUUAAUGGUGCGAUCUAGAAGCAUAUACAAAUAAGUUUGACGGUUGGAUCGUUGAAAUUAGUUUUGUAUAAUUCAUAUCCCAUCAAGUUCAAUGGUAUAUAUAUAUAUAUAUAUAUAUAUAUAUAUAUAUAUAUUAAGUAGAUUUAAUUCUAUUUAUUUUGUACGUAUAAUUAUUAUAGUUUUUUGGGGUAUAAAAUUUAAUUUAAAAUUAUAUAUAUAUAUAAUUAUUAUAGUUAAUAUUUUGGGGGUAUAAUUAUUAUAGGCUUUUUAUAUUAGCACCCCACAAAAUGUUGAAUGCACCCCAUAUUAAAAUUUAAUAUUAAAUGACUUAUUUACUCCACUAUGCAAUGACAAUUUUGACCUUAUUAGGUUUUAAAAAAAAUAAAAAUUUAUAAAUACACCUCAAAUCACUUUUAGCAUAUUAUUUAUUUUCUCAACUAUCAAAACCCUUUCAUCUUCCAUUGUUGAAUAAAACUCUAACCAAUGAAACUACAAACAUGUUGAUUGAGAAAAAUUGUUUUUGACGAAUGGAAUACAAAAUCGAUGUUUCUGAAGCUUUACAUGAGAUAAGACUUCACAUUUUUCAUUGUUUUAGUGAUUUCGAUGACAUCAAUAAUUAUUUAAUCUUGCGUUUGCCGCAUUAUUUAAACUUCUAUAUAUUCAUAUUCAUCUUUUAGGGUUCAUAUUAAUCUUGCGAACCUAGUAACAUGAGUCGUAUUAGUGCUAGAGUCAUAUACUACUUUUACAAAUUGACGAUAGCCAUUCUCCACAUGAACUCCUACUCUCAAUCUUUAGCUGUUUGAUUGACGUACAUUUCUCAUUGUGAGUUUUUCUUUCUUUUUUCUUCUUCUUUUCUUGUCACUGGGAGAUGAUCAGUGGAAAAUGAGGAGAGACAUGGCCUAUAUUUAAAGAAAUCUGAGACCGAUUCAGUUUUGAUUUAUUAAUUAACUUCUACACCUGGAUCAUUAGCAGAGAGAGGGUCUUUAUUUAUUUUGUUCAAGACUAAGUCUAAAGACUUGUGAAAUAUAUAUAGAAGCAUUCUUUGUUAGCAGUAACGAGAGAGUCUUUUUUUUUUCUUUUUUUUUACUCGAAAAGACUCAGCACCACGGGUCAUUUUUAAGGCUUUUUAGAAGUUGAAUAAGAUGAUUUCAAACUAUACUAAGAUGAUUUCAAAUCAUCAUUUUGAAAUCAUUCGGUAAACUAAACGUUCAGAUGAUUUGAAAUAUUUUGACAAAUUAAACGUUCAAAUGGUUAGAUUCAAUCCCUGAAAAUUAAAAAUGAGUGUUAUAAGAUUUGAGAAAUGUGGGGUGUAAAGAAAAUGUGGGGUGUAUGUACAAAAUAUAAGAUGUAUAUUGAGAAUGUGGGGUGUGGGGGUAUUAUGGGAAAGUAUGUGGGGUGUAUUUAGAUAAUUUUUAAGUGAAAAAGCAAAUAUGGGGUGUAUUAAGUAUGUGGGGUUUAUUCAACAAUUUGUGGGGUGUUAAUAUAAUUAGCCUUAUUAUAGUGUAUAUAAUUAUUAUAAUUAUUAUAGUUAAUUUAAUAUAUAUAUAUAAUUAUAGUAUUUUUUAGGGUUAUAAAAUUAUUAAAUUAAUAUUCUGCUUAUCGUGUAUCGUGUUACCCACGUAUAUACCCGAACCAACCAGUUAUCUUAACAGGUGAUUAUCGGGUUACCCGAUAACGACCCGAUUCGUUAUCGUGUCGACCCGAACACCUGUUAAUUUCGUGUUGUGUUGUGUCGAGUUAUUGGGUCGUGUCAGGAAUUGCCAGGCCUACUUGUAGUUUAAACAAAAGAACAUAAUGAAUAAAUCUUGCAGAGAAAGAAAUAGAAUCAAGAAGAGAGAGGGAGCAAGAUUUAUAGAGAGAGAGAGAGAAAGAGAAUCAAGAAGAGAGAGGGAGCAAGAUUUAUAGAGAGAGAGAGAGAGAGAGAGAGAGAGAGAUUUUAGACAGAAAAAGUGAAUCUUUGUUAAUGGUUUCAGAAAAAAUACAAGGUAGUGAUCCAUAAGGAUAUAUAUCCAAACUAUAUUGCUUACAAGCUAAGCUAACAUUUAGCUCACAGGUUAUUGACACUUGCAAACAAUAUUACAGUUAACAAAAAUCAAGAGACCCGUCCAAUAAAGACUGGAAAGGCUGACUCAAAAAUAUAUUUCAUUAAAAUUCAUACCCAAUCAAUAAUCGAUAAGUGAUGGGAACUAUCUUGUUUCGACUUUUCACAAUUAUCCCACACGGUGAUGCGGGUUUUGAAAUUGUAUAAAACACAUAGAAAGUUUUAAAUCUAUAUAUGAUAAGCCAUACUACUUAUAUACAUGUGGAAAUCUAUUCACAAACCUAUUCCUAAGCCAUACUAAUUAUAUAUAAGUGAUGGUUGCAUGGUAUUGAUCUUCUACACAAAAAAAGCAAACGUUUUCCACCCUAGGAAAUUGUUAAGCACCUAUCAAACUAAUUAAUUGGAAACAGUAUGGUGCUUCCCAAUCUAAAGAGUCAAUGACACUAAAGCAGCAGAUUAGUGAAUAGAUUAGCGAAUAGUUAAUUAUGAUUUGUUUUGGGUCCAAAGAAACCUUGUUAGGUGAUGGUGAAUCAAUAUGAAAGUAAACAAUGCCGAUUUCAAAAUGGAUACUAAAGAGCUAUUCAUCCGCAUAAGUAAAUACAUACCAACAGAAAAGUGGGCUAAUCCAACCAAUCUCACCAAUGGACAUUGUCACCCGAGCAAUUCGGACUAAAUCUUUGAUGAAACAAAAAAAUGCUGAGGAAAAUGAUCAUUACCCAAAAUUCCAUUCUGAACAAAUAUAUGGACCAAUCUGAAGUAAGACGAAGAAUUAUGACAUGAAAAACUUAAUAAAACCCAAUUUGAACGAAGAACUCAAUCUGAAGCAGAUUUUCACAUGCAAUAGUUCUAGAAGAUGCCUAAGAUGACAAGGAGUCAUUUGAGACCAUCAACUCAACCCCAUUCGAACGCAAUCCCAAAAUCAAAAAGGACAAAAUGGGCAAACAAAAUCAAAGCAUUUUUAUGUACAUGCAUUGAGUUUUACUCCUUUGUUAAUGUAUAAAUGCAAUUUCAAGGGGAGGAUAUAUAUAUAGAGCUACGAUUAUGUUGAUAAUUUUCUUGAAAGGUAAGUGCACUAUAAGUUGAAUUUGGAUUAUAAAUUCAGGGUGUGCUUGAUAAUGGAAAGGAGAUAGCAGUGAAAAGACUAGCCAAGAAUUCUGGCCAAGGAAUUGGAGAGUUUAAGAAUGAAGUUGUGUUGCUUUCAAAGCUCCAACACAGGAACCUUGUGAGGAUCAUGGGUUGCUGCGUUCAAGAUGAAGAGAAGAUGCUGAUCUAUGAAUACUUGGCAAACAAAAGUCUUGACUUUUUCAUUUUCGGUAUGUCUUUCUUUUACUUUUGUUCUUCUUUUUAUACAAGCAAUAUUGUGGAGGGGAAAUCGAGCUCAGGACCUCGGGUGCAGGAUUGAAUGCUCUAAACUCAACUCGGUUACAAGCACCUUUCUUUUCACUUGUGUAUCUAAAAUUGUCGGUUAAAAACCUUGAACCAAGCAAGAAUACAAUCUAAUUUACUUUGCUUACUUUUUUCCCAUACGAAGCAAAAGAGGCGUUCUUGGAUUGGACAAGACGCCUUGAGAUAAUAUGUGGGAUUGCUAGAGGGAUUUUAUAUCUUCAUCAGGAUUCAAGAUUAAGAAUCAUCCAUAGAGAUCUAAAGGCCAGCAAUGUUUUGUUGGAUUCUGCUAUGAACCCCAAGAUUUCAGAUUUUGGUAUGGCUAGGAUAUUUGGAGCUGAACAAAUUGAAGCAAAUACAAACCGUGUGGUUGGGACAUAGUAAGUUUCAUUCAAGACUAAAAGUACACCUGUUUUUUACAAUUUUCAUCCCUAUUUCACAAGGCCACAAACGUGAGUACAACUUUUGUUGAAUACUACAGAAAGAAGCUGUGAUACUUAAUCAAUUUUAUUUUGUUGCUUCAGCGGUUAUAUGUCACCAGAGUACGCAAUGGAAGGAUUUUUUUCAGUAAAGUCUGACGUAUAUAGCUUUGGCGUUUUACUACUAGAAAUUGUUACUGGCAGAAAGAACACUAGCUACUACCACGAUAGUUCUUACUCAAAUUUAGUUGGACAUGUAAGCAUAACAUUAAGACGUACCAAACUUCUCUCCGUCUGCUUUUAUAACUUGAUGAUUAAUUUGUAAAUGGUUUUUAGGUUUGGGACUUAUGGAAGGAAAGUAGAGCCUUGGAAAUCAUUGAUUCAUCGCUGGGAGAAUCAUACCAUGUCAAUGAAGUUCUAAGGUGUAUUCACAUUGCCCUCUUGUGCGUGCAAGAGCAAGCGAAGGAUCGUCCACUCAUGUCAGCAGUGGUUUCCAUGUUGGGUAAUGAUGCAGCAAUUCCUUCACCAAAGCAACCUGGAUUUUUGUUGAAGAGUGGGGACCCAUCAGCCAAUACAAAAGGAGCUUCCUCUAUAAAUGACAUGACCCAUACAGAAGUAGAAGGUCGCUAAGGGGAGAACUAGACGAAUACUCGGAAAUACCAUCAUUGAAUUUAGAGUACGAUCACGUGAUAAGUGAGAUAAGAAUAGAUGAUAUACUCCGAUUUCACUCAAUAAUUUGCCUUUUAAUUAGGGAUCUAAGUUCUAUAUCUACAACACUCAUCAUCUCUCUUGUUGUAAAUACAUGCUAUAAAUUGUGUGCCUUAUAACUAGGGAUCUAAGUUCUAUAUUUGCAAUACUCAUCAUCUGUCUUGUUGUAAAUACAAAAUAUAAAUUAAUUGCAACACUCGUCAUCAGUUCGACGAGGCUACAUAAAAGUACUUUCUAACCGCCAUAGACAUUUAGGAGGGCUGAGAACUUUGUGGCUCAAGGUUUUAGAAGCAGGCAUACUCAGACACUAAUCAAGCCACGUGUCAACUAACAGUCAAGACUCAAAAACAAAAGUCUAGAGCGGGACAUGAAGCUGGUCUGGCCUGCUCGAAGUGACAUGACUAAUUAAUCAAGGCCUAGCGGGACGCUCGGCACACAUUGGACAUUUGGAUGUUAUGAUAAUUUAGUGUUAGAAAUGAUAAUUUAGAGCUUGAAUAUUGUUCACUAUCACAUGUGCUAGUAUAUGCUUCAAAAAAUUUUAGAGGCAAAAUAUUGUUAAAAAUUAUGAUGCUCUUAUUUGUACGGUGAUUUAUACAAAACACUGUAUUAAUGGUGAUAUUUACAUAAAACUAUAUCAUAGUGAUUAGCGAAUAGUGAUUUCUACAUAAAAUUAUAUUAAAAAUAUUUGAGAUGGUAGUCAAAUCUUAUGCAUAAACUCUGUUGUGAUAGUGCAAAAGUUUUUACAGAUUAGAAAUAGUCCAAAAUUGUUUGAGUGCGGUAUCGGGCUCGAAUUUUUUAACCUCACUCUUGCUCAUCUCCCAUAAGAAUCAAGUCAAGCUUACCCGCAAGCUCGAAAAAAUUAAAUAAGCCAAAUUUAAACAUAAUAGUAUUCAGUUCGGCUUGACUAGUUUGCAGUCCUACAUUUAUUUAAAACACCCCUCUGAAUUAUUACCCAAAGACGGGACCUUUUUGUAUCUUUAAGUUGAAAAGCUGAGUGAAUUAUGACUUUCUCCAAUAAAUCCAGAGAUGAUAAUUGGAUAGAUAAUUCCACUGACCAAUCAAUUAACUGUUGGAAAAUAUUAGUAUUUUGGUUUAUUUGAAUGUUUGGUUUUAUGGGUUUAGCCCGUUAGAAUUAGGUUUGUUAGAGAUUAGGGUUAAUUUAUUAUAAAUAGGGUGCUUUGUUAUUCAUUAGAGAACAAGUUAGCCACAAUGUAGUCUCUUAGGGUUUUGUAGCCGUUUCGGCAUUCUCGUUUGUUUAAUAAUAUUCUUAUUAUUUGUUAGUCUUGUUCGUUGCGCACUCUGAUAUUCAACUUGGUAUCAGAGCGGGUUCGAUCCUUAGGGUUCAACCCGUUCUCAUUGGUAUCAAUUUGUUUGCCUUUGUCGUCGUUCGUUUUAGAUUUGUUAGUUGGUAUUGAUUGUUUGCAAGGAAAAGAAAAAUGAAAGGAAAAAAAAAAGUUUUGCUUGCAGAGGAGAAGAUUCCCCAGCAAAUAAAAAAAUGGAACUUUAACGAAAAGCACCCGGUACUGUUCACUUUAACGAAAAACCACAUUUUUACACUAAAAAGUCAAUCCUGGUACUAUUCACUUUACCCUUUAUUUUGUCCUUAUCAUUAAAACUCAAAGUUUUCAAGCCCUUUUCAUUAGUUUUCCUAUAAAAAAAAGGGGACGAAGGAGAAAAGAAGAAAAAGAAGGAAAAAAAAGAGGAACCACGGAAAGGAAGAAGAAGGAAGAAAAAAAUGGGAAAAAAAAAGGAAGGAAAAAAAUAUGGUUGUUUUGUGGUCCGUGUAUUCUUGCAUUGGGCAUGGUAACUUGAACUUGGAAUGGAAAUUUGGCAUCGACAUUGGUAUCGGCAUCGGCAUUGGUAUUGGCAUCAGCAUCGGAAUCGGCAUUGGAAUCGGCAUUGGAAUCGGCAUCGGCAUCAGCAUUGGUAUUGGCAUCGGCAUCAGCAUUGGAAUUUGAAGGCUUGCAUCCACAUCUGCUUGUUGGCAAACUCAUGUCGUCUACCGCCAUGAGUUUGAUAGGGGGUGUUGGAAAAUAUUAGUAUUUUGGUUUAUUUGAAUGUUUGGUUUUAUGGGCUUAGCCCGUUAGAAUUAGGUUUUGUUAGAGAUUAGGGUUAGUUUAUUAUAAAUAGGGUGCUUUGUUAUUCAUUAGAGAACAAGUUAGCCACAAUGUAGUCCCUUAGGGUUUUGUAACCGUUUCGACAUUCUCGUUUGUUUAAUAAUAUUCUUAUUAUUUGUUAGUCUUGUUCGUUGCGCACUCUGAUAUUUAACUUUAACUUGGAUAGAGUUUGCACAAAAACACAAGAAGAUUAAAACCCUUAAUGCAAAUAUGUCACAAAAUACUAUAUACGUGACAAAUCCGAAUCGGUGUUUAGGGGCAUCUCUAAUGAGAAAAUACAAAAUUUGAGAGGAAAAAUCAUAUUUACGUUUCUGAUCGAUGUAAAUGAAGCUAUACUCCAAUGAGAAUGAUGAAAAUUUGAGAUCCCAUUUAAUUUUGUCUCCUUGAUUAGUGGGACUCACCACCAAAAGAUGUAAAAAAGAAUAUAAAUUUAAGUUUUUAUUUACAUCCUUCAACGAAGAUGAAUAAUUUAUAUUUCGCCAUUGGAUAAUUUUUCAGCAAAGAAAAAAAUAUAAAAUGUCCAUUUCAAAGUACUUUGAGAGAUGCCCUUGAGAAGAAAAGCUUACUUACCGUUAUAAUUGUUUAGUAAUCUGAAAUAAUUAUUUACCGCUAUGCAUUUUAGAAUCUAUUGUGUAAAUAAUUAUUCAAUGUUAUGUGCUAAAAUCCAGUUAUGUAAAGAUAUGUGAUUAACUCGAGAUAGAGUAGUUAUAACAUUCCAAAUUUCGAAUAAUCUGGUAGUUCUCGAAACAAAGAAAGAAUGAAGAAAAAAAACCUCUGAAAACAAAAUGUGAAAAGGUGUAAUAGUAAUUUCAUCACUGUAUUACAAUUGUUAUUUUUCUUUUUUGGGCGUAUUAAUGUGUUGUGAGUGUAUGAUUUGGUGGUGAAAGUCUCUGUCUGUCUCUGUCUGUCUCUGUCUGUCUCUCUCUCUCUCUCUCUCUCUCUCUUCGCUCGAAGUCUCAAAAACACACUCCACCAGUAGCACCCGAAAACCUCGUAAACCUUUUUCUUCCAUUUCAUUUCUUUACCGAGUGACACGAGCGAGCGAGUUGAGAAAUGGCGACUCGGUUCCCGGACGAUUUCAAGUGCCCAACUUCCCUCGAAAUAAUGUCGGACCCGGUUAUACUCUCCUCGGGUCACACCUUUGAUCGGGCCUCCAUCCAACGCUGGCUCGACGCCGGUCACACCCGGUUACAAAAGGGUUGAUUGCUAUUGCACUUGUUCAGUUCGUUCUUCUGAUCCGGUGCUGCGCUUCAAUCGAUAGUAUAACAACUGAUCAAGCGAUCAGGGAUGGCGAAGUUCUAUUCUCUAGUGGAGAAGUGUUUGAGCUUGGUUGAUCUUCAGCCCCAGAAAAUCUACGAACACUAUGUUGGAAUCUGGUAUAAGAAAGAUGUAGAAAAAAGAGUUGUAUGGGUUGAAAACAGAGACAAUCCUGUCAAUGACACUUCAGGAAUCCUCUCAACUGGUGCAAAUGGUAACCUCUUCCUCUAUGCCGAAAACCAAAGCGAUAUUCCCCUCUGGUCUGCCAUAUCCAAUGUUUCAAUCGCAUCAUUACCAUCCAAUUCCACACAUGAGCCUAAUUACAAAGCUCAGCUCUUAGAUACUGGAAAUAUUGUGGAGGGGAAAUCGAGCUCAAGACCUCAGGUGCAGGAUUGAAUGCUCUUAACUCAACUCAGUUACAAGCGCCAUUCUUUUCACUUAUGUAUCUAAAAUUGUCGGUUAAAAGCCUUGAACCAAGCAAGAAUACAAUCUAAUUUACUUUGCUUACUUUGCUAGUGGGAUCUUAUAUCUUCAUCAGGAUUCGAGAUUAAGAAUCGUCCAUAGAGAUCUAAAGGCCAUCAAUGUUCUGUUGGAUUCUGUCAUGAACCCUAAGAUUUUAGAUUUUGGUAUGGCUAGGAUAUUUGGAGCUGAACAAAUUGAAGCAAAUACAAACCUUGAGGUUGGGACAUAGUAAGUUUCCUUCAAAACUGAAAGUACACUUAUUUUUUACAAUUUUCAUCCCUAUGUCACAAGGCCACAAACGUGAGUACAACUUUUGUUGAAUAAUACAGAGAGAUGCUGUGAUAAUUAAUCACUUUUACUUUGUUGCUUCAGUGGUUAUAUGUCACCUGAGUACGCAAUAGAAAGACUUUUUUCAGUAAAGUCCGAUGUAUAUAGCUUCAGCAUUUUACUACUAGAAAUUGUUACCGACAGAAAGAACACCGGUUACUACCAAGAUAGUCUUUACUUAAAUUUAGAGCAUAACAUUAAGACAUUACCAACGUUCUCUCCGUCUGCUUUUAUAACUUGAUGAUUAAUUUGUAAAUGGUUUUUAGGUUUGGGACUUGUGAAAGGAAAGUAGAGCCUUGGAAAUCAUUGAUUCAUCUCUGGGAGAACCAUACCCUGUCAAUGAAGUUCUAAGGUGUGUUCACAUUGCCCUUUUGUGCGUGCAAGAGCAUGCAAAGGAUCAUCCACUCAUGUUAGUAGUGGUUUCCAUGUUGGCUAAUGAUGCAGCAAUUCCUUCACCAAAGCAACCUGGAUUUUUGUUGAAGAGAAGUUAUCAUACUAGUGGAGACCCAUCAGACAAUACUGAAGGAGCUUACUCUAUAAAUGACAUGACCCAUACAGAAGUAGAAGGUCGCUAAGGAGAGAACCAGACAUAUACUCGAAAAGAUUAUAUCAAUCAAUUAAGAGUAUGGUCUCUUAUGAGUGAGAUUAGAAGAAAGGAUAUGCCCUGAUUUCACUCAAUAAUUUGCCUUAUAACUAUUGAUCUAAGUUCUAUAUCUACAACACUCGUCAUCUGUCUUGAAAUGCCGCUCCUUUCAUUUUGCAUAUCAUUGAACUUUUGGUAUUUUGUAAUAAUGUACUAAUGUUUUUUCAUUAGACUCUUAUUUUGGGGUAUGUAAUACUUAAAAGACAAAUGUUGUUUUUAUAUUUUGAAGUAAUAUUUAUGUGACUAUAUGGUAUACAUAUACUAAUUUAGUAUUAUGUUUUCAAUUUUUUGGGGGUCAAAUUAUGUUUUUCAUUUUCAUUAUUUAUUGAUUUAAAAUAUAUUUUUUUAACUGGUGUUGGGGGACUUUUAGGUCGAGGCGGACUUGGGCUUUGAGAACGUCACCCUUGGUGCAAGUUCGUGACAAGUCUGGGAUAUCUCGAAGGAGGUAGCUUGUCCUAGGAAACACCCUGGUAACAUCAACGGCUCAAAGAUAGCACAAAAGAUCAAGAUAAUGACUUGCUCAAGCAAAGCAUGGUGUGGAAGCUAGAAGAUUAUCGGUUUACAUGAGAGAAAGAAGGUUUGCAUGGUUGCAUGGCAUUCUUAGUUGCAUGUUUCGGGCUUUCCUAGGGUGAUAGCAAGGCUUCUAGUGGCUGAGAUGUUUGAUGGAGGGCUGUGGAAAUCACUACAAUUGCAUGAAUGGUGAUACUUGAAGCUUAGAGUAUGCAUCUGGACUAGAUGGAACUCUUUGGGCUUCUUCCUGGGUGGAAACAUCUUACUAUGUUUUGUCUAUCUCUCUCUAUGUAUUUCUCUCUGCGUUCUAACCUCCUCAUUUCUAAUAGCUUCUCCCCCUCUUUAGAUAGGUGAAGAGCUUCUCUUUAGAUUUCAAGAAAUAUCUCUUUGUGGCUUGGUCUUCCCCUCAUUUCUCCCUAGCUAUCCCAGUAUUUCCCUUUUGGUGUAAACUAGAUGCACUGUUUGAGUUAUGCAGAUUGCUGUUUCUUGAGAUGCAGCUUUCCUAGGGCGGCCUUCCGCAAGCGCUAAAUCUAGUAGCGCGCUUCUGGGCUUUUGUGCAUUCGCUGUCUGUGCAGGCUGGGAAUGGAAAGUCAGCAUUAAAUGCCUGACUUGCUAAGCUUGACAUGCAUUUAAUGUAAGAAUCUAGUUUAAUUCUAAUUAAGGGGAUUGGCUUACUAGGGAAAUGGAUAAACUAGGCUAGCUCUCAUUCCCAAUGAUGCCUGCGUGAAAUACAAAGGGUAUAGGCUUGGAUCUUUAGGCUCCUAAGCAGCCCAAAGUCUUCCAUGACCCUAAUUCCACAUAGGCCCGAUAACCUUAUGUAAUCAUCCACACCACAAUCCACUUAGCAAGUCUCGAAUAUGUGACUUGGGCUUAGCGUGAAUAUUGACUAAGGAGGCAUGGCGUGAUGAAUAAUACGUGAGCAUGGUGUGAGUAUUCCGCUUAAUUCUUGUGGCAUGGCAUGCUUGUAAAUAUAUUCCUUGUUGGUCCCGUGCCUUGGCAUGUGCUUGGGCUUGAAUGUAGGCUUUGCAUGAUAAUUGGGCUUUGAGACUUGGUAGGAUCGAUGCGUGACAUUUUUAGGCCCCAACAACGAGUAAAUUGUAACAGGUCAGGUCAUAUUACCUAAUAAUAUUAACGGGUUGAUUUCGAAUCAGGUCAUAUUACCCGUUUACUUUAACGGAUAUUGCCUGACACGACCCGUUAAGAUAUUGGGUAUGUCACGAAAACGACAUGAACACGAAAAACACAACAUGAAUACCAGGUCUAAUGCUCGACACACAUUAGACCUUUGGAUGUUAUGAUAAUUUAGUGUCAGAAAUAAUAAUUUAGAGGUAGAAUAUUGUUGACUAUCACAUGUGCUAGUAUAUGCUUCAAAUAAUUUUAGAGGUACAAUAUUGUUAAAAAUUAUAAUGCUCUUAUUUGAACGGUGAUUUAUACAAGGGGAAACUUGAUAUAAGCAAUUUUUUUUAGCCGAUAGUAGGAAUAGUCCAAUUUAUUUAAAUAAGUCCAAUUCUUUAAAUUUAAUUAUUUAAUUAUCAAUAAUUAUCUAUUAAAUGAUAAGAUUUAUUAUUACUUUAGUCUAAAGAAAGGUUUGGAAUUGACACUGUAGAAAUGAAUAGUGUUUCAAUUCGAAUUUCAGAUUAAUUACUACCAUGCCAUUGAUCUUUCUGUUGGUUUUGGGUCAGCAGCCCAGCCUUCAGCCAGGCCCAAAUGUGUUGGUUUUAGCUGGGAAGCAAGGCCCUCAAUGAGGCCUAAAUUAUUUAACUACAUUUUUGCCCAUCUAGUGUAACAUCCCACAUCGCCCAGGGGAGUAAAUCAUGUAAGCCUUAUAUGUAUAUUCUCAUCUCUACCUAGCACGAGGCUUUUUGGGAACUCAAUGGCUUUGGGUUCCGUAGGAACUCCGAAGUUAAGCGAGUAGCUCGUGAGAGCAAUCCCAUGAUGGGUGACCCACUGGGAAGUUCUCGUGUGAGUUCCCAGAAAUAAAAUCGUGAAGGCAUGGUCGGAGCCCAAAACGGACAAUAUCGUGCUACAGUGGAGUUGAGCCGGGGAUGUGGUGAGGGCCCGGGUCGGGAUGUGACAUCUAGGAUUACAAUCUGAUAGUAGGGAUGGUUUAUUACGAAGGGCAAUUUUGUCCUCUCUGUUUUGGGCGAGAUAGGGGGUCACUGGUUAGGUAUCAUUUGCUGUCGUUCAAUUAGGGUUUCGGGAAGGGUCUGCGAGAGAGAGAUAGAUAGAGAGAGAGAUGGCGAUGGAAGAAGAGAGAGGGGGAGGGGUAGGGGUCUCGACACUGUUGCUGCAGAUGAGAGGGUCGGUAUGGUCAAAGAAAACCAUAUGGGUCGUCAGGAUUUCAGGGAGAUAGGGAAGGGGUCAUCAACAAACCCUACCGAGGGUAAGGUGUGCCGGAUCUUGCGUUGCAUGCCUCAAAUCCAAAGGUUAGUUCCUUUUUAAAAUUGUUUUCUUUAAUGGUGCCUUAGAUUUUCUAAUUGUUUAGUAUGUUAGGUCCAGUUUUAGGGGAUUUGUGAUUUUAUAGAGAGAGAUGGAUAGGGAGAUAGAGAUUGACAGAGGGAAGAAAAAGCAUGGUUGUGUGCAUUUUUUUGGGUUAAUUAAUGGGUUAGCGCACAGGGUCAGUGAGGAGAGUGACAAAGGGGUGUAUAGGAGGGUAUGGGUUUUCACUUUUUUGCUCUGAUUCAACAGGUUAUGCACUGUUUGAAAAUCAUUGUUUAUUGUUUUGUUUUCCGUUUGCUUUGUUAAAACCAUAUUUCAAUUUUUUUGGUUUCAUUGUGCUCAUUUAUGUGCUUCUUAAUAACUUCCUGGUGUUUGCUUCUCAUCCCUUUGUUGGUAGAUUUUUCCCCAUUUCUUGGUUCCUUAUGUAUUCCUUGGUACAAAUCUGUCUAAUUUUUGGCUAUGUGAUGAUCCUUGCAGGUGAGCUACAUUAAUGUUGUUUUGAAACACAGAGCUUCAUCCCCUCGAAUAUGCAAUUCAUAGUAGCAGCCUCACCCUUUCACUAUUAUCUGCUUAAAGCAAAACAUUUUUAUUAUGGCCUUGGUUUCUUGACAUUUUUAGGUAUAUAAUUUGCUAUACUUUUGUUUUGGUUACUUCAGUUAGAUGUAAUGUCACCUAACAUAGUAUAAUAGACAAAAUCACCAUCUCUGUUCUCUUCAAGAUAAUUUAUUUCGUAAUCCAACUUUGUUUGCAAGCUUUGUUUGCAAUAGUAUGUAUAAGCCAGAUCUCUUAUUUCCCUGCAAAUGAAUAGAAUUAAUGCAAUCCUCGGUCAAAUCAUUUAUCACAUUCAGACAAGUUCCCAAUUAUUUUUGCAUAUGAAGAAGACCAUCUUCACCAACACCGGAUUUAUCUGCAAACUUAAUUUUGAUCACCCCGAACUUAUUAAUCAAGAAGCCACUGUUUUAAUAAAAUUUGGCAUAAUCUUUAACAUGAAUAUAGAAGGAAAGAAUGGAUGUAUAUGUGUAGAAAUUAUGUUGGAAGGUUGGUUAAACUUAGGCUUAUUCUCAAGUAUAGUAUAAAUUCUUGGGUUAUUUGGAUUUCAGUAUUUAUCAAACUUUGCCUUGCUUAUGUAUUGAUCUCAUAACUGUCGCUUUCAUACAACAACCCAAAUAUGGAAUCUGCCAUCUGGAUUCUAUAUGGAAGUUGUGAAGCUUUUUUCCCUCAAAAUUUUGGUCUUUUUGUUUUUGUAUGUUGGUUUAAAACAAGGGUUAUUCUACAAAAUGGUCCCUGAGAUUUGCAUGAUCAAUAGAAAUGGUCCUUGAGAUUGAAAAUCAAUAUAAAUAAUCCCUGAGAUUGUCCACCAUCCAUGAUUUUGGUCAUUCCGUUAAAAACUCUUUGGGCAAUUUUCAAAGCUUCGUAACUUAAUUGAUUCUUAACCAAAUUUGACCCAUAAUAUAUAAAAAUGAAUAUAAGAAAGUGUAGAACAAGAUUAUACCUAUUUGGAAGCCCAAUGAUUUCCAGAGAUGGCUUGAAAAUAGCCUGAAAGGUGACUGGUCCGUGGGAAAACUGGAAAACUCGCCAGAAACUAAGUAAACUUUAAGCGUUCAUAACUUCUUCAAUACUCAACGAAAUCAAGUGAUUCAAAAAUGAAAAUCAUACUUCUCAAAGAUACGAAGAGAAUGGUAUCUUUCUUUACUACUAACUUGCCAUGAUUUAGCCGGAAAACUGCUCGAAAGUGGCUAACUCAAAAAUGGUUAGCCACAUUUGAGCCGUUGUUCAACCAAAACACAGCGAUUUAGCCUUCAAAAAAAGUACCAUUCUCUUCGUCUCAUCAAGAAGUAUUAUUUUCAUUUUUGAAUCACUCGAUUUGGUUGAGUAUUGAAUAAGUUAUGAAUUUUUAAAGUUUACCCAGUUUCCGGCGAGUUUUCCAGUUUUCCCAUGGACCAGUCACCUUUUAGGCUAUUUUUCGGCCAUCUCCGGCAACCAUUGGGCUUCUAAAUAGAUAUAAUCUUAUUCUCCACUUUCCUAUCUUCAUUUUGAUAUAUUAUGGGUCGAAUUUAAGAAACAAUUGAGUUACAAAGCUUUGAAAGUUGCCCAAAAUCGUUUUUAACUAAAGGACAAAAUCAUGGAUGUUGGACAAUCUCAGGGACCAUUUUGUAUAAUAACCCUUAAAACAAAUAAAAAGUUUUUGUAUUGGUAUUUUGCUUUUGUUCCUAAACAAUGGCAAUUUUUUACUUCUGAAAUGAUUGUCACCUUAUUAUUUGUUUAUGUGCCAGUGCCAAGUUCUGAUGGUGCUCAUUGCUCUAGGAAAAUUGGGAGGGGAAAUUUUCAUAUGCUUUGUGGAAUCUUUGAUGCAAUUAGCAUUUUAAAUUUGACCCCUCCCAUUAGUUUUUUUUUUUUCUGAUAAAUUCUGUUGCGAUCUAUGUGUGUUGCUGAUGAAAGAAGAUAAAGGUUUAGCCAUGAUUCUUAAUGGUCCCUGAAACUUGUUGAUGCACAAAAUCAGUGGGGAAUUUGGUAUAACAGAAAAUGUUAAGUUUGUGACCUUCGCUAGAUUGCUCCGGUCACUAGUGUGGAUAAGUAUGUAAAUGGACAGAGACAAGGAAGCAAACACAAGAUGUACGUGGUUCACCCAGAUUGGCUACGUCCACGGAGUAGAGAAGUUCUCAUUAAUUGUGAAGGGUUUACACAAGUACAUAGGUUCAAGCUCUCAUUUAGUGAGUACAAGUGAAUGAUUUAGUACAAAUGACAUUAGGAAAUAUUGUGGGAGAAUGAUCUCCUUUUAUAAAAGAGAGUUUCUAGUUUUGUUUUGACGUUAACACGUGUCGUGUUGUGAUUAGCUUCUGAUGUUGACACGUGUCGUGCUAUGAUUGGCUUCUGAUGUCGACAUGUGGUGCACUGUGAUUGGCCUUUUGGUUGGAGGGAAACUCUUUUGGGUCCUUGACGGUAUAACGUUGAUUAGUGCUUAGUAGUUUUGGGAUUGGUCAAGUAUGGUAUAAACAAAACUCAUGGGUACUUUCACUUACUAUGCAUACGGUGAUAAUUGUGGCUGAGGCUGUUAUGAUUCAUAACUAGGCAAUUUCCUCUCACAUUUCCUUUGGUUGUGUAAUGAUUUUCUUUUGUCCUAACUUCACUUGCCAUCAUAUGUUUAGGCUUGGGUUACCCUUGGUAGAGCAAAGUUAAACUUUGGGGAGGCUGAUAGUGCCAUUCAAAGCUUUGACAGAGCAUUAGCCAUCAAGGUACUGUUUCACCUUUCAAGAAAUUAUAAUUUGUACUUCUCAAACUUCUUACACUUUUUUAUGCCUCUUUGAGCCACUGACCUUAGGUGGAGUCUGAUACUGCAAUAUUAUGUACUAAUCUAAUAAACCCUGCAGCUUAUUCGUCUUCUUCAUGGGUAAAAUAACAUGACAGAAAGAAGCAGUAACCAGUUCACCCAUUCCCUUGAUGAUCGUUAUAAUCUUUGUUUUCUUAGUCUCCUCUAUGCCCUCCUCAUCAAGAAAGUUCUUAAACCUGUUCCCAUAUGUGUAUUGUUAAGUUGCUAAUUUAUAGAUUAACCUACUGUGAUUCUGUGCUUGAAGUCAGGCAUAUGGUUAGACUUCCAAAUUGAUGCCUUAGUAGCUUCAAUGCUUGCCUUAAAAUUACUAUAGGCAUAACUGUUACAGUUUGUUUGUACCAUACUUGACCAAUCCCGAAACUACCGAGCACCGGCCAACGCUAUACUGUCAAGGACCCAGAAGAGUUCCCCUCCGACCAGGAGGCCAAUCACUACUCGACACGUGUCAAGAUUAGAAGCCAAUCAGAGCGCAGCACGUGUCGACAUCAAGAACCAAUCAUAACAUGACACAUGUCAAUGUGACAAAGCUACAAGUUUUUCUAUAAAUAGGGGUCAUUCCCCCACAAUAUCGCCUAAUGCCAUUUUGUGUUAAAUCAUUCACAAGAACUCACUAAAUUGAGAGCUUGAUCCUUUGUACUUGUGUAAGCCCUUCACUACUAAUAAGAACUCCUCUACUCCGUGGACGUAGCCAAUCUGGGUGAACCACGUACAUCCUGUGUUUGCUUCUCUGUCUCUAUUCAUUUACGUACUUAUCCUCACUAGUGACGGAAGCAACCAAGCGAAGGUCACAAAACCUGACACUUUCUGUUGUACCAAAGUCUUCGCUGAUUUUGUGCAUCAACAUUUGGCGCCGUCUGUGGGAAACGACACUUAUUCCUACUCUCUUCAGCUGUGUCAAGCUGGUUUCUAUCAUUCGUACACUUUCUUUUGAUCUGGCAUCCCUCUCCAGCAUGGGAAGCGAAGGAAGCCACAGCACACAGAAUGACACCCCCCUUGCACAUAGUGCGAAACAACGAAAGAAGGAAGGAAAACGAGUUAUUCUUCAAGCUAAAGUCGAUGAGUUGGAAGCUUAGAACAACAAGAUAGCAAUGAGGAAUGAGGUCCUCCAGGAGCAAUAUGAGAAGCUCUUCGAGACACUUCACGAAGCUAGGCAAGCUCAGACACGCGAGCUUGUUGCCCCCGUGGAAGUCAACCAUCAACUGGGUGCCCUCCAACAUGGAGGGUCACAUGCAUUCGACAUAGAUAUCCCUGAUAGGGAACAAAUUACCCCUCGAUUUGAUAAUCAACAUGAGGCUUCUCUUAACCCAGUUGCUUCGACCCGAACCAUGAGAAGCGGAGGGAGACACCUCUUUGCUGAAGGGGCAGAAGGAUCGAAAGCUGUCUUUCGCGAUUGUCGGGAUUUCCUGAAGCAACGUCGAGAGAAUUCCAUCCAUAUAAGCUCAAAGAUCAAUGACCCAAGGAUUUCUGAGAGACUCGGUCCCCUGCCACGGCCCGAGCCGGCCACCAACUUGGGGAAGGGGCAACAAGUCCUAGAGAGACAUGAGGGUACAGGGGACUCAGAGGUGUUCCGACAGACAUACCCUGGAAGCCAGUACAGCGAGUCCAGGGAAAAAAUCACAUGCCCUUGAUCAAACCUUCCUAAUUCCAAGAGGAGAUGGAGAUUUACGAAAGAAAGCUCCAGUGGCACAUAACUCCGCUCAGGACCCCCCUUGUCCUACAACUUCUUGAGGAAGUAAACAAGUUGAAGGCUGAACGUCAGGCUAAAAUACCUGACUGGAACCAACCCAGGCCUGGCCCUCUUACAAGGAGGAUCCUCAACACCCCCCUUCAAGCAAAGACAAAGCAGAAGCUUGGCUUGCAACUUUAUACUGGGAAAGAGGACCCGAUUGAGCACCUUAACCUCUUUGAGUCCACCAUGGCAUACCGGAUGCACACCGACGAAGAGCGAUGUCUUCUCUUCCCCUCCACCCUCUCUGGCGGAGCUCUAAAUUGGUAUUGUCGUCUUACACCUGAGACGGUAGACUCAUUUGAGGAAUUGAGGAAACUAUUUGUUUCCCAACACAUUUUCCAAACCGAUCGCUUGCACUCUGCAGAUGACCUGUACACUAUCCGCCAGAAGCCAGACGAGUCAUUACGUAUGUAUGCUGGCCGCUUCAGCCAUGAAUACUCCCGGUGUGCCGAGGCAGACGACAAGACUGCCCUCAAAGCCUUCACGGCAGGCCUACGUGAUUGUUUCUUUAAAUACAUGAUCAAUGUCAAUACUUGGAAGACUUACUCUGAGGUGAUGGCGCAGGCUUAUAACCAUGCCUCCGCCGAGGCAAAGACAUAUCAGGAGAAACCCCCUACAACCAUCCUUUAUCAACAAGUGGGAGGUGGAAGCCAGACUCACCUAAAUGAGAAGACCUCGACUUUCCAAACAGCAGUGGCACCUCCCCAUGCCGUGCAUAAUGCUUCACCGAAUCAACAGACAUAUCAAUUUCAAGGCAAGAGGAAGGAUUUCCAUCCUCACCACUCUCCUUCCAGUAAAAAGAGUAAGGGACACUAUCCCGAUAACCAAGGGUAUCGCCACAAUAACGCUCGCCCCCAGGCAGUCAAUGCAGUGGGUCAAACCCGCGUCAAGAUACCCCCUACCCCAAGGUAUGAGACAUACACGCCCUUGAAUGCCACAUGCGCGGCCAUUUACCCCAGCAUAGCUCACCUGAUACCAAAGCCAAAGCCGAGGCACCCAGAUUACACGCCCCCGAAUAACGCGGGCAUGUUUUGUUGCUACCAUGAGCAUAACGGCCAUGAUAGCGAGAAAUGUAUCAUCCUCCGUGAUCGUAUUGAAGCUUUGGCACGAGAAGGAAAAAUUGAUCAAUUCCUCCUUCACCCUCAAAGGGAUAACCGUAACCAACGCCAGGUGAAUGUCAUAUAUAUUCCAUAAGCGGCGGCACACCCCAUAUCUGAAUCUUCCAAUAGGGCCAUGAAAAACAGUGAACGAAUUCUGAGGCCUGGUCACCAAGUGUUUCACGUGGAAGACAUCAGGGGAGGGAAGUAUCAAAAGCCUAACUGGGAUCCGAUAUGUUUCUACCCUGAGGAAGAAAGAGGCAUCAUCUACCCUCAUAACGACCCAUUGAUCGUGGAGGCUCACAUAGCCAACUUUGAUGUUCGACGAAUCCUCGUAGACACAGGGGCUUCGGUCAAUAUCAUGUUUGCCGAAGCUUUCAGGGCACUCAGUGUAGCUGAACACUUGCUCGAUCGCUCGAUUUCUCCUCUGAUAAGCUUCUCCGGUGAUAUCGUGCAACCCUUAGGGAGCAUACAUUUACCCUUUACUAUUGGUACAGGCCCUUACACGGCUACCAUUACCACUAACUUCCUAGUGGUUGACUGCCCAACGGCAUACAAUGUCAUCUUUGGGCGCACAGGCAUCAAUGAUCUCAAGGCUAUAUGGUAUCCACGCAUAUGCUGUUGAUGAAAUUUCCAACCCCCAUGGCAACGACUACAUCAGAGGAGAUCAGCUUACUGCACGAUCAUGUUACAACACUUCAGUUAAGCAACAACACUUGCCCGGACCCAAGGAAACCCUGUCUGUACAUGACCAAGUCACAAAGACCAGCCUAGAUGAAGCGAACUUGGAUCUUCCUGAUAGCAACAAUCAACCCGAUGAUCCUCGAGAUGACUCUUUCACCCAGCAAGCCCAACCUGCUGAAGAGUUGGAGAAGGUACCUAUCUCAAGAGAUUAUCCAGAUCGCAUGGUGAAGAUUGGCACCACAUUGUCACCACCCCUUCGGUUAGCAUUGAUAUCUUUUUUGAAAGAGAACACUGAAGUCUUCGCCUGGUCAUACGAGGACAUGCCAGGCAUCUCUCCCGAUGUCAUCUGUCAUCGUUUGAGUAUUGACCCCAAGAUCAAGCCGGUGAGACAGAAGCGAAGAUCUUAUGACGCUGAACGAUACGAGGCAAUGAAAGCAGAAGUUGAAAAACUCAAAGGCAUAGGCUUUGUCCGCGAAGUCAAUUACCCGACAUGGGUAGCAAAUGUGGUCCUUGUUAGGAAAAAUCCGACCAAAGAAAGUCUUUCGCUUCAAAAGGUCUUGUGGAGGAUGUGUGUUGACUACACCGACCUAAAACAAAGGGUGUCCGAAAGAUAGUUUCCCUCUUCCUCUUAUUGACAGGCUUAUAGACUCUACGGCAGGGUGUGAGCUCUUGAGCUUUAUGGACGCUUAUUCAGGAUACAACCAAAUCCUCAUGAACCCCUCAGACCAAGAACACACGGCCUUCACUACUGACAGGGGACUAUAUUGCUAUAAAGUCAUGCCUUUCGGCCUAAAGAAUGCAGGAGCAACUUAUCAGAGACUGGUCAAUUCAAUGUUCGCCGAACAAAUUGGGAAGAACAUGGAAGUUUACGUUGAUGAUAUGCUAGUCAAAAGCAAACAUGCUGACCAACACAUCACCAACCUAUCUGAAACUUUCACCAUUCUAAAGAGGUAUCGAAUGAGGUUGAACCCCAACAAAUGUGCCUUCGGCGUGGGCUCUGGCAAAUUCUUAGGCUUCAUGAUUAGCCAACGAGGCAUUGAAGCUAACCCUGAAAAGAUCAAAGCAAUCCUCGACAUGAAAGAGCCAAUAACUUCAAAAGACAUCCAAAGCCUUACUGGCAAGGUGGACGCCUUAACCAGAUUCAUCUCUAAGGCCACAGACAGAUGUGCUCCUUUCUUCAAAGCACUCAAGGGAAAUAAGAAGUACAUUACAUGGACGGAGGAAUGUGCCAAGGCAUUCAGGAACCUCAAAGAGUACAUGAGUAAAGCCCAUCUGCUCUCCAAACCAGAAGUUGGUGACACUCUCAUCAUCUAUCUAUCGGUUUCGGCUUCAGCAGUCAGUUCUGUUCUUAUUCGAAUGGACAGUGGUGUCGAACGGCCCGUCUACUACGCUAGCAAGGCCCUACAAGAUGCGGAGACACGAUACUCCAACAUUGAGAAAUUAGCUCUAGCAUUGGUCAUGUCUGCUCGGAAACUUCGCCCUUAUUUCCAAGCACACGCCAUCAUCGUGCUUACCAAUCACCCUCUUCGACAGAUACUCCAGAGUCCUACACGUCUGGACGAAUGAUCAAAUGGGCGAUAGCAUUGGGUGAGUUUGACAUCUCCUACCAACCAAAACCAGCCGAAAAAGGCCAAGCAGUAGCAGAUUUCAUCGCCGACUUCACAUAUCCUGUUGACAUUGCUUCUACACCUAAAGCAGUAGCUUCAUUACCAUCGAAAGCUCAGAAGAUAGAACCAACAACCCCAGCAUGGAGUCUGUAUGUUGAUGGCUCAUCCAACCAACAAGGCUGUGGAGCGGGACUAGUCUUGACUACGCCCGACAAAGUAGCAAUGGAGUAUGCUCUUCGUUUCAAAUUCAAGGCAUCAAACAAUGAGGCCGAGUAUGAAGCCCUUCUAGCAGGAUUACGUUUGGCCAAACACCUCGGGGUUAAACAAAUUGAUAUUUUCAGUGACUCCCAAUUAGUGGUCAACCAGGUUACCAACAACUUUGAUGCUAAGGACAGCUCCAUGGCAGCAUAUCUUGCGCAAACACAACUUUUGCUCAAACACUUCCACUACCAGAUCACCCAAGUUCCUCGAGCGGCAAACAGUCAUGCAGACGCCCUGGCUCGCCUCGCCUCAGCUGUGGAAGACAAGAUUGGAAGAAAAAUUNCUGGAAGUACUUUUUCUCCAUCCAGGGGUGGUAUCUUUAACCGAUGAAGAUGCACAAGGUAAUGUAUCAAUUUCACUUGAAGCUUAGUUGUAGUUUUGGGCUUGGUCAAGUGCGAUACAAACCCUAUAGUAGGAGUCCCCUAAGUCGCCGAGCUAGGAGAUUUUCGGAAUGAGGUAACAGACAAGGUAAGCAAUCAGACUUCCAAGCAAGCAACCUAGAUCGGAGGUUCGACUUCAGCUUCCGGUUGAUUGUUCUCCUUCUUCUUGUGUUGUAAACAGCAACAAAGAUAAGGAGAAGCAAAUGGAGAAUAAAUGAUAUGAGAUACUUUUGCUUUUGAAGAAGUAACUUUCCACCAGUUUAUUCUUGAACUGGGCUGGAGGGUUUUCUGGUUUCCUCUAGAGUAUAAGGCUGACUCAAGAAUUUAAGGGUCAAAACAAGUCCAUCAAAUCUGGAGUACGUUCGACCCUGAUGAUAUGGGAUACUUUUGUUGUUGACAAAGUAGUGGAUGUAUCGACACGUGUUCUGUUACGCUUGUCUCCACAUGCUUCCUUGUAUCCUUCUCACUUGCCCUAUCUGUUCCUCAGGCAGAUAUGGUAUCUUCUUUGGAAGCAUAAGAUGUUGAAGAUGAGUACUCAAGAGCAAUGCCAGGUAAGUAAUCAGGCAAGGGGUUACAGGCAAUCAGUUUCUAACUGGAAGCUUGAUUCCAAGUGCUGACUGAUUGCUCUCUUUCUCCUUGUCUUACAGGUAAGAACAAGGCCAAAGGAAAAGACAGGGAAAAAGCAUGAUAUGGGAUACUCUUGCUUUUAACCGUGAUGAUAUGAGAUACUCUUGCUCUGGUGUGGCUUGUUUGCAGAGGUAUUAUGGGGAGGAAAAGAAGCUGAGUAUUUCGAGAAACUCUGCUGAGAGUGCCCUCUCGGAUGUGAGGAAAAGUUGAGCAUUUUUUUUUAUUUGCAGGUCUGCCUGGCUAUGGAGGAUGAAGGUCGACAUAUAUAAGAGUCUCCUUAAUAACAAGUAGUAGUGCUAUUCCUUUACCCUUCUUGGUCAUAGCAAUGUAGUGGGAGCUGCAAGCUUCACGUGUUUUAACUUUGUCAGAGCACUUUGAAAAACUGGUAUGUGGUAUCUGAAAAGCUGAUGUUGCGUGUGAAGAUUGCAGACAAGCUUUAUCCAAGGAAAUCUGGCUCUCGAAGUUCGAAAAGCAGUGCCUCUUCGAUUUUUGAACAAGCAAUCCUGUCAGGGAUCUUACUCUCGAGAUUCAGAUAACGGUGCCUCUUCAAUUUUUGAGAAAGCAAUCUUGUUGGGAGUCUGACUCUUGAGAUUCGGAGAACAGUCGAUUUUUUAGAAAGUAAUCUUAUUGGGAGUCUGGCUCUUGAGAUUCGGAGGGUGGUGCCUCUUCGAUGUUUGAGCACGUAAUCCUAUUGGGAGUCUGGCUCUCGAGAUUUGGAGAAUGGUGCAUCUUCGAUUUUUGAGAAAGCAAUCUUGUUGGAAGUCUGACUCUCGAGAUUCGGAGGGCGGUGCCUCUUCAAUUUUUGAGCAAGCAAUCUUAUUGGGAGUGUUUUCUCGAAUGUGAGUAAAGGUUUGACAUUUUUGCCAGUCUGCCUUGCCACGGAGCAUGAAGGUUGACACACAUUGAGACUUUCUAGUUAUCAAGCAGUGGUGUUGUUCCUUUACCUUUGUGGGUAAUAGUAGGGUAGCUGGACCUUCAAAAUUUAUAUGUCUAAACUUUGUCAGAGAUUUUUGGCAAAGUUAUCUGUGGUACCCGAGGAGAUGAUGUUGCAUGUGGAAAGUGGUCUCUAUUCGGAAUCCGGAGAGUGGUGCCUCUUCGAUUUUUGAACCAACGGCCCUGUUGCCUUUUCUUUUAUAAGGGCACCAAUUUGUGCUAGAAGUACAUUUAGAGAGUUAUUGCUUGUAGGAAUUUUCCCCUUACUUCAGAGAUUUAUUGCACCUCAUUUCUCAUUCAUCAUUUCUGAGAAUGUCUGGCUCAUCCGACCAUUGUUUUGACUUGAACUUUGGUGAAGAGGCAGCCAUGCCUUCUUAAGACAACAUAUGACGCCCAUCUUUCUUAUCCCCUACUGGUCCUCUUACCGUUGGGGACUCUAUGAUGAAGAAUGAUAUGACCGCUGCGGUGGUGGCCAGGAACCUUCUCACUCCCAAAGAUAACAGACUACUUUCCAAACGGUCUGAUGAGUUAGCUAUUAAGGAUUAUCUGGCUCAAAGUGUUCAGUGUGCAGGUUCUGUGUCUAAUAUGGCCCAACGCCUAUUUGCUCGAACCCGCCAAGUUGAAUCAUUGGCAGCUGAAGUGAUAAGUUUCAAACAGGAGAUCAAAGGGCUCAAGCAUGAGAAUAAACAGUUACACAUGCUCGCACAUGACUAUGCUACAAACAUGAAGAGGAAGCUCGACCAGCUGCAGGAAUCUAAUGGUCAAAUUUUACUUAAUCAUCAGAGAUUUGUGGGUUUGUUCCAAAGGCAUUUAUUGCCUUCGUCUUCUGGGGCUGUACCGCGUAAUGAAGCUCCAAACGAUCAACAUUUGGUGCCUCAUCUUUCUGGGGUUCUGCCUAGUACUAAGGCUCCGAAUAACCACCCUCUGGUGCCUCCUAAUUCUGGGGCUCUCCCGACUACUGAGACUUCUCCUGAGCAACCUUUGUGAAGGCUCCCUCUUGUUUGUUUAUUUUGAUUCAUGUAUAUGUACAUAUUUGUAACUUAUCGGAGAUAUCAAUAAACAAGCUUUGCUUCAUUUCAACGUAUUAUGUUAAAUACACCAAGGCCUUCUUCAUUAAGUUCUUUGAAUUUUUCCUUUUGUUGAAUCUUGUAUGUUGAAGCUUUAUGAGUGAAGCCUGUAUGUUGAGGUAGUGCUCCCUUAAUUUCCCGAGUGAGGAAAACUGCUUGGUUGGAGACUUGAAAAAAUCCAAGUCACUGAGUGGUCAUGAGACUUCUGAGUAUCAAGGUACAGUAGCAUAUGGUAGGAGUCCCCCAAGUCUCCGGUCAAGAGAGUUGACGAAUAAGGUGUCUUGCUAGUAGCCAAGUUUCCAAAGUAACAAAAUUUCACCAUUUUCCUUUCUAAGUGGCAACCCAAAACUCCGAAUAUAUAUUUAUUUUUUUUUUUCAAAUAAGAGGAGCCUAGGCAAUUUAUUUAUUUAUUUAUUUUUUCAAAUUUUCAAAUUUUUGAAUUUUUGAAUUUCCGAAUAUAUAUAUAUAUAUAUAUAUAUAUAUAUAUAUAUAAAGCUUUGUAGGUGAAGUUUUGAGGUUGAAACUUUGUUGGGUACCAUGAAUUGAUUUUGCUUCACACUAUCUUGUCAAGAUAAUGUGAAGCUUUUGAGAAUUUGUAGUUGUCCUCCAUUGAUGAAGCAAUUUGUAGUUGUCCUCCAUUGAUGAAGCUUUUGUUGGUGAAGCUUUUGUGGUGGGGGAAGCUUUUGUGGGAGAAGCUUUUGUGGUGUGAGACUUUUGUGAGUGAAGCUUUUGUUGGUGAAGCUUUUAUGGGUGAAUCUUUUGUAGGUGAAGCUUUUGUGGUGGGUGAAGCUUUUGUGGGUGAAGCUUUUGUGGUGGGUGAAGCUUUUGUGGGUGAAGCUUUUGUUGGUGAAGCUUUUAUGGGUGAAGCUUUUGUAGGUGAAGCUAUUGUGGGUGAAGCUUUUGUAGGUGAAGUUUUUGUGGUGGGCGAAGCUUUUGUGGUGGGUGAAGCUUUUAUGGGUGAAGCUUUUGUAGGUGAAUGAUGAUGCACAAAAUCAGUGAGGACUUUGGUACAACAGAAAGUGUUAAGUUUGUGACAUUCGCUAGAUUGCUCCGGUUACUAGUGUGGAUAAGUAUGUAAAUGGAUAUGGACAGGGAAGCAAACACAAGAUAUACGUGGUUCACCCAGAUUGGCUACGUCCACGGAGUAGAGGAGUUCUCAUUAAUUGUGAAGGGUUUACACAAGUACAUAGGUUCAGGCUCUCAUUUUGUGAGUACUAGUGAAUGGUUUAGUACAAAUGACAUUAGGAAAUAUUGUGAGAGAAUGAUCUCUAUUUAUAGAAGAGAGUUUCUAGUUUCAUUCUGACAUUGACAAGUGUCGUGUUGUGAUUAGCUUCAGAUGUUGACACGUGUCGCGCUAUGAUUGGCUUCUGAUGUCGACACGCGUCGAGCUGUGAUUGGCCUCCUGGUUGGAGGGAAACUCUUCUGAGUCCUUGACUGUAUAACGUUGACCGGUGCUCAGUAGUUUCGGGGAUUGGUCAAGUAUGGUACAAACAUACUUUAAUCUUCUCCCGGGUCCCCAAUUACAACAAAAAUCAGAAUUGUAUAAAUAUUAAGAACACAAUGAAACUGAAAAAAUUAUAUGGUUCUGGAAGGUAUACAAAAAGUUUCCCCUUCUUUCGUCUUAAAUUUGUUUUGCAGCUUUAUUUCGGCUCAAGUUUCAUUUUCUUUCGUCUAGGAAAUUUUUAUAGCCUGAAAUUUCAAUGGAACUGAAAUAGGGAGAGGAGGACAACCCAAAUUUCUGAAUGAUCCCACUGCUUCUGGUGUACGAAGAUAUGAAGAUUUGCCAAUUGAUGAACACAGAGGAGAAACAGAUUUACCUUCUUUCGAUUUAACCACCUUGGUAGCAGCCACAGAAAACUUCUCUUAUGCUAACAUGCUUGGCCAUGGCGGCUUCGGCAUGGUAUAUAAGGUACUUCCCCUAGAACAUUUUGAGAUCUGUGCAUUAUGUGGCUUCGGCAUCUCUGUUGUCAUUAAGAUUUUCGAGUCUGCACCAUGAUUUCAGGGAUGUCUAGCUGAUGGACAAGAAAUAGCUGUUAAAAGAUUAUCGAGAAAUUCAGGACAAGGCAUAGACGAAUUCAAGAACGAAGUAAUGCUUAUUGCAAAGCUUCAGCAUAGAAAUCUUGUGAGGCUUUUGGGUUGCUGCAUACAUAAAGAAGAGAUGAUGCUAAUCUAUGAAUACAUGCCAAAUCGUAGCUUCGACUUAUGCAUUUUUGGUAUGCCAUCUUUACACACUGCUAUUAAAUACUUUAAGUUUUCUGACAUAAACCCUGAAAUUAAGAAAUCAUAAACUUGUAGAUAAUAGAAGCUUUUAUGUGUGGUGUUCAGAUAAAAACGGAAAUUCGUCGUUAGAUUGGAGAAAAAGGUUUCAAAUUAUCAUUGGGAUUGCUCGAGGCGUCCUAUAUCUUCAUCAAGAUUCGAGACUAAAAAUAAUCCACAGGGAUUUGAAAGCGGGCAAUGUUUUACUCGAUGGUUCAAUGAACCCAAAAAUAUCAAAUUUUGGCAUAGCAAGAAUGUUCGGGGAUGACCAAAUUGAAGCAAACACGAACAAAGUUGUUGGCACCUAGUAAUUGUCUCAUCUCCCUUGAAAAAAAAAAUUCAAGUAGAACCAAUAUUUUUUUUUACUCAUAUUGUGUAAUUGCAGCGGUUACAUGUCACCGGAGUAUGCUAUGGAUGGGCUAUAUUCCACAAAAUCCGAUGUGUUUAGCUUCAGAGUCUUGACACUAGAGAUCAUUAGUGGAAGGAAGAAUACCUUCCAAUUUGAAAACUCAUCUCUAAAUCUAGUUGGACUAGUAAGUAAACAGAUAAUUUUUCAACCGAUGAAUCUAACUUUCGAGUAGUCCAAUGAUCUAAACUUUGUGCUCAAAAUUGUUUCAGAUAUGGGGCUUGUGGACAAAAGGAAAAGUCUUGGACAUAAUUGAUUCAUCAUUGAACCAGUCGUAUUCGACUCCUGAAGUUAUGAGAUGCAUUCAGAUUGGGCUCUUGUGCGUUCAAGAAUACCCAACAGACCGGCCAACCAUGCUAGAUGUUGUGUUCAUGUUGGGGAAUGAAACUACUCUUCCACGUCCGAAAAAGGCAGCAUUUAGCUUGAAAAACAGUGGUCCGGAUUGUUCAACGUCUAAAGAAGCUCCUUCUGUAAAUGAUGUAACAGUAGCAGUUAUUGAAGCUCGUUGAGUUUGCACUUUGCCAGUUCUUGUAGAGAUUUUGUGUUACUUCUCAAGUAUUUGUACUCAAAUCGAGAUUCCUUGUGUAGAGAAGGCAAUGCCUUUGAAAUUGUCGAUUCAUCUCUGGACGGAUCGUACCCUAUCAACGAAGUUGUGAGAUGUAUCUAAAUUGCCCUCUUAUGUGUGCAAGAGUAUUUUGGAUAUUAUACUUUAAUCCAACGGCUAAUAGGUCACUAUAGUUAUGGAAUGUAAGUAGGAUUAGAGUUUAACUUGGACUCCAAGUAAAGAUAAUAUUCCGGUUAUUCUUGAAGAAUAAGAGUUCUUGAUACUAUCCUAUUUGGAUUGAGGUUUGGUAGAUUAUUUGUUUGUACAAUAAGGCAUCCUAAUGACAUCAGAACAGAAUCCUAAUGACAUCAUUAUGGGAUUAUGCAUUCAGUUUUUUUUUUUUUUUUUUUGAAUAAACAAUAUUAUUUACACUAAGAGGUUGGGAGUAGGGUAAGCCUCAAAAUGGGGUUCAAAUUCACCUUUGACAAUAAUCAAACCUUAAACCUCUCAAUUACCAGUGAAGAUCGGAAUAUUACUAAACCGUAGUAAGUGACGAGAGAAUGCAUUAGGGUUAAGUUAGUAUAAAUGCUAAACAUAGGUCCCUGCACAUACCUCUGAAACACAACUCAAAAGAAUUCCCCAUAGGUUUGAGGUAUACUGACACGCCCCAACCCAAAUAUCCUAAUGAUACCUGCAUGGCACGUGCUGACCGACACUCGGAAGUGACGAAAGCCAUAAUUCCAUACAAGCACAAGAAAAUAUCAGCACCUGAAGAUCAAAAAUAAUAAACAAUAACAAGAUCCUGAAUUAAACAUAAGGGUAUCGGAAAGUUCAAUGAUCAUAGAUUCGAAACAAAAGAAAUACAAAUAUGUCCAGAGCAUACUACUACACGGAACUACAAGUGCAAAUAAGAAUUCAGAUUACAAUUCAGCAAGAAAAUCAUACCCAAAUGGAAGAGCUCAAAGUCACUGGUAGGGAAAUACCUCGACACUCGGGUCGUACUCCUCGUCACAAGGUCCUAAGUGGGCACAAAACAGAAAAGGUGAGUGGACCAUAGUUAUAUUUAUACUAAUACUAUUCAAACCCAAAUUCUUUCUUAACAUAAUAACCCCCUGCUUUGAAAACAGAUAUAAUACUACGUAUAGGUUUUUCUAAAACUCUAGCAUGCUAGAAAAGUUUGUAACCAUAAAAUCAUCUCUAAAACAUGCAUCUCGAAAUGCCCGAAGGCAAAACCAUAAAUCCCAUCAAAGUUGUAUUCUCUAGGGGUAUCAUAGUCGCCCGAAGGCAGUACCUGUCCAUCGUCCGAAAGCGAAGCUGUACGACACUGGGUUACGUCAGUCAAGAAACAUGGUAGGCCCCAUCACCCGAAGGUGAAGCUAUACUACUCCGGGUUACGCUGGAGAAUAAACUCUAUAACAUCUCACAUUGACACUAGUUGUGACUAGUGAAGCUGUCCGACACUGCUUUUGGCAAUGAAACUAGGGGUAUAACAUAUAUCCCACUCCUCCUCAUCACAGUGUCCUAUGACCAUAGACAUCUAAUACCCGUGUUGUGUGGAUGUGUUGUAUGAUAACUCACUAGAUAUAUAUACCCAAAAUAUAACUCAAAUCUCAAAGCUCAAGUCAACAACUCAAAUCAUUCUCAUAAACCACAAAUCCAUAAUAUAUCAUAAAUCCGCAAUAUCUCAUAAGGCAUAAAAGAAAUAGUCGUAAACCUUUUCUAAGUGUGAAAUCAAUAGUUAUAACAUUUCAUAAAAUGUAAUUUAAAUAAAUCAUAAUAUAGAAAUUCGUAAAGCAAAGUAUAAUAUAAAACGUAUUCAAAUCAGGUAAUAUGAAUUUGCAUGCUAGAUGGUUAAUUAUAAAAUAUACAUUUGAUAAGGGGUCCACUCACAAGUACUCCGCUCUCGGGGAGCUGCUCGAAUUAGGGAGAACUGGAUCAUCUUCCAUCGGUGCACCUAUACACAAAAUAGAGACUAUUUAAUAAAACGCUAAAGCGAUUGAAUUUGUGAAAACGGAGUGUAGAUUUGGAAUCAGAAUGUCGAAAUUAGUCUAGAAGGGUCCCGAUCGAAAAACUCGAAAAAGUCGACGGUCAACGUUGACCAUAAAGUCAACGGUCAAUGGGUCACAGUCAACGGGUCAAAUGGGUUGGACAUGUUUGGUUGGGUUGGGCCGAGGGUCUUUGGGCCGGGUUAAGUAAAAGGACUUGGGCCUAUUUUAAUUUUAAGUUUUGGGCUUAUGCUAUGAAAUAAAAGGGCGGGCUUAGCCCGUUGUGGGCUAAAUCAUUUGGGCUCUGGGCUGAGUUGGCAUGCGGGUUGGGACGACACGAGUUACUCGUGGGUCACCGGACCCAUCGAAAGAGAACACCGGCUUUUUGGCCGGAAAUUCUCCCAACUUCGAUCUGGGGUUAAACUUGCUGAAAAAUCACAAUUCAAACAUUAAACAAUGAUGCUGGAACCUGUCGGGUCAGAAUUGGCUUGACCGUGUCAGAAUUGGCCGGGAUUCGUCACGAAACCCGUCGGGUUUCCUCGCCGGAUUCUGGAAAAAGGAAACAGAGUGCAUGCAUAAUAAAUCUCAAUGAUCUUCCACCAAAAUUCACAUGCAACAAGGUAUCUAGUGACCUAGGGUCGUGUCCAAUUGAUUUCGAUUGUCAACACCCUCAAAAUCGCCGGAAAAAACCACGGGUUCACCGUCGACAUCUGAGACCAAAAGAGUAGGUGCAUGCAGAGAGUUAAACCCCAGAUUUUUCCACAUAAUACUCGUCUAGAUGGAUUAGAAACCAACACAACCAAGAAGGAAAAAUAGUUCAUACCUGCGAUGACAAUUCAAGAGAGUUCAAGCUCUCAGUGUCAAUGGCAGAGUACGUAAAAGUGCACAGAUGCCACAUGCAACCUUACAGGUGAGUUCCCUAGGUCCUAAAGAUUCGAAGUUCAAGUUUCUAGAAGUUGGUUUGGUCCUUCUCGGAUAUAGAGAGUGAAUGCAGAAAAGAAUUAGGAAGAAGAGAGAGUGUUCAGAUAGUGGGGGAUCACGGGAGAGGGAAGGAAUAAUGGGUUGGGUUUUGGGCUUGUCACAGCCCAAAGAACUGGACCAAUUUGAUAAAACCCAACACAUGGGCAAAUUCGUAAUUUUACACUUAAAUUUUUACGGUGGGUUGUUACUAGGGAUGGGCAAAAUACCUAUGGGUUUGGGUAACCACGGUUAUCCGUCCAUUUAAAGCUCACGGUUAUGGUUAUGGGUAACUGUUUGGAUGAAUAAACGGUUAUGGGCAUAACUGUUUAUCCGUGAAAUUUAAAUGGGCGAUUAUGGGUAUUACCCACGGUUAUAACGGGUAUCCAUCAGUUAUGGUUAUUACCCGCGGUUAUAACGGAUAUCCAUUUACCCAUUUAAUUUAAUAUAUGUAAAAUUAAAAAAAAAAGUAAAAACCCUAAAUUUUCAAUCUUUUCAUGAAACUCAGAGUCUUAAACGCCCCGUCCCCGCUCAUCUCUCCCUCCUUGCUGCCCUCUCUCUCAUCUCCGAACCGAUCCCAAAAGUUUCGGCUUGCGAUUCGGCCACAUCUUUAAAAGUGUUCGGUAAUCCCGAACCAACCGAAUAUUUUAUAUAUAUAUAUAUAUAUAUAUAUAACAUAGGCAUAUAUAAAAUUAGAAGGCAUACAUGAUACUGAAGCAGAAAACUAUAUAUUAUAUAUAUGUAACAUAGGCAUAUAUAAAAUUAGAAGACAUACAUGAUACUGAAGCAGUAAACAAAAUGUUAAAAGGGAUUUCGGGUUUAAUACAGCUCUUCCAAGCAACUCUGCCCUCUCUCUCGCUUAUGUCGCCCUCUUCUGAUUCCUCACAUUGUACGAUUCAUACCUAUCAAAACUAUCUUUCAAAGACUGAGACUAUAACGGUGUUUAAUUGUCAGAAAAUAAAAAUUAUGACAAAUUUUUCUUUUAUAAUUUUCAAGUUGUUAAAAAAAAAACAUGUAGAGGGUGAAAAAAGGGUAAAUGGGUGAAAAAGGAUAAACGGGUUCAAAAAUAGGUAAACAGGUAAACGGUUAUGGUUAAAUAGGUAAACGGUUAUGGGUAUGGUUAAUUGUUUAUAAACGGUUAUGAGUAUGAGUAUAAUCGUUUAUGUAAUUACCCAACAGGUAAACGAUUAUGGGGGUAUGAAUAUAAACGGUUAUGGGUAAAUAACCGCGGUUACCCGCCCGCCAUAACCGUUGCCCAUCCUUAGUUGUUACCUAUACAAUGGUGGUGAGUGUGCAAAAGGCCUUGCUUGUGUUCUUAGUGUGUUCGUGUGCUUGCUGCAGUUCGUGGCUUGCUCUGCUGUCGAAAAUGGUUUCUCCAGGCUAGUAUUUUCAUGCUGUUUUUAUUCACAUGCACAUAUUAGGAUUUACAGAGUAUGCAACUGAGCGAGCGGCCAACAAUGUCGGCUGUCAUUUUCAUGCUAUGUAAUGAAGCAGUAGCUUCUUCAAUAAAACAACCAGCAUUUUUAUUAGAGUUGUAACAGUGGGGACCCAUCACCACAGUAUUGAAGGAGAUAAUUCUGUAAAUGAUGUGACUUGUAGUAGCGUAGAACCUCGCUAAACUUAAAACUCCUGAGAUAUUCCUAAACGUUGUAUGUUAAACUACUAUUGGUAGCAGCUUGUAAAAGGUUAUUAACCACAAAAAUUUUGCUUCUAAUAAGUAGUUCCAAUUUUCUUUCUAGUGCAUUGACAUGCGGGACGUCAGAAUUAUUGGUCUCGAUUGUGACGUAAUUGAAGAGAAAUUGUACUAGUCUACUUGGCUAGUUCUUUAAAUUAUGUGACAUGUACUAUUGUGGAGGCUUAGCUAACAUAAAAUUUGGCACAAAAUUGAGCUUAAUGAUGUUCUAAAAUUCAUACAGCGCCGACCUCAUUUAAUGAGAUAAGACUUUAUUGUUGUUGUUUGUACUAUGGAUGAUGCUUGAUUUCUAACAGCCUUGGAUUUGAAAUGUAAAUCCGUCCUCUACAUAUGACACAUUCACAUUUAUUAGAGUUUAAGAAUGAGAGAUUUGUGUUAAUCAAACUUCAUGUACAGGAAAGAAGAUGUUGAUCAGUGAUGCUUUAAUGCCAAAUAAAUAAUCCUAGGACUUUUCAAAUUGGUUUACCAUUAUUUAUUUUAUUACGGAUCGCUUUUACCAUAGUAUCCAUUACUAAAUUACUAAUCACAUCUUAGCAUUCAGGCCAGCCCUGAGGGUAGCCGAGGUAGGCCGCCUAGUGCCCCCAAGUUCGGGGGGCCCCCAAAUUUUUUUAUACAUCCUGCAUAUAAAAUAUAAAUAAAGAAAACGUAAGAAACACCACAAUUAUUUUGUUGGUGCAGUGGAAACGGUUCCACUCUGUUUUCAUUGAGGUGGGCAGUUCGAAACACCUUGUAGGUAUUAGUUUUUGCGUUUUUCAAAUCUAUGAAAUUAAAGAUUAAAAUUAAAGAUAAAUUGCUCUUUAAAAAUUGUAAAAUUACAAGAAUCAAAAGGAGUUAAAAUAAUUCAACAAAUAUUAAUUUUGAAUGAAUUUAAAAUUUUCAACUUUAGAAAAAAAAAAAAAAAAAACCUCAUGGUAGUGAGUGGUUUAUGUUUAAAUUCUUAUUUAUUUUCAAAAAUAUUUUAAAUAAAAAUUGUAUAAAUAGAAAAAACUUGAGUUUCUUAAAUAAAAAACAUACAAAGGCCAAUUGUAAGAAGCUAGUGAAAUUAAUGGCCUCAAUUUGUCCAAAUGCAUUUUUUUUUCUUUUGCUUUUGAAAAUAACCUAAAAAAAAUAACAAAAACCAGAAUAAUCAUAACUUUGUAAUCCUUUUUCUUUCAACUUUCCAGUCUUUCUAUUUCUGUUGAAUGUUUAAGCAACUAUCACUUGGUCCUGAAGAUUGUAAUUUGAGGUAACCAUAACUUUGAAUUUAAAUUUUCUUUUUCAAUAAUUUAUUGUUAAACUAGGUUAUUCUAAAAUUUGAUUUGCUAGUGUGUGUUGAUUUUAGAAAGAACACAAGAGAACCACUAGGCGUUGUUGAAUUAUUAUAUUCGUCAAUCAAGUUUUAUUGUUUUUUACUCUCUUGAUCAUCAAGUUUUAUUGCUCUUCACUCUCAAUCUUAGUGCAUUUGCGUCUAAAGACAUGUGACAUGGAAUAUUAAGUAAUGUUAGUAUAUAUUUUUUUUUUCUUUUGAUAUUAAUUUAUAAUGAUAUUGGAUAAGCUCAUAUUUAUAUAUAUUUUACAUCAAAUUCACUUGUCUUUUCUUAGUUAGUUCCUUAUAUUUUUGAGCUAUUUACAUUGUUUUUGUGUUUUGUGGGAUUUGUCAAGCCAAGAAAAGAAAAAUAGCACAAAUAGGAUUUUUAGUAACAAAUUCGUCAAAACUGCCUGUGCAGAUCAGCUGACUUUGGAAGCAAGUUGCGAACAGCUCAGAAUGAAUUAGAGAAUGAGCCUUAUAUGCUUGGAAAUCUACGGAUGUCUAUUUUCUGGAGCAUUUCGCAGAUUGUUAAUAUCAUUUUUGUAGAAGAAGUUAUGGCCAUUUUAACACUAAAAGGUUCACAAGAGACUGAGCAGUUUGUAACUACAAUGAAAGCAAUAAACCCAAUAAGUCUAACAUCCAAAACUGAUGCAGCCAAGAACAAGUCAGCUGAUACCUAUUCAAAUAUCAGGGGAAAUGGAAAUAAAGAUGAGAAUUAAGUGGGAGUAAUGGGCAUAAAGGCUACCCAAAGAGUUACAAUUGUUUUACCAUUUCCUCUCACUUAUGGUCAUCACUAAAUGAUUGUUAGUGGGGUGAGUGAUGGAAAACAAAACUGGGAUAUCAAGCAAGAACAAAAAGGUGCAGGUUGCAGCUGCAAAGUGGGGGGGGGGGAAUAGGAGAAGAAAAAAGAAAAGAAAAGAAAGAGGACAAGGCAGCAGUGUUGGGGAAGGAAAGGAAGGAGGAAAUCUUGACAUUCUCUUCUCUCGGUUUUAUCUUCUCAAACUCAUGUCUUUCUUUUGGUUUUAUUUGAUAAUAAUGUGUAACUAAAUUCUUAGUAGUUAGGGGCUGUUUUGAAGCCCCAAAUAUGAUUACAAGUUUGUUAUGACAUUUUGUUUGAAUUACUUUUAUGAAUGGAUGAAAAUUGAUUCACUACUUGUCUCAUUGAUGAAUUAUUUAUGUGUUUUCUACGGAUGCAUACUUAGUAAGCAUAUCUAGGAUUCUAAAGCUAUGAAUAUGUAUGUGCCUGCCCUUGUCGAAUGAGAACCUACAUAUGUUCUAGAGUAGUACUUGUCAAUUGCGAUUAACAUGUGAACUAAUUUCUAGGAUAAGUAAGACAACGUCAGUACUUACGAUGCCAUUCUAGAUUGCAUGCUAGGGACUAAGUUAAGUUGAAAACGUCAUUCUCUUAACAUACUACAUAAGAAAGAGUAAUUUCGUAGAAUUUAGGUAAGUGUAAGUUGGUCUAAUAAUUAUUUUUCGGUGGCUGGUCAGUAGGGACAGCAACUAGUUUACCCUUAUUUUCAUAUGCUACAAUUGACAAAUCUUAGUGUUAAUGAGGAAAAUCAAUAAGACAUUUGUGUGCUAUUUUAUGGUGUGCUUUUAAUCCUAUCAAUAUUCGAUGAAGAAAUAUACUUUUUAUGUAAUUAGCGAAUUCUUCUUACUACAUACCAAUAUACAAAGAGUCGGAGGUCCGAGAACUUUAGGGCCCCACUUUGAAGACUCGCCUAGGGCCCCCAAAUUCUCAGGGCCGGCCCUGCUAGCAUCUUACCACCUUCUAGCACAUUUAUUAGGUGUUAGAUUUUAUCACAAAAAUUAAAAACAAAACCAUUCAUUGUAUUUUGUAAUUUAUUUUACCAAUUUUUCGACAUGAGAUAUUUUUGCAUUCUUCAACAGCGUGCACAUCUCUCAACCUAGUCGCUACGGGUAGCACUUAAACUCCUCAAUGAGAAAGCUAACCAUGAAUCCUACUAAUUUUUUUUGUCAAUAUUGUGUUGCUCAUCUUCCUUGUGAUUCUUCCCUCUUCCAUUUCGGCUGCUCUAGACGCCAUUACACCAAACCAACCCCUAAGAGAGGGCGACGUUCUUCUCUCCACCACUAAAAUCUUUGCACUAGGGUUUUUUAAAGCCAAGCAAUUCUCAUAACCGUUACGUCGGAGUUUGGUAAAACAAAAUUCCAAUCAAAACUGUUGUCUAGGUUGCAAACAGAGAAAACCCCAUAAUUCCCCUAUUGCUGGAACUGGACGCGCCCUAUAUUAGAAAAGUAUUCUCAUUGAAUGAAUAAUUAGAGUACAUUUGGUAUUUAUACAAAGAGCUAUAUUUGACAGCUCAUCAAAACUAACCUAUAACUAUCUAAUAACAAACUAACUUUCCAAUGACUAAUUACAACAGAAAUCACUAACUAUCCAAUGACUAAUUACAACAAAAUCAAGAUAAACAAUUAUCCUUAAUAUGCCCCCUCAAACUGAACUUGGGCAACCGAAGUGAUAGUUUGUCUUAAGCAACAGAAAACGAGACUUGGACAGAGAUUUAGUACAUAUAUCUGCAAUUUGAUCAUGUGAACAUACAAACUGAACAGUUACAGCUUUAGAGAGAACUUUUUCCCUGAUAAAAUGAUAGUCAAUCUCCACAUGUUUAGUCCUUGCAUGAAAUAAAGGAUUUUUUGCUAAGGAAAUCGCAGAAAUGUUAUCACACCACAAUUUUGGUGGAUAUGGAAGAGAUAGACCAACAUCAACAAGCAAUUUACAAAGCCAUGAAAGCUUAGCAGCAGUGUUAGCAAGAGAUCGAUACUCUGCUUCAGUGGAUGAGCGAGCCACUGUUGGUUGCUUUUUAGCACUCCAACUAAUAAGAGAGUUUCCAAGAAAUAUGCAAUAACCUCCAGUUGAUCUUCGGUCCAAGGCUUACCCUGCCCAAUCAUCAUCUGAAAAGGCAUUUGUAAUGAGUGAAGAUGAUGUUUUUGGAAACCAUAGUCCCAAAUCAAGAGUGCCCUUCAAGUAUCUCAAUAUUCUUUUAACUGCCUGCAAGUGAGACUGUCUGGGUUGAUGCAUAAGCUGACAGACCAAGUUAACAGCAAAGGAUAGAUCAGGUCGAGACCAAGUAAGGUAUUGUAACCUUCCUACAAUUGAUUUGUACUCAUCUGGAUGAGAGAGCAAUGGAGAAGAGUGGUCAAGUUUUGAUGUACUGAGAGGUGUUGCACAUGGUUUUGCACCAGCCAUGUUGGUCUUGGUAAGUAGAUCAAGAAUAUACUUGGGUUGUGAGAUAAAAAUACCAGAUAAUGACCUUUUAACCUCAAUUCCAAGAAAGAAAUGAAGAGGACCCAAGUCCUUGAUUGGAAAUAGAGAACUCAGUUGAGCUAUUGUGUCUUUGCAAGCCUGUGAAGAGGGACCCGUGACCAAGAUGUCAUCAAUAUAGACUAGGAUAAAAACCAGAGAAGGUUCAUUCUUGACAAAAAGAGAAUGAUCAUUAUGUUAUCCAUGAAAUCUCAUUGAUUUAAGUGCACCAUGAAGCCUCUCAUACCAGGCGCGAGGAGCCUGCUUUAGUCCAUAAAGACUCUUGUGAAGUUUGCAAACAUAGUGGGGCUUUGUAGGAUCUUGAAAACCAUAUGGUUGCUGCAUAAACACAUUCUCAGAUAGAUUACCAUGUAAAAAGGCAUUACUAACAUCAAACUGAUUGAGAAACUAAUCAUACUGAGAUGCUAGUGUGAGAAGAAGCCUGAUGGUUACUGGUUUAGCCACAUGGUUGAAUGUUUCUGUAUAAUCUAAACCCUCAUGUUAAUGAAAACCCUUGGCUACUAAACGAGCCUUGUAUCUGUCAAUAGUGCCAUCAGCUUUCCUUUUAAUACGGAACACUCAUUUACAACCAACAUGAUUAUGAGAAGGAUGUGGGGGAACAAGAAACCAAGUGCCUAUGUGAACCAGGACAUUAAAUUCCUCUUGCAUAUCUUGUCUCCAGUGAGGAUGUUUUGAAGCUUGGAGAUAAGUAGCAGGAAGAUUAUCUGCAGAAAUUUGGGAAGGAAGAGGGUGUUUGGUAGCUGAAUAGGCUUUUGGUUUAAAAAUGUUGGAUUUUGAUCUUGUUUGCAUAGGAUGAGUGUUUAAAGGUGGGGUUGGUGAUAUGUGUGAGGAAUGAGGAGAGACAGGGUGAGGAGAAUGAGGGAGAGGAGGUGAAAAAGUUGAAGUAGAAAAAGGUGCAUAUUGAUUUAGGUUGAUUACAAGUUGCAUAGGAUAAGAUGCUGCAGGGAAUUUGGUGAAGGUAAGAGUUGAAGGUAUGGGAGAGGAAAAGAUUGAGGCUGAGGAUGAAGAAGAUGAAACUGGAGAAACUUGAUGAAAUGGGAAAGUCAGCUCAUCAAAGAUGACAUGCCUUGAAAUAUAAAUCUUGUUGGAUUGAAGAUCAAGACAUCUAUAGCCAUUGUGAUUGAGACUAAAGCCAAGAAAGACACAGGGCUUGCUUUUGGGUUCAAGUUUGGAAGCUACAUAAGGUUUUAGCCAAGGAAAACACCUGCACCCAAACACUUUACGUGUUGUAUAAUCUGGAGGCUUGCUGAAAAGUUGUUCCCAAGGACAGGAUCUAGACAUAGUAGGCAACCUGUUUAUGAGAUAAAAUGCUGUGGAGAAUGCUUCAACCUAGUAAACAUGAGGAACAUGAGAAGCAGCUAAAAGUGUGCGAGCAACUUAUACUAAAUGUCUAUGCUUGCGCUCCACACAGUCAUUUUGUUUUGGUGUGUGAGGGCAUGAGAGUUGAUGAUGAAUGCCAUUGUCUUUAAGAUAUUGAAUAAACACGGAACUAAGAAAUUCACCAUCAGAGUUAGAUCGUAAAGUGACAACUUUAGUAUUUAACAAAGAUUCGACAAGAACUUUGAAUUCAACAAAGGUUUUAAAGACCUCAGAUUUACAUUUGAUCGGAAAGAACCAGUUAUAUCGACUGAAAUCAUCCACUAUAAAAAGAUAAAACCGAUAACCAGAUACAGAGAGAAAUGGAGCUGGACCCCAAACAUCUGCAUGUAAAAGUUCCAAAGGUCUAGUGGUAACACUAGAAGCUGAUACAAAUGGCAGUUUUGAACUUUUACCCAAUGCACAAUUUGAACAGAAGGUUUUAUUCAUAAUAGUAGUGAGAGGAAUACUAGACUUAGACACAAGUUUAUGUAAAACUUUGAAAGAGAGAUGACCCAAUCUUUGACGCCAAAUCUCUGGAGAAGCUUUGAUAGUAGCUGCAAAAUCUUAUGUGAACCAUCAUUGACAGAUGUAAUGAAUGGAUAAAAUCCAUUUUGCACAGGUCCUUUAAAAAGCGUCCUCUUCGAAAUAUGAUCCUUCACAGCGAAGUGAAAAUGAUAUAGGCGAAUUGAACACCAAUUAUCAAGUGUAAAUUUAUUUGCAGAGAGUAAAUCUUGCUUCAAAUCAGGCACAUGUAACACAUCAUGCAAAUCAAAACGAUGAUGAGGAGUAGAUAUAGAGGUAGAACCAGAAUUAGAUAUAGGCAAACCUUCACCAAUGUAGACUUGUUCAGGGCCGGUGUAUGGUGCUGGAUUUUGAAGAUUCGCCAGAGAACUUGUCAUAUGUGAGCUAGCUUCUGAAUCAAGAAGCCAGGAAUGAGAAGUACUCUGUGAAGGAUUAGCACACAUAGCCAUCUAAGAAUGUCGAUUGCCAAACUGAGGAUUCAUACAAUGAGGGCAAUCAUAGGCUUCAUGAUUAUACUGACGACAUAUUUGACAAGUUGAUAUUCUGCCACUGAAAUUAAAGCCCGAGCGACCUCCACAAUUGUUCCUCUGAGUAUAGCGAGAGUAAUUUGGACGCUGACUGUUACCACAAUAACCGGAGAAAUUGCCCUUAUUUUGAGAAUUCCUAGGGUUAGACAAAAUGCGAGCUUGAGAACAACCUUGAUACUGAUUAAACUAAGAUGAAUUCUGAGCAAGAAAGGCCUGAGAGCCAGUAUUGGAAGUCGGUGUAGGAAGAAUGCCAGAGGAUAAUGCAAGAUUCGAAUUGAGGCCUGAAAAACGCCAGAGGAUGUAGUAGCUUUCUUGCGAGUGGUAAGCUGAAUUUCUUUACUUAGAAGUAAGCCAUGUAACUCAUCAAGUGUUGUAGAGCCAAGACGGAAUUGGAUCGCAUCAACAAAGGAAUCAUACUCCGGCGGCAGGCUAUGAAGAGUUAUAGAAAUCAGAUCAGAGUCUUCAGUCGGAGCUUCGGCGCUGGCAAGAGCAUCAGCAAUGUCUUCAAUUUGUUGAAGAUAAGCAAAGGCGGUGGAAUCACCUUUUGAAAUAUUAUGAAGACGAGAUCGGAGUUCAUGAAUAUGUGAUUGAGAAGCUGCUGCAAGGCACGAUUCAAGCUUAGACCAUAGCUCUCGAGAGGAAUUUACACCCAUAGUAUAGGGAAUUAGGGAUUCAGAAAGUGUAGAGUUGAUCCAUAUGAGAAUAUUUUGAUCAUUCGCAUACCAAGAAACAUAGUCAGGGUUGAAAUUGCGAUUACCGGAAGAAUCAAGAAGAAAUUGAGGCGGUGCCGCCAUAGAUCCAUCAAUGAGACCGGUAAGAUUGUAGCGACGGAAGAUUGGGGCAAAGAGAGCACUCCAGGUCAAGUAAUUUGUAGUGGUGAGCUUGAUUGGCACCAUAGAUCCGAUGUUUUGGAUCAUAAUGGAGGUAGAAGAGAAGAAUUAGGGUUUGAGGAAGAAGUCGGAAUGGGAUGAACAUGUGUAGCCGAUUCCGACGAAGGAUACGCCAUGGCUGAAUUGAUGAGAGAAACUUGAAGAGAUCAAACGCGAUCGAGAAAUCGAUCAGAGAAUCAGAGAAUCAGAAAAGAGAAAAAUUGUAGGGAGAAGCGAGAAGGAUUGGAUCGAAGAGGGAGAAGUCAAAAGACAAAGGCAGGUGAUACCAUAUUAGAAAAGUAUUCUCAUUGAAUGAAUAAUUAUAGUACAUUUGGUAUUUAUACAGAGAGCUAUAUUUGAUAGCUCAUCAAAACUAACCUAUAACUAUCCAAUACCAAACUAACUGUCCAAUGACUAAUUACAACAUAAAUCACUAACUAUCCAAUGACUAAUUACAACAAAAUCAAGAUAAACAACUAUCCUUAAUACCCUAGCCAUUCAUGGAGAUCAUGGUGGCCUUGUCAUAUAUGGGGAGGACCAAAAUACCCCUUUCUGGUCCGCUAAUGUCACCGUCUCUUCUCCAAACAAAUUCGUGGUAGCCAAGCUUUUGGAUACGGGCUGGACAGGCAGUCCGGGCUAAACCGGUUCCCCACAUCUUGGAAGUCCCAAAAUGACCCGGGAACGGGCAACUGUUAGUACCGGAUAGAGUCAAGUGAGAGUCCACAGCAGUUCUUAUGCAAGGGUCAGACUCCAUUAUGGGGGGCAGUGGCGAAGCUACGUGAGGACGAGGAGUGGCAGCCGCCCCUCCCCUCGCCGGAAAUCAAGCACAGGAGCGGCGAUUCCGCCCCUCCGAUCUCGUCGGAAGUGAUGAAAUUCCGUUUGGUUUUCUGGCCUUUUGGGUUUCCCUGUUCUAUCACAGCACAGGCUGAUCACGGGCUCUCUUUUUUUUUCCAAAAAAAAAAACCUAGGCCAAAGAAAUGAGGAAUGAAGAUCUGCAUUUAGCAGCUUCUGGAUAUUGGAAAUGUUCUGGUUUGGUUCUAACGAAGAAGAGGAGAAAGGAAGAAGAGAGAGACUCUCUCUCUCCCAUCCCACCCCACGUGACCUUUACAAUUUGUUUUUUUUUUAAAUAUUGGCCAACCAAUAUGCGCCACCUAACCUGCUUUUGUUGAUUUAUAUUGGAAUUUAUUUUAUUUUUUAAUUAUUGUCCAAUUAAUUUGACCAAUCUUUCAAUAUUUAUUAAACCACUUGUUUGACACUGUUAUUUAUCUUAAAAUUCACUAUAAUUUAUACGAGCUUCAAAAAAUAAUUUGUAAAAUAUUAAAAACUUGUAAUUAUGUUUUUUCUUCUCUUACCAUCAAAUUCAACAAAGUAAUGAAGAAAAUUUGUCAAUAUUUUUAUAUAUUAUAUGUUUUAUAAUCAAUGUUUUUUGGAUAUUACAAACUAUAUAAUAAAUAGACAAUUAUUUAUACGGUGUAUAAUAAAUUUAUUCAAAUUUGCCUAGGUCCUUGCCGAAGUGUAAAGUCAUGUCCAUCGUCUGACUAGAGCUUAACAUCUUUUAAAACUUUGCUAAUUAUACAGUUAAGUAAUAGGACGAUACAACGAGAAACGGUGCUAAAUCAUCCUUCAAAUAAUAUUGUUUUUCAAACCCUCCUUCGACUAUUUUGAGUAGUCCAAAUCCUCUUUUGAAUAUUUCGGUUAGUGCAAAUUCUCCUAUGAAUAUUACGGGUGGUUCAAAUAAUCUUCUUGCAAAUGCAAGACUUACACCUCGAAUGAAUGUUCACAUUUUUCGGGACCCUAAAUUUUUUAAAUUUCGCCCCUCCCCCCAAGAAUUCCUGGCUUCGCCACUGGUGGGGGGCUGGAUCUUGGACCAGUGAAAGAUGGUCCAGGGUGCCUGCAAUGACGAAAAUUUUCAUCUUCAACGCUACUUUUGUGAACAAUCAAGAUGAGGUAUCCGUCAUGUAUGGUAUUGUUGAUGAAUCAAUCUUCUCAAAAUUGGUGAUCGAUGAAUCAGGAAUCCUUGAACGGACCAAAUGGCAAGAUCAAGCGCAUCAAUGGGUCAAGUUUUGGUCCGCCCCGGUUAAGCAAUGUGAUUUUUACUGGAAGUGUGAUUUUUACAUUGCGGAUAAAUUUGAGUGCAAUUGCCUACCUGGAUUCGAACCCAAGUUGCAACAUGAGUGGUAUUUGAGAGAUGGGUCAGGCAGGUGAGUGAGGCAAAAAGGAUCAUCCGUUUGCCAAAACGGGGAAGGGUUUGUGAAGUUGGAACGUGUGAAGGUGCCGAACGCUUCUAUGACACGGGAGAGCAUGAGUAUGAGUCUGAAAGCAUGUGAAGAAGAAUGCCUGAGAAAUUGUUCUUGCAUGGCAUACGCAAUUGCAGAUGAAGGGCAGGGAGGGAGUGGGUGUAUAACAUGGCAUGGGGACUCGAUGGACACAAGGACUUAUUCGGAUACGGGUCUAGAUUUAUAUGUGCAAGUUGAUGCAAUUGUUUUAGGUAUAUUUUCAUUAUCAAUUUAUCUUCUUUCUUUCUUUACAUUAUCAAUAAUUUUCCUCGUACCGUCGACGUUCCAUGAAAAAAAAACUCUUCUUUCUUUUAUUUCAUAAAAUAUUUGAGGAAUUAUUAUUUAGUUUGGGAGCCGUACGUUUGUUAACGUUCUAAAGAAAUCAUUUGGCACGGGUCUCUUGACAAAUAAUAAAAGUGAAAUUGUUUCAUUAAGAGUGUAAGAUGAUUUUUUUGGAGUACUCAUAAAUUUUGGAAAUUAAUAUAAGUUCUCACGCUAAAAAUUGAGUUUCAUACAUCUGUUAAAAUUGUUAUUAAAUCAACCGUUAACUGGUGACGUGAUGCUUACGUGGAUAAUAAUUAAGCGCCACGUGUCAAUGGGCCCACGUGGACAUUAAAAAUAAAAAAAAUUCAAGGCUUCUCCUACCUCACCCCCUCCGUCUCUUCUCCCUUCUCCCACCUCUGCACCGACCCUUCCGCACACCAACCUUCAAUUCCUCUUCAAUUCUACGCUCUCCCUCUCUCUGUGACAAAAAAAGAAAAUUUUAACUCUUUUUUUUUCUGGGCGUCUCCUACCUCACCCCGCGCGUCCCCCCCCCCCUCCCCCCGGCGCGCCUACUCCCGUGAACUCGCCUCCUCCUUCGGGAUCACGUUCUGAUAAAAAAAAUUUAAGGAACCUAGCCCUCGGAAACCCUCCUUCAGCAAAUUCGAAGAACCAAAUCCCCGAGGGACCUGAUUUCGACCAACAACCGAAAGUGGGUGUGCCCAGGAGCGACGACUGAGGGGAUUUGCUAAGGUGGUUGUGCCCAGGAGCAACGACAGUGAAUCGGCGGCAGGAAGGUUGAAUUGAAAGGUGGGAGUUGUCUUAAUAGCGCCAUAUCACCAGUUUGUAAGAAACCUAAUUGGACUAAAUUAAAUUGUAUAAGAAAGAAAUGCAUUUGCCAAUUGUACAAACUGGUGGGAGUUGUAAACGUGCAAAACUGCUUACUAUAAUCAAGGAAUAUGUGGUGAUUCUGAUCAGGAAACAACUUGCAAUCUGAAACUGCAAAUAACUGUAAAGAACCAACGGUCCACGAUAGAUGGAAGUUGGCAAAGGUUAUACUUAUAAAAGGACUCCCUGCUCACAAAGAAAACGUUCUGUAAUUAGGGUUCUAUCACCAUUGGAACAUAAGGUCUUGAGUGAGUAGAAGAAUUCUUGAGUGUGUUAACAGUAACCAUGGCUGCACUAGGUAAGUCUUUCUUAUCUAAUUUCAAAUUGUGACCUAGUAUGCAUGCUAAUAACUAAGGUUUUUCCAACAUUUGGUAUCAAAGCUAUGUUAGCAAGCCCCUAGGUCGGAUGAAUUAAUAAAAAAUCCUAAUGCUUUAAGAAUGUACAAAAUUUGUAUGGUGAUUGCUGCAGUUUAUUUUUAUCGUGGGCACUAUAAUUCUUCCACUAAUAUGUAUUUCUCUUCUCUGUGUUUGUGUUGGUUGGUGGAGUUGGGUUUUUUGGAUCUUUUGAAUUGGAGCUUCAAAUUCCAUCGUGCAUGUGUGGUUCAAGCAUGUUGCCCAAUCUGAAAUUCUCACUCUCUCAAUCGGCUGGAUGGUGUCUUGGUUUUGUUGAUGCUUGGUUGAAGGAACAGAUAAUCAUGCUAUUUUAACCAUUGGACAAAUGUUUAUUAAAUCUUCACCAAAGUGGGAUUUUAUGGAAAUUUUGGUCUGGGACAGGAAGCAUGGAGUGAUUCAAUUUCCAAGGCUUUAACUCUUGUUGACGACGAAACCAAGCAAAGAUCGCAGGGCCUCAAGAAGAUCUUACUGGCCUCGGUCUUGGCCAUGGUGGCGGAGACGACGUUUCCGGUAGACAUUACGAAGACUUCCAUUUUGCUGCGAUAAUGACUGCUCCAAUGAUCAUGGAUUCAAUUGGGGGAAAUGCCGAAAAUGGCAAACUCCUUUCUCGAGGAGGUGCUGGACCAUGUGUUCUCAUUCAUAUAGACGAACCAGGACCGGAACUUGAUUUCGGUAGUGUGUGCAAGUUGUGGUACGAGAUCAAACUAUGGUGCUGGCGGCGUGCAAAACUGCUUCCUAUAAUCAAGGAAUAUGUGGUGAUUGUGAUCAGGAAACAACUUGCAAUCUGAAACUGCAAAUAACUGUAAAGAACCAACACUCCACGACAGAUGGAAGUUGGCAAAGGUUAUACUUAUAAAAGGACUCUGCUCACAAAGAAAACAUUCUGUAAUUAGGGUUCUAUCACCAUUGGAACAUAAGGUCUUGAGUGAGUAGAAGAAUUCUUGAGUGUGUUAACAGUAACCAUGGCUGCACUAGGUAAGUCUUUCUUAUCUAAUUUCACAUCGUGACCUAGUAUGCAUGCUAAUAACUAAGGUUUUUCCUACACAGUUAACUGCUGAUUUAACAGCAAUAUUAACAUAUGUAUGAAACUGUCCCAAACUUAUGACUUCAGGUACCAUUCUGGGAUGAAAAAAACUUCAUGUACCAAAUGUUGAAAAUCAAGAAACUUCAGAGUAGUAAAUUGAGAUUAACCUUUGUUAAAAAUUAUAAUCCUCUUAUCUGUACGGUGAUUUAUACAAAACACUGUACAAAUGGUGAUUUUUACAUAAAACUAUAUUAUAGUGAUUUCUACAUAAAAUUAUAUCAAAAAUAUUUGAGAUGGUAGUCAAAUCUUAUGCAUAAAACUCUCUUAUGAUAGUGCAAAAGUUUUUACUGAUUAGAAAUAGUUCAAAAUUGUUUGAGUGCGGUAUUGGACUUGAAUUUUUUAAACUGACUCUAGCUCAUAUCUCAUAAGAAUCAAGCCAAGCCUACUUGCGAGCUCGAAAAAAUUAAUCAAGCCAAAUUUAAACACAAUAGUAUUCGGUUCGGCUUGACUAGUUUCCAAUCCUACAUUUAUUUAUUUAUUUGUUGAUAUUUGCUCUUUACUUCUUUUCUAUAAAAUUGUUUCUUGCAAAAGAAAAGCGUAUAAUGUUGACCCAGCAAUAGAAUUAUAAUGGUCUAGCAUAACUCUUGUAUAUUAUUAUAUGGUUUUUCAAACUAAAUAAGGGCUUUGUUAUGUGCUUUUUGUAGAAGCAUUUUAAGUGUUUUUUUUAAUAUUUACUUGCAUUUUUACAGAUCAUUGAUACCAAAGCACUCUUAUUAAAAGAACUUUCAAUUAUUUAAACACUUUUAAAUGAACCCUAAAAUACAGAAAAAAAUAAAAACAAAACAGCGUAAUAGGAUGAGCUUUUCGGUUAACAUGUACAUAAUUUAGUCUAUCCACUUUGGCAUUCUAAUGGCGGCACUAACAUAAUUUAGUCUAUCCACUUUGGUAACGUAAAGAAGUGGUAAACCACGAAUUUAAACUUUGGCAGAAGAAAGCAAAAGAGUUGAAUAAAUUAUUACUGGAUGGUUCAAUGAACCCAAAAAUAUCAGAUUUUGGCAUAGUAAGAAUGUUUGGGGAUGACCAAAUUGAAGCAAACACGAACAAAGUUGUUGGCACCUAGUAAUUGUCUCCUCUCCCUAUAAAAAAAAUAAAAUUAAGUAGAACCGAUAUAUAUAUAUAUAUACAUUUUUUUUGAUAUUGUGUGAUUGCAGCGGUUACAUGUCACCAUAGUAUGCUAUGGAUGGGUUAUAUUCCACAAAAUCCGAUGUGUUUAGCUUUGGAUGCUUGGCACUAGAGAUCAUUAGUGGAAGGAAGAACAGCUUCCAAUUCGAAAAGUCAUCUUUGAAUUUGGUUGGAAUAGUAAGUAAACAAAUAAUUUUUCAGACGAUGAAUCUAACUUUCGAGUAGUCCAAUGAUCUAAACAUUGUGCUCAAAAUUGUUUCAAAUAUGGGAUUUGUGGACAGAAGGAAAAGUUUUGGACAUAAUUGAUUCAUCACUGAAGCAGUCAUAUUCGACUCAUGAAGUUAUGAAAUACAUUCAGAUUGGGCUUUUGUGCGUGCAAGAGUACCUAACAGACCGGCCAACCAUGCUAGAUGUUGUGUUCAUGUUGGGGAAUGAAACGAUUCUUCCACAUCCGAAAAAGGCAACGUUUAGCUUGAAAAACAGUGGUCUGGAUUCUUCAAUUUGUAAAGGUUCUUCUUUUGUAAAUGAUGUAACAAUAAUAGUUAUUGAAGCUCGUUGAGUUCGCACUUUGCGGGCUCUUGUAGAGAUUUUGCAUUACUUCUCAAGUUUUUUUACUCAAAUCGAGAUUCCUUGUGGAGAGAAGAGGCAAUGCCUUUGAAAUUGUUGAUUCAUCUCUGGGCAAAUCGUACCCUGUCAACGAAGUUGUGAGAUGCAUCUAAAUUGCCCUGUUAUGGACUGUAAGUAGGAUUAGAGUUUAGUUAUAAGCUAUAACUUGGGUUCCAUGUAAAGAUAAUAUUCUAGUUAUUCUUGGAGAAUAAGAGCUCCUGAUAUUAUCCUAUUUUGAUUUAGAUUUGGUAGAUUAUUUCCUCGUACAAUAACGAGUCCUACUGACAUCAUUAUGGGAGGAUGAAUUAGGUUUUUUUUUUAACAAACGAUAUUAUCUACACUAAGGGGGUGGCAGAGUGGGCUAUGCCUCAUAAUAGGGUUCAAAUUUGCCUUUGGCGAGAAUCGAAUCUAAACCUCUCACUUACCAGUGAAGAAGAAUAUCAUUAGACUGUAGUACUAAGUGGCGGGAGGAUGCAUUAGGAUUGAGUUAGUAUAAAUACUAAACAUAAGUCCCUGCACAUACCACUAAAUAACAACCCAAAAGAAUUCCCCAGAGGUUUGAGUUAUACAAUGGUGGUGAGUGUGUAGGCGGCCUUGCUUGUGUUCUUAGUGUGCUCGUGUGCUUGCUGCAAUUCGUGGCUUGUUGUGCUAUUGAGAAUGGCUUCUCAAGGUUAGUGUUUUCAUGGCGUUUUGAUUCACAUGAACAUAUUAGGUUUAACAGAGUAUGCCACUGAGCUGCCAACAAUGUCGGUGGUUGUUUUCAUGCUAGGUAAUGAAGCAGCAGCUCCAUCACCAAAACAACCAGCAUUUUUAUUGGAGUUAUAUAUAACAAUGGAGACCCAUCACCACAAUACUGAAGGAUAAAAUUUUGUAAACGAUGUGAGAUGUAGUAGCGUAGAACCUCGCUAAAACUCUUAAGAUAUUCCGAAAUGCUGUAUGUUAAGCAACUAUUGGUAGCUUGUAAAAGGUUAUUAACCACAAAAAUUUUGCCUCAAAUAAGUAGGUUCCAAUUUUCUUUCUAGUGCAUUGACAUGCAGGGCAUGUCAAAAUUAUUGGUCUCGAUUACAACGUAAUUGAAGAGAAAUUAUACUAGUCUAGUUAGCUAAUUCUGUAAAUUAUGUGACAUAUAUUAUGGUGGGGCCUUAGCUAACAGAAAACUUGGCGAGAAAUCGAGCACAAUGACAUUAUAGAAUUCAUACAACUGACUUUACUUAAUAAGAUAAGACUUUAUUGUUGUUGUUGUUUGUACUAUGGUGGAUGCUUGAUUGCUAACAGCCUUGGAUUUGAAAUGUAAAUCCGUCCACUACAUAUGACACAUUCACAUUUAUUAGAGUUUAAGAAUGAGAGAUUUGUGUUAGUCAAACUUCAUGUACAGGAGAGAAGAUGUUGAUCUGUGAUGCUUUGCUUGCCAAAUAAAUAAAAGGAAAAUUAAUGAAAAUGACUUGAAAACUUUGAAUUUUAACAAAAAUGACAAAAAGAUGUUGUAAGUGAAUAGUACGAGGAGUGACUUUUUAGAGUAAAUUCGUUAAAGUAAACAGUACCAAAAGUAUUUCGUUAAAACUCCCGUAAAUAAAUUCCAAGACUUUUCAAAUUGGUUGACCUUUAUUUCAUUUUAUAACAGAUCGCUUUUACCAUAAUGUCCAUACUAAUCACACCUAGCAUUUUACUAUCUACUAGCACAUUACGGGGUGUUGAAUUUUAUGACAAAAAUGAAAGUUAAAAUCAUUUAUUAUAUAUUGUAAUUUAUUUAUCAAUUUUUCGACAUAUAUUUUUGCAUUCUUCAACAGCGUGAACAUCUCUCUCCCUGGCCACUACGGGUCGUACUUGGCCCCAUUCGGAGCCAAUUUGUCUUAUCAAUCUACUGAAUACAACUGGUGUGGUCAGAAUUGAUGAAGUGGAACUUUCUAGCUAGGAUCAGUUUGAGGGAAUUGUUAUGUCUCGUCCACAUGUUUGCCUGGAAGUUGCGUGUAAGUUCAUGUUGCAUCAACGACUGGAAAUCGAGGGUGCGUUCACCGUUGCAUCAACGACUGGAAGUCGCCCGUAUGCCCUUAGAGUUACUGAAACUCAAUCCAAGAAAACAAAAUCCAACCUUUCCGGCUUUUUGUUUCUGCAUGUCAAAAGAAGCAGCCAUUUUAGCACUUAAACUCCUCCAUGAGAAAGCUAACAAUGAAUUCUACUGAAUACUUUUUUGUCAGUACUGUAUUGCUCCUCUUCCUUGUGAUUCUUCCCUCUUCCAUUUCGGUUACCCUAGACGCCAUUACACCAAACCAACCCCUAAGAGAGGACGACGUUCUUCUCUCCACCACUAAAUUCUUUGCACUAGGGUUUUUUAAGCCAGGCAAUUCUCGUAACCGUUACAUCGGAGUUUGGUACAACAAAAUUCCAAUCCAAACCAUUGUUUGGAUUGCAAACAGAGAAAACCCCAUAGUUCCUACUGCUGGAACUGGACUUCUAGCCAUUCAUGCAGAUCACGGUGGCCUUGUUUUGUAUGGGGAGGACCAAAAUACCCCUAUCUGGUCCACUAAUCUCACCGUCUUCUCCAAACAAUUCCGUGAUAGCCAAGCUUUUGGAUACGGGAAAUCUUGUUGUAGUUGAAAUUAAUGGCGGUAGUAGUGAAAAGGUGUUGUGGCAAGGUUUUGAUUAUCCCACAAAUACGAUGCUUCCUGUUAUGAAACUUGGGCUGGACAGGCGAUCCGGGUUCAACUGGUUCCUCACAUCUUGGAAAUCCCAGGAUGACCCGGGAAUGGGCAACUGUUCGUACCGGAUAGAGCCAAGUGAGAGUCCACAGGGGUUCUUAUACAUGGGUCAGACUCCAUUGUGGCGGACUGGACCUUGGAUCGGUGAAAGAUGGUCCGGGGUGCCUCAAAUGCAAAAUAAGAUCUUCUUCAACGUUACUUUUAAGAACAAUCAAGAUGAGGUAUCCAUCAUGUAUAGUGUUGUUUAUGAAUCAAUCUUCGUAAAGAUGGUGAUCGAUGAAUCAGGAAACAUUGAACGGUCCGCAUGGCAAGAUAAUAAAUGGGUCCAGUAUUGGUCCGCGCCGGAUGGGCAGUGUGAUUUUUACGGGAAGUGUGGUCCGAAUAGCAUUUGUGACCCAUACCCAAAAUUUGCCGAUAAAUUUGAGUGCAAAUGCCUACCUGGAUUCGAACCCAAGUUGCGACAUGAGUGGUAUUUGAGAGAUUGGUCAGGCGGGUGCGUGAGGCAAAAAGGAUCAUCCGUUUGCCAAAACGGGGAAGGGUUCGUGAAGUUGGAACGUGUGAAGGUGCCGGACACUUCUACGGCACGUGUGAACAUGAGUAGGAGUCGGGAAGCAUGUAAAGAAGAAUGCCUGAGAAAUUGUUCUUGCACGGCAUACGCAAAUGCAGAUGAAAGGCAGGGAGGGAGUGGCUGUAUAACAUGGCAUGGGGACUUGAUGGACACAAGGACUUAUUUGGAUACGGGUCAAGAUUUAUAUGUGCGAGUUCAUGCAAAUGUUUCAGGUAUAUUUCCAUUAUCAAUUUAUCUUCUCUCCUCUCUUUUCCUUAUCAAUAAUUCCCCUCAUAACGCCAAGGUUCCAUAUAAAAAAGAAAAAAAAUCUUCUUUCUUUAUUUCAUUAAAAAAUUUGAGGAAUUAUUAUUUAGUUUGGUAAUUGUACGUUUGUUAUCAUUUAAAAAAAAAAAUCAUUUGGCACUGAUCUCUUGCCAAAUAAUAAAAGUGAAAUUGUUUCAUCAAGAGUGUAAGAUGACUUUUUUAGAGUACUAAUUUUUUUUAUAAAAAAAUUCAGAAAUUUCUAUAAAUUAAUACUAAAAAUUUAGUUCUUAUGGUCAUUGGAGCUUUUUACAAGGUUUUUUUUCCCAAAUUUUUUCAAGGUUUUUAAACAUGGAAAUAAAUGCUUGUAUAUUUGCAGCUCAAAAUGCAAAGAAGUCAAACAGUUCUUUUGGCAAGAAGAGGAAGCUGGAAGUUUCAGUAGCAUGUGGUCUAUUGUUCUUCCUCUUGUUUUCCCUUGCAUGUUGGUUGGUAAAGAGGAAGAGAAAAGGUAAACAAAUUUCCUUUUACUAGGUUGCCCUCUAAUCAUUCACAAUUAUGAAUUAUAUAAGAACACAACAUUAUCUGUUUAUGUACUUUUAUCACAGGUCAGAGAAGUCAGGAUAAAUUUUUCAAUGUGACCGUAGCAUCAACCGCCUGGGAAGAUUCUUCUGCUAGAACAAAUAUUGAUGAAAGUGGAAUAAACUCUGAAUUACCAUUCUUUGAACUAAGUACCAUAGUUAAGGCCACAAAUAAUUUCGCUUCCAACAACAAGCUUGGAACAGGUGGUUUUGGCUCCGUUUAUAAGGUACGUUGUUGCCCUCAGAUAAUGUCUCAAAUCAUAAAUCAAACUUUGAAUAGACAUUUCUUAGAUUUAUUUUUUAGCCAUCUGCACUCCAAAUCAAUUAUUUUUACCUCUACUCACCCUUGUAGUUUAAACAGAAGAACAUAAUGAAGAAAUCUUGCAGAGAAAGAAAGAGAAUCAAGAAGAGAGAGGGAGCAAGAUUUAGGGAGAGAGAGAGAGAUCUUAGACAGAAAAAGUGAAUCUUUGUUAAUGAUUUCAGAAAAAAUACAAGGUAGUGAUCCAUAAGGAUAUAUAUCCAAACUAUAUUGCUUACAAGCUAAGCUAACAUUUAGCUCACAGGCUAUUGACACUUGCAAACAAUAGGAUUACAAGACCAUUACAGUUUAACAAAAAUCAAGAGACCCGUCCAAUAAAGACUGGAAAGGCUGACUCAAAAAUAUAUUUCAUUAAAAUUCAAACCCAAUCAAUAAUCGAUAAGUGAUGGGAACUAUCUUGUUUCGACUUUUCACAAUUAUCCCACACAGUGAUGUGGAUUUUGAAACUGUAUAAAACACGUAGAAAGUUUUAAAUCUAUAUAUGAUAAGCCAUACUACUUAUAUAUAUAUGUGUGUGUGUGUGUGUGUGUGUGGAAAUCUAUUCACAAACCUAUUGUUAAGCCAUACUACUUAUAUACAAGUGAUGGUUGCAUGGUAUUAAUCUUCUACACAGAAAAAGCAAGUGUUUCCCACCCUAGGAAAUUGUUAAGCACCUAUCAAACUAAUUGAUUGGAAACAGUAUGGUGCUUCCCAAUCUAAAAAGUCAAUGACACUAAAGCAGCAGAUUAGCGAAUAGAUUAGUGAAUAGUUAAUUAUGAUUUGUUUUGGGUCCAAAGAAACCUUGUUAGGUGAUGGUGAAUCAAUAUGAAAGUAAACAAUGCCGAUUUCAAAAUGGAAACUGAAGAGCUAUUCGUUGAAUGAAGUAACAAUUAAAUCUGUUAAAUUACAGCAGGAGAAGUCUAAUAUAUACAGAAAGCCGCAUAAGUAAACAUAUACCAACCAAAAAGUGGGCUAAUCCAACCAAUCUCACCAAUGGACAUUGUCACCCGAGCAAUUGUCGGACUACAUCUUAGACGAAACAAAAAAAUGCUGAGGAAAAUGAUCAUUACCCAAAAUUCCAUUCUGAACAAAUAUUUGGACCAAUAACGAAGAAUUCUAGAAAAACAUGAAAAACUUAAUAAAACCCAAUUUAAACGAAGAACUCCAUCUGAAGCAGAUUUUCACAUGCAAUAGUUGUAGAAGAUGCCUAAGAUGAUAAGGAGUCAUUUGAGACCAUCAACUCAACCCCAUUCGAACGCAAUCACAAAAUCAAAAAGGACAAAAUGGGCAAACAAAAACAAUGAGAAAGCACCUACCUUGAGCUUGAAAGAGAGAGGAAGAAGAACGACGGUGCCCUUCUUCAGCAGAAUUUUGCCGAUAUUGUUUCCGGCCGUUGCCGCCAGCGCUAGGAAGAUCGACUCUCACAUCCCAAGAACCCUAAUUAUAAACUCCCAAUCAAACGCAAAAAGGAUAGAGGAAGCCCAAAUAAAGGGAAAUUCGAGAAAUUCAACAUACCGUAAGACGCUUUCUGACAUCAAGAGAUACGGGAAUCGGAGAGAAAAGAAGAGCAGAGGAAGAUGAAACAUUGUGGGUUUUCCAGUAGAGAAGGAGCGAGAGGAGGGAUGAGAGAUGACAGGAGAGCGCACGCGUAGGAGAGAAAGAGGAAUAGAGGUGAGAGGAGAGCGCGUCUAAACCGAUUCCCAACCGUACCAAACCCUCUGGAGAAAAUUGUGGGCAUUUUGGUCAACAAACAAAUAGUGGCAGAGUUGUAAAUACAACAAAAUAGUGCAAUUGAAAACCUUACUUUAGAUUAAAGUAAUAAUUCAAAAUACUGCAAUCUUUUGUUAUUUCAAUCGCAUUUCUCCUUCACUUGAAGUAGUCAAAGCAUUUUUAUGCAUAUGCAUUGAGUUUUACUCCUUUGUUAAUGUAUAAAUGCAAUUUCAAGGGGAGGAUAUAUAUAUAUAGAGCUACGAUUAUGUUGAUAAUUUUCCUGAAAGGUAAGUGCACUAUAAGUUGAAUUUGGAUUAUAAAUUCAGGGUGUGCUUGAUAAUGGAAAGGACAUAGCAGUGAAAAGACUAGCCAAGAAUUCUGGCCAAGGAAUUGGAGAGUUUAAGAAUGAAGUUGUGCUGCUUUCAAAGCUCCAACACAGGAACCUUGUAAGGAUCAUGGGUUGCUGCGUUCAAGAUGAAGAGAAGAUGCUGAUCUAUGAAUACUUGCCAAACAAAAGUCUUGACUUUUUCAUUUUCGGUAUGUCUUUCGUUCACUUUUGUUAUUCUUUUUAUACAAGCAAUAUUGUGGAGGGGAAAUCAAGCUCAGGACCUCAGGUGUAGGAUUGAAUGCUCUUAACUCAACUUAGUUACAACUGCCUUUCUUUUAACUUGUGUAUCUAAAAUUGUCGGUUAGAAACCUUGAACCAAGCAAGAAUACAAUCUAAUUUACUUUGAUUAUUUUUUUUCCCAUACAAAGCAAAAGAGGCGUUCUUGGAUUGGACAAGAUGCUUUGAGAUAAUCUGUGGGAUUGCUAGAGGGAUCUUAUAUCUUCAUCAGGAUUCGAGAUUAAGAAUCAUCCAUAAAGAUCUAAAGGCCAGCAAUGUUCUGUUGGAUUCUGCUAUGAACCCCAAGAUUUCAGAUUUUGGUAUGGCUAGGAUAUUUGGAGCUGAACAAAUUGAAGCAAAUACAAACCGUGUGGUUGGGACAUAGUAAGUUUCAUUCAAAACUGAAAGUACACUUGUUUUUUAAAAGUUUCAUCCCUACAAGUACAAUUAACUUUUGUUGAAUAAUACAGAAAGAAGCUGUGAUAAUUAAGCAAUUUUAUUUUGUUGUUUCAGUGGUUAUAUGUCACCAGAGUACGCAAUGGAAGGAUUUUUUUCAGUAAAGUCUGACGUAUAUAGCUUCGGCAUUUUACUACUAGAAAUUGUUACUGGCAGAAAGAACACCGGCUACUACCAAGAUAGUCCUUACUCAAAUAUAAUUGGACAUGUAAGCAUAACAUUAAGACAUUACCAAACUUCUCUCCAUCUGCUUUUAUAACUUGAUGAUUAAUUUGUAAAUUUUUAGGUUUGGGACUUGUGGAAGGAAAAUAAAGCCUUGGAAAUCAUUGAUUCAUCUCUAGGAGAAUCAUACCCUGUCAAUGAAGUUCUAAGAUGUAUUCACAUUGCCCUCUUGUGCGUGCAAGAGCAAGCGAAGGAUCGUCCACUCAUGUCAGCAGUGGUUUCCAUGUUGGGUAAUGAUGCAGCAAUUCCUUCACCAAAGCAACCUGGAUUUUUGUUGAAGAGAGGUUAUCAUACUAGUGGAGACCCAUCAACCAAUACUGAUGGAGCUUGCUCUGUAAAUGACAUGACCUAUACAGAAGCAGAAGGUCGCUAAGGGGAGAACCAGACUUAUAAUCAGACAGACUAUAUUAUUCAAUUGAGAAUCACAUGAUGAGUGAGAUAAGAAGAGAGGAUAUACCCCGAUUUCACUCAAUAAUUUGCCUUAUAACCAGGGAUCUAAGUUCUAUAUUAAUUUGCAACACUCAUCAUCUGUCAUGUUGUAAAUACACGUUAUAAAAUAUAUGCCCUAUAAUUGGGGAUCUAAGUUCUACAUCAGCUAUACUCAUCAUUUGUCUUGUUGUAAAUACAAGCUAUAAAUUAUUUGCAACAUUCAGCAUCAGUCUGACCAGGCUUGUGAAAUCAUGUCCCUGGAUUUCAUUGUUAUAAUCUACGUAUUUGUAGUAUUGAGAUUUUAUAUUAUUUUUUGAGAAUUUUUUUUAAUUUAUUUGAAUUUAGAUUUCAAUUAAACUAGUUACGAAGAGUGAAGUUUGGGAAUUAUUAUUUACUCGUUGACCUUUUGAGGUCACAAGUAACGUUUUUGAAUAUAGCUCAAUCCUACGAACGCAUAGGCGAAAGCCGUUUGCGAGUCCGGAUUAUAACGGUAUAAUUACAGACGUUUGAAGUUGUGAUACUAUAAAUUUUAGAAAUUGAUUAUCUCCCACUUUGUGGGUAAGGGCCCAGAUCGAUAUGGGCUUAAGUGGACCAUCAAAAUUGAAAAGAAAAAAAAAAUAAAUAAAUAAAGUUGGGGGGGGGGGGAAGCAACCAAUCAGGAAAAGGAGGAAACAAAAGGAGAAAGAAAAAGGAAAAAGGAAGGAGGGAAAAAUACCCCUUUCCCGUCGACCCACCUAACUAGCUUUGACCCGGUUCUAAUUCCGGCGGUUUUCAUUAUUUUUUCGGUUGAACCACCACUAACCAACACCUACAACCUCUUCUACAACAUCUCCUCUACCAUUCCCACCCAAAAUCAUAGGAAAUUUAGUUGUAGUUUGGUGAAAAACACACCAUGGGUGCCGCGGGAAACCUCGUCGUGAUUCAUCAUUUGUGAAACGAUUUCAUUCUGUUACCACCACCAUUAGACUCUCCUUGAACCCAGGAAUAAAGCCCAAACAACCUUGGAGACGUCGGAGCAAGUAUGGAGUUCGAAUCGAAGCACACCCAAUUCUAGGGUUCCGGCUGUUUGUGAGUGAUUUCAGGCAUUUCCAGGCCAAAUUGGCCUUAGCCACAGGUAUAAAAAUUACUCCCCUCAUUGAGAUCUACAUGCCUGUAAAAUUUGGUAAUUUUUGGAAUUAGUUGAAUUUUUUGACAAGUCGGCGGCGCGUGGGCCGAAUUAACCCCUGACCUUCCUAGGAUAAAUUUGAUACCCCAAUUCGAUAUGUGAAGUCUGAUUGAUGAAAUUUCAUCAUAUGACUAUAGAUUUGAUGGAGACCGCAACUUAGACAUUAUAUGAAUCGAUGAUUAGAUCGUUGGAUCGUCACCAAAAUUUAAUAUGUUAUAGUACGUAAUAUUUGAGGAUAACAGGAACUUACGGAUCGGGAAUCUGACAUAUGGAUCUUCUUGAAUUGGAUUUAUAAUUUUGUAAAAUAAAACGUCGACCGCCAUUUAAAUUCGUGAUUGGCGGAGAUUUGACAGUUGGAUCAUAAUGAAAUUUUAGUAUGUUAUUCUAGAAGCAUAAUGUGAACUUUGGGAAGUUAUGGAUCAGAAAUCUGAUGUGCGGAUCUUCAGGAUCAAAUUACGUAGAGUUGUGGACCCUAUCAUCGACAGAGAGUUGAUUUGUGGUCAACAUGUCUUGAAACGUUCUAAAUAAUAAAAUUAGUACUACGGACCAAUUGAAGUCUAGUGGGCCUAUAUUGGUUAGAUAGUGACUUGAAUAUAUGAGAUAUUAUUAUUAUCUUGAUUUCUUAUAUUGGUAUCAUUUGUGAAUAUGAUUUGGUCUUAUAAAUAUGAUUUCUAUUGAAAUGUGAUUUUUAUAUAUUUAGCCAUAGACCUAUGCUUAUUACAUAUGAUUUGGCUUGUGUAAUGAUGAUGUUUGUGAUAUAUAUAUAUAUAUAUAUAUAUAUAUAUAUGUGUGUGUGUGUGUGUGUGUGUGUGUGUGUGUGUUUAAUUAUCUUUUUAAUAAUGUGAAUGAUAAUUAUGAUGAAUGUUAUGACAAUUAUGGGAUCUAAUUAUUGUUUGAUAAUUAUUUGGAUAUGAUUGCCAACUGAAUACCUAUUUGAACUUGGCAUUACUACCUAGUAUGUGAUAGGGAUGAAAGUCAGGAGAUGAGUUAGGUACUUUAUUAGAUUUUUUUUUAUAGUAAAAAUAGUAAUUAGGGGAAUUCCUUGUACUGUGCUCCAUAUGACUAGAUGUUGGUUGAUAUGUGGAAUCGAUAGUGUGUAUACGUAUAAUUGAGUAUAAUGUGUGAUGAUGAGACCGCACCAUGUAGUAGUGGUACAUGGAUGGUCCUGCUUGAUAUAUCCGGGAUGAGGGACCAUACGUAUGUUAGGAGUGAUCAUGCUUGGUAUAUCCGCAAUGGGUGAUCACUACCUAGAGUUAUAUGAUAUAAUCCUGCUUGGUAUAUUCGUGAUGGGGGACUGUUAGGGGUAAUCAUGCUUGGUAUAUCCGCGAUAGAUGAUCACUGUCUGCACGAUGAGAUUAGGCCUAUGGUUCUGCUUGGUAUAUCCGCGAUGGGGGACCAUAUGCAUUCUAGAGGUGAUGAUGAUUAGUUGUACUUGGUAUAUUUGAUAGGCGAUCAUAUUUAGUUUGGUUCCGUUGAGUAGUCCGGAAUCCGAGGUUGUUGGAUUUCGUAGAGUGAUCUAAAAUCCCAUUAUUUGGAGAAGUAGGCUUGGGCUAACUGUGUCACUCUAGCCAUAGUUAUAUAUAUAUAUAUAUAUAUAUAUUUGUGCCAAUGGUUUCGAGAAUCUUGUGAAUUGAGUUAGAAAAGAUGUUGGACGUCUGGGUGAUUCCUUUGGGAUUUGCUACAAUUCGAUUAUGAUUUCAUAAGGUAUGAAUUUAGAAGAUAUGGGAAUGAUUGUUAUUACUUUGAUCAAAUUAAUUAAUUAAUGUGGCUAGAGAAUGUUUUUGUGUUUCGUCGGUUCUUAAAUACGAUGUAUGUUGUGAAUUGUGAUAUCAUGAUGAGACAUAAUGAUUUAUGUAUAGGAUGGAAGAGAAAUCAUGAUUUCAUGAGGGUUUGUUAUGUAGCCUGAGCCCAGGAAUUUCAUGCUAUUAGGUUAUAUUAAAUGAUUGAGGAAUGUUAUGCUUUUCUGCUUGAACUCAGUGGGAUAAAUGUAUGAUUUUGUGAAUGGUGAACUACAAAUGGCUUGAUCCUUAUUGAGGGUACGUAGGCAGUCUAACGAGGAGGUUAGAUGCAUCCAUAAAGUAUACGAAAAAAAUUACUAUGCGAUUCGAUUCUUGAGUUAUGCUUCGUACAUAUCCCAAAAAUGGGAUCUGUUAGGUUUAUGGUUACUUGGUGACGUCAUGUGUCGAUCAUGGACGUAGGUCGAGAUCGGGGCGUGACAAGGCUACAUAGAAGUACUUUUCGACCGCCAAAGACAUGUAGGAAGACUGAUAACUUUAUGACACAAGGUUUUAGGAGUAAACCUACUUAGACACUAAUCAUGCCACUGUCAACCCGCAAUUAAAAGAAAAAGUCUAGGACGGGACACAAAGGUGGUCCGGCCUGUUCUGAGUGACGUACGUGGUUAAUUAAUCAAGGUCGAAUGGGAUGCUAGGAACACAUUGGACCUUUGGAUGUUACUAGAAAUGUUGCCCAGGCGUUGAUGCGGGAAUACAAAUUGUAUGAAACAUUAUGUAUAAAUGAUAUAAAAGAUUAUGUCAUAAACGAAAUUGUGAGAUGCAUACAAUUGCCCUCUUCUGUGCUCAAGAGUAUGCUACUGACCGGCCAACCAUGUCGUCGGAUGUUUUCCAAAACAGCCUGCAUUUUUAUUGAGGAGGAAUUGUACUAGUGGAGAUCAACCAACAAGUACUGAAGGUGACAUGUACAGAAAAAGAAGCUCCCUAAAAACAAGACGUAGGAUAUCGAAAAUGUUCCACAAGAUACAUAUGUAAUAGUAGUAGUUUGCAAAAGACAAUAUUAAGCGCAUACAAUUUGAUAUUGUGUGAAGAAAGGGUGAACCAAAUUUACCAUGCUUUGAAAAUGAAGAUUCUCCAAGCAAAGUGAACCUUGCUGAUGUUAUUAAACACACAACAACCAAGCUUUACCCCACUUUAAGUUGAGUCGGUUGUAUGAAUCUUUGAACAUUACAGCACUCGGUUUUGCUCCAAAUCUUUUGUUAGAUAACCUUCUUGAUGUUAGAUAACCUUUUUGAUAUUAUCCGCGGGAUUGCCAGAGAGAAAGUAGAAAUGGCGGGGAGCCUUUUUUUCUCUUUCUUUUCCUUUUUUUUUUUACUUUUUAAGUUUUUAAAUAAAAAAAUUAAAAUGUUUUUAGUUAUUUUAAUCUUUCUAUUUCACACUCUCAUAUUGACAUUCAAUAUUAUGGUUUGGUGAUAUUAUUCUUUACUUGUAAGUAAGAGGUCUUAAAUUUGAAAAUGUUCCAUGAAAUAUAUGUAAUAGUAGUAGCUUGCAAAAGAUAAUAUUAAGUGCAUACAAUUUGUUACUGUGUGAAGAAAGCGUGAACCAAAUUUACCAUGCUUUGAAAAUGAAGAUUCUCACAACAAAGUGAACCUUGCUGAUGUUAAAUAAACAACAACCAAGCAUUAUUCCAUUAAAUGAAGUCGACUGUAUGAAUCAUAAAAUGUCACAUCACUCGAUUUUACUCAAAGUCUUUCGUUAGGUAACCUUAUUGAUAUUAGAGCUCAUAAAAUUUAAGAAAAAAAGAAACGUGACUUCUUGUGGCUUUUUGGUUGACGCAUGCAUGCCUUCACACAAAAGCUUGGACUCUUUCAAAUUUGGCGGACCUUUUAAUUCCUAGUAUUCCUAAUACAAGUAUGUUACGGUCAAUCUCAGGCGUGUAUAUAAAAGGUGGAGGAUGGAGCAAUGUGCAUGUCUACGAAUAGAUAUCAAUUCUCUGAAAAAAAAUUACUAGCCAUAAAUUCUUGGAAUGAAACAAUCAACGGUAUAUAAAAGGGUAUGAUAUCCACAUACCCCUUUUUACUUCUCUCACACCUUUUUGGUUUUCGGUCGUCGGAUCAGAUGAAUUGAAGAAGAUCAACUAACAAAAAUUAACAAGAGUGUGUGAGAAGUAAAAAGAGGUGUGUAGAUAGCAUACCCCUAUAUAAAUGGCCUUGUGCAACUUGUUUAGAAAAAUCAAACAGCUUCAUUUUAAGAUCAUCCAUUGGCUAAUUAACAAGUUUAUUUUUUUGUUUAUUUAUGUUGCUUAUCUUUCUUGUACUUCUCCCAUCUUGCAUUUUUACCCUAGCUUCAUUUUAAGAUCAUCCAUUGGCUAAUAAAAGUAUGAGUUCUACAGUGGCGGCUAAUGAAGUCAGUAUUAUGUUGCUUAUCUUUCUUGUACUUCUCCCAUCUUGCAUUUUUACCAGGGACGAAGCCAGAAAUUUAACUAAGGGGGGCACCUUAAAAUAUUUGAGUUCUUUUUUUUGGACAAAUAAAGCUAGUUCUUUUACAAAUGCUGAAAAAAUUAAUUACAAAAUGCCUAAUUUUAUUACUCUAUUGUCUAAUUUUGUCUCUAAUUGUUGACAAUCUAAUGCUCAUUUGUACUAAUUAAUCAAAUAAAUACAACUCAACAAGAUUUAGACAUUAGUGCGUGAGAAAAAUAUAUAAGAUAGAGGGACAUUUAAAAACUAAAAGCAGAUUUUCACUAUUUUAAUAUGAUUAAUUAAAUAAUCUGCAAAGCAAAAAAAAUAGGAAUGAUUAAUUGAAUAAUUUGUAAUGAAAAAAAGAGAUGAGAGGGGGCAUGUGCCCCCACUAGGGCUGGGCACGGGCCGGGCCGGGCCUAUUUUUGAAGGGACCGGACUGGACCCGGAAUUAAAGGAGACGGGGCGGGCCGGGCAUUACAAUUUUGAAAAUAGGAACCGGACCUUACCCGGCCCUAUUGAAACGGGCCGGUUCGGUCCGGGUACACGGGUCCCCUUUUUUUUUUUUUUUUUGCUGUUUAAAAGUAUUUGCUGCACAGAUUGCAGUUUCAAAAAACUGCAUAGAUAGCAGUUUAAAAAAAAUUGCACAAAUUGCACAAAUUGCAGUUUGAAAAAACUGCACAGAUUCCAGUUUGGAAAAAAUCACAGAUUGCAGUUUGAAAAAAAAUUGCACAAAUUGCUGCACAGAACAGAUUGCAGUUUGCAAAGAACAUAUUUCACAGAAUGCAGUUUGCAGUGCACAGAUUGCACAGAUUGAAAAAAAAAAGCACAGAUUGCAGUACUGCACACACAAAUUGUAGUUGCACAAAUUCAAUACAUCUAAAAUAACAUUGCAUCGUUAUGCAGAGGCAUCAGAAUUCGGAAAAACAACUAAUGAUCCUUAUCAAAUAUGGUAAACAACUACUGAUCCUUUUCAAAUAUAAAUAAAAAAUUCAUUAGCUCACCAAGGAAAGUCUCUGUUCACAAUAUAGUUUGUGGCAUUCUGUAAGGAUCUGAGUAUAUUCUUUCCUUGAUGCUCUGCUUUCAAUUUCCUCCAGCACUGGCUUAAGCUGCAGAGAUUCUAUUUGUUAGACAUCAACACUUAAACGAGUGUGAAGUUAAAAACUUAAUGCAGAAAAUUGCAUGCCCGCUUCAAAUAAUUGGAUAGAACUAAAAAUGCUUUUUAGACACAUCUUGCUUUCAGCUUUUCACACCCUGGUUGGUUAAAUGCUUUAAUCAAAUUUUAACUAAUUCAAUAGAAUCAUCAAUGUUACCUCACUUGCUGCUGCUUUGAAACGGACAUAUAUAACAGAUGCUUCUACACCCUCAGAAACAGAUGCGUUAUUGCCACCACUGCCCCGGAUAGCUGCCUGUACCUGAUGACAGUGGCCAUAAUUCAAAGCCAGGUAAUAUACACUAAUGCAUAUUAAGACUGAAGUCUACUACAAUGUGUUAAUGGUAACUCAGUUCAAUAAGGUAACAUUACCUGAGAAGAAGCACCUUUGAGAACUGAAGGUACAUGAGAACGAAUCAUUCCCAAGGCUCGAGACUGUCCAAAACAAGUAAACUAUAUAUUACUGAAGGAGAGGUCAAAACUAAUCUUACUAGAAGACAAUCUCCAUUCUAUACUAUUCAUCUAAUCAACGCUCUUGCAAAUCAUACCUGCAAUUGUCGAAAUUUGAGCAGGUAAACACUGGAUUCUGCAUAAACACACAAACACACACAUGUAUAUAUAUACACAUAUACAACAACAUGUUAUGCAGAGGCAUCAGAAUUCGGAAGAAAAAAAACCCUAAAAUCUCAAAUUCCAAUUUAAAAACCCUACACCCAAAAUUCAAAAUUUCAAAUUAAUAACAAAACCCUAAUUCAAAAUUACCUAAAUUUAGAGGGAUGAUGGCUGGUACCAGUGUUCUCGACGACGGUGAUGGGCUGAUGGGCUGAUGGGGUGAUGGCGGUCACAACGGCGGGGGUUGCUGUCGAAGAGGAGAGAAUCGACUGCAGGGGUGAUGGCGAGAAGGAUGAUGGGUGGUGGUGCCGUUGUCUUCGCCGAGGAGAAUUGACGGUUGGUGAGGGGGAGGAUGAUCGGAGUAGUCGAGGGAAGGGAACUAUCGAGGGACUGACUGAGAGUCUGAGAGUGAGAGAGUGAGAAUCGAGAUGAGAGAGACGGAUAGAGAACUUAGGGUAAAACUAAAACUAACGGUUCAGAUGAGAUAUGGUAGCUUAUUCAUCAAUCUGGUCCGUCCAUUUUAAUUACAAACGGGUCGGUCCGGGUACCCACGGUUCUUAUAUUCUAGGAACCGGCCCGAACCGAAAAUCACAAAGGCCCGCCCCGGCCCGCCCCGUUUCUCUUUUUUAAAAAUAGGAACCGGCCUGUACCCGCCCCGAACCGCCAUUACCCGCCCCGACCCGCGGUUCCUGUACCCGUUUGCCCACCCCUAGCCCCCACUAGGCCUUACCUCCCUUCGUCCAUGAUUUUUACCCUAGCUGGAUAAUAUUCGCAAUCGGAUUCUUCAGCCCCAGAAAUUCUUCAAACUACUAUGUUUGGGAUAACAAAAUUCCAGAGCAAACCAUCAUUUGGGUUUCAAACAGGGACAACCGUUUUAGCCAUUAACAGAGAUCAUGGAGGCCUCUAUGUAAAUGACCAAAAUAUCCCUCUCUGUCAAGAUUUUAGGUUGCUGCGUUCGAGACGAAGAAAAGACGUUAUAACCUAUGAAUACGUUCCGAACAAAGGUUUGGACUGUUGCGAGUUAUAAAUUAGUUAAAGUGUAAAUAGUAGUUUAUUGUUCCACAUUGGUGAAAUACGUAUGUAAUACCAAUUGUAACUCCUAUAUAUACUCCACUUUGAAGAUUAAUGAAUAGAUAAGAAAUUUCUAAAUAUUGUCAUAUAUAUUUUUGGUAUUUACCAUAUUUAGUUUAAUAUGGCAUCAGAGCAGUUCGCUCUUGGUAACCUGUGUGCUUUAAUUUUGUGCCUCAUUUUUUGUGAUUUCCUUCGUUGAAAAAAAAGGUGAAUAGUGUCGCGUUUGCUACAGUGCAUGAACAAUGGUCCUCUACAGUGCUGUAAACAGUGAUUGCUACAGUACGUGAAUAGUUCCGCUACAGUGCCGUAAACAGUAAUUGCUGCAGUGUCUGGUAAAUUAUUUAUUCCGCUACCUAUCUUUUGUGCCUUUAUUGUUCAUGAUUUUGUUCAAUAGCUCAAUAUAAUCAUAGUAUUGUUAUGCAUCUUGGUGGAACAAAUAAAUAGAUAAUUGAUAUUGGGACAACUGAUCAUGUGACUAGUGAUCCUAGAGUGUUUGAUGAGUUAUGUGACUAUGUUUAUGAUUCGUAUAUUACUAGUGCAAAUGAAGCACCUUCCCCUGUGAAGGGCGAAUACACUAUCUCUCUGACUCCAACCUUAUCACUGGUCUGUGUUUUACUUGUUCUUGAUGUUAAGUGCAAUUUUUUGUCGGUAGGAAAACUUCUUGAUACCUUAUGUUGUUUUAUUCACUUCUACCCUACAUAUGGUUAUUUUCAAGAUAUUCAAACUCAGAAGAUAAUUGGUUGUCGUAAAAGAAUAGGGGAUUUGUACAUCUUGACUAUGAAGGAUACUGUUGUUUUCGAUUCAAAUAAUCAUCAAGUUUUAAGUGCUAAAGUGGAUGACAGACAUCAAAUUUGGUUGUGGCAUCAACGAUUGGGACAUCCAUCAUUCAGUUAUAUGAAACAUCUAUUUCCUUCUUUGUUUCGCACUUGUAGUGAUUCAGAGUUCAAGUGUGAAACAUGUGUCAUGGCUAAAAGUCAUCGUACUUCAUUUCCCAUAAGUGAUUCUAAAGCUACUUUGCCAUUUGAUUUGAUACAUUCUGAUGUGUGGGGUCCGACGAAAGUUACUUCUAAUGGAUUUCGGUGGUUUGUUACUUUUAUUGAUGAUUGUACUCGGUUAACUUGGGUGUUCUUAAUGAAGAAUAAGAGUGAUGGUCCGUUACUUCUUUAAGAAUUUUGUACAAUGGUGUCUACUCAAUUUCAGACCAAAGUUAAGGUCUUCAGGUCUAAUAACGGAGGAUAAUAUGUGAAUCACACCUUGGCAUGUUUUUUUCGUGAUCAUGGUAUUAUUCACCAGACGACUACUCCAUUUACAUCCCAACAAAAUGUUGUGUCCGAACGGAAGAAUCGUCAAAUAAUGGAGGUUGAUCACUCCUUGAUGUUGGAUAAAUGUGUUCCUAAUCAUUUGUGGGGUCAUGUUGUUUUGGCUGCUGUGUAUUUAAUCAAUCGUGUUCCAAGUAGGGUUCUUGAUUUUCAGACACCGUUUGAUGUGCUAAAAAAACAUGUUUUUCUUGUUUCUGUAUCAAAGCUUCCUCCGAAAGUGUUUGGGUGUAUUGCGUAUGUGCAUGUCUACUCUCAUCAGCAAAGUAAACUUGAUGCAUAUGCUCUUUGAUGUGUCUUUAUUAGGUAUGCUAACAAUAAAAAAGGCUAUAAGUGUUAUCAUUAUCCGACUCAAAAAAAACUUAUAUUACCAUGGAUGUCACAUUCCACGAGGAAGUUUCGUAUUUUGUUAAGCCCUUUUUCGACUCUCCACUUCAGAGGGAGAGAGGGAGUGAAGUGUAGAUUCGAAGAUAUGGUAUGGAUGAUGUGUUACAGGCAGAGUUGGGAACAGAAUCUAUUAUGUUACGUGAUACAGAUCAUUCGGCUACAGAUAAUGAUCAAUCACCUGUCAUUCCAGGAACUAUUUCUACUGACGACAUAUUAGAUGUGCCCAGUGAGUUGUCUGUUAGUAUGUCUGACGAAUUACCUUCUGAUGAUUGGUUGCCUGCUGCUGAUAUGUCUAACAAGUUGCUUGAUGAUGGUUCGUCUAGUGAUGAUUCUUCUAACAAUUUGGUACAAGAUGAUGGCAUAUAUAAGGUAAAUUCUGACGAUUCUUCUACUUAUCAGUUGCCUCUACGAGCUAAUAGUGGAAAACCUAAAGUACAAUAUGAGUCUGAUAUGCAUGCCAAAGCCAAAUAUCCUAUUAACAAUUAUGUAUCUACUCAUCAUUUGUCCAAACCAUAUGCAUCUUACAGAUGUCAACUAUCUAGUGUAUUAAUUCCAACAAAAUUGCAAGAUGAUUUGUCUAACCCUAAGUGGGUUAAAGCCAUGAAGUUGAGAUGGAAGCUUUGGAAAAGAAUUCUACUUGGGAUUUGGUUCUUUUACCAAAUGAGAAGAAAGUUGUUGGAUGUAGAUGAGUGUUUACUAUUAAGCACAAAACAGAUGGUUCCAGUGAUCGAUAUAAAGCCAGAUUAGUUGUUAAGGGUUAUACUCAAACCUAUGGGGUAGACUAUCAGGAGACUUUUGCUCCUGUUGCCAAACUUAAUACUGUGUGUGUUCUUCUGUCCUUAGCAGCAAACCAGGAUUGCCUCUGUUGCAGUUUGAUGUUAAGAAUGAUUUCCUUCAUAGUGAUCUUAAGGAGGAAGUUUAUAUGGAUCUCCCACCUAGUAUUGGAACAUCUCUUGGAAAAGGUGUUGUAUGCAGGUUACAAAAGGCUUUGUAUGGUUUAAAACAAUCUUCUAGAGCGUGGUUUGGGAGGUUUACAAGUUCAAUGAAGAAGUUUGGGUAUAUCCAGAGUCAUUCAGAUCAUACUUUAUUUCUAAAGUGACAAAAUGUUAAGCUAAUUGCAUUGAUUAUUUAUGUUGAUGACAUGAUUGUGAUUGGUGAUGAUCAGAAAGAGAUACAACACCUUCAAAAGUAUCUAGUUACUGAAUUUGAGAUGAAAGAAUUGGGUGAAUUGAAGUAUUUUCUUGGAAUCGAGGUUGCACGAUCCAAGCAUGGUAUUUUUCUGUCUCAACAGAAGUAUGUUCUUGAUUUGUUAGCUGAAAUAGGUAUGUUAGAUUGCAAACCUGUUGAUACUUCAAUUGAGCAGAAUCAUCAUUUGGGCUUAUUUCCAGAUCAGUUCCUACUCAUAAGGAACGGUAUCAGAGGCUUGUGGGGAGAUUAAUUUAUUUGUCUCACAAUCGCCCUGACAUUGCUUAUGCAGUUAGUGUGGUAAGUUAGUUUAUGCACUCACCUAGUGAAGCUUAUAUGGAUGUAGUAACCCAUAUUUUAAGGUACUUGAAGAUGGCUCAUGGCAGAGACUUGGUUUUUCUCCAAGAAUGGUCAUUUGAAUGUCGAAGGGUAUACAUAUGCAAAUUUGGCAGGUUCUAUUACUGAUCGGUGAUCUAUAUCUGGAUACUUUACGUUUGUGGGUGGUAAUUUAGUUACUUAGAGAAGCAAGAAACAAAAAGUGGUGGCUAGGUUAAGUGCAGAAGUUGAGUUUCGUGGUAUGUCUCAUGGUGUAUAUAAGUUGUUGUGGUUGAAAAAAUUGUUGAGAGAUCUUGGGUUUAAACCCAAGGGUGCUAUGAAACUUCAUUGUGAUAACAAAGCUACUAUUGAGAUUGCUCAUAAUCUAGUGCAACAUGAUCGACCAAAACUUGUGGAGAUUGAACGACAUUUCAUUAAGGAAAAAUUGGAUGCUGGAAUUGUUAUGUUUCCGUUUGUGGGAUCUGAAGAUCAACUUGCUGAUGUUCUUACUAAGGUUGUGUCUAAUAGUGUGUUUUCCAACUCGAUUGACAAGUUAGGCAUGCGUGACAUCUUUGCACCAACUUGAGGAUGAGUGUUGCGAGUUAUAUAUUAGUUAAAGUGUAAAUGGUAGUUUAUUGUCUCACGUGAGUGAAGUACAUAUGUAAUACCAAUUGUAACUCCUAUAUAUACUCCACUUUGAAGAUUAAUGAAUAGAUAAGAAAUUUCCAAAUAUUGUCAUAUAUCAUAUAUAUUUUUUUGGUAUUUACCAUGUUUAGUUUAAUAUGGACUACUCUUUCAUGCACUAUCUUAUUUUUGCUUUUAAUUUCUCUACUUGUCACUUGAAACUAAGGAAGCACGAAUUCCUUAUUAUCCGCGGGAUUGCCAGAGUGAAAGUAGAAAUAGUGGGGAGCUUUUUUUUUUUUACUUGUUAUUUUAAUUAGAAUUGUUGGACUCAGUUACGUGUUAUAUUAACAUGUAAGUAUUUAAAAAAUUGUGACAAAGAGAACACAUUAAUUUGUGACAACCAUUUUGAAGGGUUGCAUUUAUCGAUUUUCAAUUUCAACGACCACCUUGAUUGGGUGAGUUAAUUUCAAAGAUUAUUCCCGGCAUGUAAAUUCUUUAAGGUAUGGAACUUGUGGAGAGAACGCGAUGCCCUGGAAAUAAUUGAUUCAUCUUUGGGUGAAUCAUACCCAUCAAAGAAGUUGUGAGAUGCAUCCAAAUUGCUAUCUUAUAUGUGCAAGAGUAUGCGCCACUGACUGGCCAAUAAUGUCGGCGGUUGUUUUCAUGCUAGUUAAUGAAGCAGCGGCUCCUUCAUCAAAACAACCAGCAUGUUAUUGCAGAGGAGACCCAUCAUCCAGUACUGAAGGAGAAAAUUCCGCAAAUGAAGUUUGACACAUUGACAUUGUCUAUCAAUCUACUUGAUACAACUAGGGUGUGGUCAGAAUUAAUGAAGUGGAAAUUUCAAACUGCGGUGUGUGAUUCGGAGUCACAAGUGAGUUCACUGUUGCAUCAACGGCUGGAAGUCGCGGGUAGGUUCAUGUUGCAUCAAUGAAAAAAAUAAUAAUAAUUACAACUUACAAGAUUACUUAAUCAAUAUAUUAAUACAUUUAGUAAGCAAUCAGUAAUGGUUGGCAAACCUUUGUUAUGCAAUAAUGCAUUUUGUGAAAGGUCUGCUGAAUGUUUUAGUUCUUCAGCUCCUCCUUCUCCAGCUCUGCUCUUCCUCGGACACCAUAAAAUUUGAUCAACCCGUCAGAGACGGUGAUUUCUUAGUGUCCAAGAAUGAGACCUUUGUCCUGGGAUUCUUAAGUGUUAGAGUAUAUAAAGCAGUUAGGAAUAUGACUGUUAGAAUAAUUAGUUAGGAUUGUUGGUAAAGGAGUGAGUCGGUUAAGGUGGUUAGCCUAGCACUCAUCUAUAUAGUAAGCAUAUCAUUGUAACCAUUGAAUUAAUCAAGAAAAUAUCAGUGCAAUUCUUUGUUUCUUCCUCUCUAAAUUCUCUCUGAUUCCUUCUUCUUUUUCCUCUGUGAUCUAUCUGUUUCUCCUUCUGCAUAUUGCUUAACAUGGUAUCAAGAGCCGUUAAAGCUUGAUCAGCUUCUUCGAUCCUUUCAGUUUCUGAUUGACCAGAAGAUAUUGGGUAUGUCUUCUCUGUUUUUUUGGGCAUCUCCGACUACCCAUUUCUGCAUUCUACAUUCAACAAAGUUGUGCACACAAGGUGUUUUCUCUUUGUUCUCAAAGAAAACUGAUCAACCAGUUUGAUUUGUCAGCAACAAAUUUGGGGUUUCUCUUCUAAAUCUCUAUCUGGGUUGUUCAUUUCUACAACAAAAGUUAUGGUUACCGUUGCACAAUUGCAACUUUUGCACUCCCCAAUUGUAUCGUUAAUUACGUCAGUUUCUUCCUCUACUUGUGUAAAAUUAGAUGAGACUAACUACUUGCAGUGGCAUUUUCUGAUGAAGAUGAUGCUACAAGGUCAUGGCAUUAGGGGAUUCAUUGAUGGAUCGAAUACUUGUCCUCCUCAGGAUGCGGCAACAUCUACACAUUAUGUAAUCACAUUUGAAUCAUCUGCCAGACCAGAAUUAGAUGAAUUUAAAGUGUGGAAAAUGCAUGAUCAUGCUUUGAUGUUGUUACUUACUGCAACCCUUUCUUCAUAUGCAAUUUCUUAUGUGAUUGGUAGCAAGAGUUCUCAAAAGAUGUGGGUUCGUCUUCAAGACAAAUUUUUCUUACCAGUCACAAGAACUAGUAUCAUCAAGUUAAAGACUGAUAUGUACAACAUGAAGAAAGGAUCCGAUUCUGUUUCCUAAUAUCUUCGACGGCUUAAAGAAGCAAUGGAUAGACUUUCUAUUCUUGGUGUUACAUUUCCUGAUGAUGACUUUAUGGUCUUUGCGCUGAAUGGACUCCCUCCAAAAUACAACACAUUUAAAUGUGUACUCAGAGGGCGUGAAAGUAUUAUUUCACUCAAGGACUUUCGUGCACAAUUGCUUGCUGAGGAAGCCAUUGUGGAUUAUUCUGCUGAUUGGAAUCCAACCAACUUUGUAGAUAAUCAACUGAAAUUUGAAGAUAUUUGGGCUCAACGCUAUGAUGAUCGUUCACAGUCUAAUAUGGGGGCUUCUACAUCAGCACCUUUCCACCGAGAGAGUGUACUUCAGCAUCAUGACCCUGGUACUUCCGCACAUCCAAUGCGGAGUCAUUGGUGGGCUAGAAUUGGUCAACAUGGUACACAGCCUCAAUUAAGUUUUCUCGAGCCUCCAGAUUUUGCCCAACACGGCAAACAACCUCAGUCAAGCUUUCUUGAUCCUCCAAACUUCAUGCGCCAGCCUUCAGACAAUUAUUACAGAAACUUCUCAGAAAGAAGCUUCAAAGAACAAGAACAAGAACAAGAACAAGAACUAAAACAAGAACAAGAACAACAGUUGGAUUGGAAGAACUAUCACAGUUUGUCCCGAACAAGGUAUGUGGAGGAAAAGACAGCAGUUGAAGAUGAGAAUGUGGUUAAUAACAAGGAACAGACUUCUGUAUCAUCAUUUGAUUAGUCCAGCAGCCAAGGUAAGAAGAAAUCUGGUGGCGAAGGUAAAGAACAAGAUCACUAUGCACUGUUAGGUUUGAGUCAUUUAAGAUCCUUUGCAACCGAGGAGCAGCCACCUAGUUCUGUUGGUGCAGAAAGUUCACAAAUUAGCAGAUCACAUACCAUUUGUUCGCAGAAAUAUCAUUUUGAUGCUGACUAUAAGACGAAAAUUGGUGUUCCUACUCAAAUUGUUGUACAUGAGUUCUGGGGAUUUUAUGUACUUCAGUUAUGCAAUGGUGGAAGUAUAUUUGAUAUUCAGUUAGGCUACCAUAUGCGAAUUUCUGAUAAGGGUGGGGGCACCGAGUCUAUGCUGAUUUGGGUACUAUGGUAUACACGGUAUAAUGGUAACAUACAAGCUCCAGAUGCUAGGAGGUUUCUUAUUGCAGGGUAUGUGUGCAUCAGUGACCAAAUCCUAUACUCUCUAAUUGUAACUAUCUCAUGCUUGAACCACCAUGAGCUUGCGGGGGGAUGUUAGAGUAUAUAAGGCAGUUAGGAAUGUGACUGUUAUAAUAAUUAGUUAGGAUUGUUGGUUAGGGAGUGAGUCGGUUAAGGUGGUUAGCCUAGCACUCAUCUAAUAAGCAUAUCAUUGUAACCAUUGAAUUAAUCAAGAAAAUAUCAGUGCAAUUCUUUUUUUCUUCCUCUCUAAAUUCUCUCUGAUUCCUUCUUCUUUUUCCUCUGUGAUCUCUCUGUUUCUCCAUCUGCAUAUUGCUUAACAUUAAGUCCCAAAACAUCUACCUACCGCUAUGUCGGAAUUUGGUACAAAUUUUCGGAAGACUUGGUUGUGUGGGUGGCCAACUGAGAUAAUCCCAUCAAUGGCAGGUCAGGAGUUCUCUCAAUAGGUUCUGAUGGAAACCUAGUGCUGCAAGCCAAUACUAGCCAAGGCCUUAUUCCUCUGUGGUCAACAAAUUUUUCGAUAUCAUCAGAGAGCAACGAUAAUAUUUUUGCGCAAAUUCUUGAUUUAGGAAACCUUGUUUUGGCUGGCAGCUAGGAUGUGUUUUGGCAGAGCACUGAUCACCCUACUAAUAUUCUUCCUUCCGAAUAUGAAAGUCGGGUUGGACAGAAGAAGUGGCAUAAACCGGUUCCUCACGUGUUGGAACUCGGACAAUGAUCCUGGGACGGGGAAUGUUUCGUUGAGAAUGGACUCAAAUGUCCUCAUAUGUUAUUACGAAAUUGCCACUGAGUCUCUCUGCCCCCUGAUUUAACGUUAUUUGCAAAAUUGCUACUGGGCUUCGGAAAGGGUUUUGGGUAUUUGGCGAAAUUUUCGGUUUUUCGAUCCACGCGUUGAUCAUCGAUGUGUAAUGAGGGGGAUGGGACAAAAACCGAAAGCCAAACCGCCACAAGAAACGAAGUCACGAACGCCACUCUCACUCACCCUCCACCGUUGCAUACGAACCCAAUCAUAAUUCUGAAAUCCAAACACAAACCAGAUGGUAAUCCUUCAGAGAAUGGCAAUGGCCACUUCUUCUUCCUUCCUCUCAAUCCCUCUCCUAAAGACCUCUUCUUUGCUUUCCCCAGUUAAACACUGCGCUUCGCCACUGAACUCCGAGUUCAGGGCUCUGUCCCUCUACGGCGGUAGAAAUGGAGUCUCCACCUCCUCGGCGAUGGCCACGGAGGCUCAGGUCGCGACCCAAGACGACAAAUU